GCUUUAAACAUGUAAUAAUACAUCAACAAGCAUGGAUCAAGUCCAAAAAGGAAGCAAAAUAAAUUUUUCAUUUUAGUGCUCACAUAUAAAUCUUUAUAUCCUACUUGAUAACACUAACAAAAAUAAAUUCACACAUUUCACUUUGCAUACAUUUUAAAAGGAUUGAUAAAACGGUUCUAAGAAUUCAUCAGGUUUAAACUAUCAAAACUAGAAUUAUGCGUGAACUAGUUGAUCGUUUGGUGAUACCAAAUGUUGUUUAGUGAGUUAUAGACAUCAUAGUUUUCAAUUGUAUUAUCUACUCUUUGAAAGAGUGUUGUUACAUUUCAAACAAUUGUAAAUCUUCAAGAGUUUAGGAGAAAAACUCUUGGUUAUUGGUGAGAUGCAUCACCAAGGUAAAAAAUCUUGAAGUUGAUAUUUCUUCAAGUGGUGAAAAAAAAGGCCUCAAUAAGAAUUCAUCAAGGACAUUGAAAUCUCUGGCUUGGAUUAGUUAAUAAUAUAAUACUAAAGACCGGCUUGGUGCGUGAGGUGUGGAUGUGAGUUUGUUGAACCAUAUUAAAAAUUGAGUUUGCAAUCUCUCUUCCUUAUCCUUUUACUUUACGCAAUUUAAUUAUAUUGUUGGUUAAUUGUGUUUAAUUGUUUUUUUUGAAUUAAUUGCAAUAUUUGUUAAUAUUAGUGGAACAUCUAAUUCACCCAUUUAGGUGUUAUUAUUGCCUUAAUCCUAUAACAACAAUUGGCAUUAGAGUCUGGUUCUCAUUUAUAUAAGUUUACACUAAUAUUACUUACACAAAACAAAAUCUUUGGCUUUGUCUCUCUAUUGUGCAGGAAAACCAAUGGAUGACGAUGAGUUCAUCAUUUGUAUUUUUCAAGGAUUAGGAUCUGAAUUUGAUCUUAUAGUAGCAACAUUGAAUGCAAGAGAUAUUUUUCCAUCUCUUGAAGGAGUUAUUGGCAAACUCCGUGAAUUUGAAAUUCAACUUCAAGGAGCACGAGCAACUAUUUCCAACAUUAUUUUUUAUACAAAUCGUGGCUGAAAAAACUCAUAGCCAUGGGUGAACCCCGACACUCAAGGCUGCAAUAAUCACAGUUUCACUAGAAGAAAUUCCACGGGCAAUACUUUAUCAUCACGAGCUAAAAAGACUCGAUUCCCUCACUUUAAUAUAGGCUCAUCUGGAACUCGUCAGAAACAAUUCUCACAUCAUGGUGGUCGUGGAUAUGGUGGCAUCACUUGUUUUCAAUGUGGGGGGCCUAAUCACAAAGCAGACAAAUGUUUUGCUUUUGGAAGAUCAGUACAAAGCUUUAGCUACUAUCAAAAUUAGAGAAACUGCAGAAGAGAGCUGGUAUUCUGACACUGGUACAAACCAACAUAUGACCUCUAACACAAAUGAAGUUCAAGGUAUUAACUCUUAUCUUGGCAAUAAUUCUUUCAUGGUUGGUAAUGGUCAUGACUUGCCUAUCACUAGCACUGGACACAUUAUUUUUCUUACCACUAAUCUGAAGUUAAAUGAUGUUCAUGUGGUUCCUACAAUUAAGAAGAAACUACCAUCUGUCUCUCAAUUUACAAGAGAAAAAUAAUUGUUAUUUUUUGUUUUAUCCAUGGGGAUUUGUUUUCAAGGACAUGAAGAUGAAAUAGGUAGUCUUUAAGGCUCCAUAAAGGAUGGGUUGUAUUCGAUCAACCUGUAACAACUUUCAACAUCUCCAGUCAGUUUUUUAGCUAAUAAAGUAUCUAGCAACUUAUGGCUUGCACGACUUGACAUCCUCAAGCCCGGAUUCUUAUAAAGUUAUGUUUACCAUCUAUAAAUAAACAAAAUGCUUUAUGUGAAGGCUAUGUUUUGGGAAAAUCAACAAAGUUACCAUUUGAAUCUUGUAAAUCCUAUGCUACUUCUUUUCUGCAUACACUUCACACAGAUGUAUGAGGUCCUGCAUCUGUUUCUUCUUAUGAUGGCUAUCAGUUUUAUUAAUCAUUAUUGAUGAAUAUUCUUGAUAUAUAUGGUUCUUUCUUAUGAAUCGUAAAUUUGACAUAGCAACAAUAUUUUCUACAUUCCUCAAGCAAAUGGAAAAACAAUUUGAUGUUUAUGUUAAAAUAACUCAAAGUGAUAGGGGUGGUGACUUUGUUAAUCAAAGCAUGCACAAUCUUUUAAAAAGUAACGGUAUCAUUCAUAGAUUCUUAUGUCCAUAAACACCAGAAAAAAAUGAAUUGGCUGAACGUCGUCAAUGGCAUAUUAUGGAAUCUAGAUUAACAUUGUUAUCGCAUGCUUCUGUUCCGAUACAAUUCUAAAUAGUAGCUUUUCAUACUGCAAUAUUUCUAAUAAAUCGUCUACCUACUUCAAUUCUUGGUUACAACUCACCGCAUGAAGUUAUUUUCAGUUAUGCUUCUGCUUAUAAUUCCCUACGAGUUUUUGGGUGUUCCUGCUACCCAUUAUUUGCACAAUUUGGUCGAUCAAAAUUGGACUUUAAAUCCACAUGGUGUGUGUUUCUUGGUUAUUCAAAUAAUCACAAAGGAUAUCUCUGUCUUGAACCUUAGACAAGUCGCCUCUACAUAUCUCGUCAUGUGAAAUUUAAUGAAUUUCAGUUUCCCUACAGAUGCAUGCAGAAACUUGACACAUAUGUUUCUCAGUUAUUUAAAGUCAGAGCACUUCCUUGACUACUCAAGACCAUGACUGAAAAAACAACUGUCUCAGCUCAACAAAUAAUACAUUAUGUUCCAGCAAAAAUUGUCCAAAGUGUAUCAGUAUCUCAGUCUCCAAUUCCUGAACCAAUUCCUCCAUUCACUGCACCAGAAUUCAAUACUUUAGCACCAGAGGCUUCUCCCAUAGUUGCUCCACAACGACAUCAUCAUAUGGUUACAUGGGCUCAAAUAGGGAAGCUAAAACCUAAGGUAUUGUUCUCUUCACAAUAUUCAAUACCUGCUUGUUUUGUUGCUGACCUUAUCACUCAAUAACAAGACCUAGCGUACUUCAACAUCUACAAUGGCAUCAAGUAAUGCAAGUUGAAAUGGAUGCUCUUCACAUCAACAACACCUGAAAUUUGGUACCUAGAGAGCCAAACAUGAAUGUUAUCAGUAGUAAAUGGGUGUUCAAAAUCAAAACACGAUCUGAUAACUCUAUUGAAAGGUAUAAAGCUCAACUAGUGACUCGUGGAUUUACACAACAACCAAGCCUAGAUUAUGAUGAAACCUUUAGUCCAGUCAUCAAACCAAGUACUAUUUAGUUAAUCUUUACCAUUGGGCUAUAGCAAAGCUUGUCUGUCAGACAACUAGAUGUUAGUAAUGCCUUUUUUCAUGGUGACCUACACGAACAAGUAUAUUUGGCUCAAUCCCAGGUUUUGAGGAUUUCUCCCAUCCAGAUCAUGUUUAUCAUCUCCAUAAAGCUUUGUAAGGUUUAAAGCAGCCCCUCGCGCCUAGUACCUAAAAUUCAGUACUUAUAUCCAGCAAAUGAGAUUCAUAUAAUGUCCCUAUGAUCAAUAUUUAUUCUCGCACUCAAGGAUCAGGCAUUCUUCUUUUACUUAUUUAUGUUAAUGACAUUCUUUUAAUAGGAAGUUCCUCUUCACAGAUUGACAAGUUUAUUGCACACCUAUCUGUCAUCUUCCAUAUGAAAGAUCUUGAUGACAUUCAUUACUUCUUAGGUCUUCAAAUCGCUUGCGAUGAGUCCACUGUCACUCAUACAAGGUAUUUAUUGUCUCUUCUUCAAAAGUUUGGUCUUGAUGGCACCAAACUUGUAAGCACUCCACGAGCAUCGGGGCCUUUUAUGUCUGUUGUUGAUGGUGCUCCCUUAGUUAAUCCUUUCCUUUAUCACCGUUUGAUUGGCUCAUUAUAAUAUCUUACUCUAACCAGACUCGACAUCUCCGAUGUUGUUCAUCAAGUCUGUCAAUUCAUGCAAGCACCCCAUGACAUUCACCUUAUUGUUGUUAAGAGGAUUUUUCAAUAUCUGAAGGGUACUCUCAAUGUUGGUCUUCACUACGUCCGUACCCCUAUUCAUAAACUUCGUGGUUUUUGUGAUGUCGAUUGGGCUAGUUGCAGGGAUGACAAACAUUCCACUACUGGUUUUGCUAUCUUUUUGGGCAAUAAUUUGAUAUCUUAAGGCGCUAAGAAACAAGCUAUUGUGUCUCGAUCGAUAGGUGAGGCUAAAUACUGUGUCUUAACCUCAACUACAGGUGAGCUUAUGUGGUUUGUGCAUUUACUCAAGAGUAUUGGCUAUUGUGUCCAUCCUCCUACGUUGUAUAGUGACAAUAUUUGUGCCAUUCAUUUAGCCAAGAAUUCAAUGUUCCAUCACCGUACAAAACACAUCAAAAUUGAUGUUCACUUUAUUAAUGAAUGGGUUGCGAGUGGUGUUCUCUCUUUGGCAUACAUUCCAGGAUCGGAUCAAAUUACGAAUAUUUUUACCAAAUCCCUUUGUGCUACAAAAUUUAUUCUAAAUCAUGGCAAGCUCUGUCUCAGUCCUGCCCCACCUUGAGCUUGAGGGGGGAUGAUGAGAUAUAGAGAUAUGCAGAUGCAGAGAUCCUGCUGAGAUCUCUUCACUGAGAGAUCCUCUGCUGGGAUCUCUCUGCUAGGAUCCUCCUUAUUUAUUCACUUCAUGAUCUCCACAAUAUUUGUAAUUCAUUAUGUUUCUAUAAUCUCUAUAGACAAAUCAUUCAUAUAUAUAUAAGUUUAGCUUUUCCUAUAAGCAUUAUCUUUUUGUUUUUCAACAAUAGUGUGCUAUAAAUAAUUGGUAGGUUGAAAGACCUUUAAAGAAGGAGCCCUUAUAGAUUAUGACGCUAAAAAAUAAGAAAAUAUAUUAGAAGACAAGUUAUCCAAUAAGGUAUAAUGAAUAACUAAAGCAUAAAGAUUUCUCACCAAAAGUUUUUUUUGCUCAAUUUCCUAGCUAAUCUACUGGCUAAAUUUUUAAUAGGUCUUCUCUUACCAUCUUUUGUAAAAUGUUCUUCAUCAUAUAAAAGUUUCUUAGCCAUCUUUUUUUAAAAAAGGUUUAAGAUGACAUAUAUAUAGCUUUCUUGUACAAUAGGAAAAACCUUAAUUAAUUUCCUAAUAUUAGCAUAAAGUCUCUCACACUAUAGAAUCCAAAAUUAUUUUUUGUUAACUAUGUUACAUUUUUCACUUCCUUUAGAAUUUUGAAAAUUAUUGUCUAGAUUAGAACUAUUAAUGAUAUAGUACAUUAGAAAUGAAACACAUUAUACAAACUUCGAUUGUCUUGCCACAAAAUAGAGGUUAUAGGGCUCAUAAGAAAAAUAGUUGUUCCUUUAUAAUAAAUAUAUCACUAAACUAAACUAAACUGUAGAUCCUUUUAGGUUAGAAUAAUUUUUCACACUACAAUGUUCUCCUCUCCCUUACAAUUUAUCCUUUGACGUUUAAGAAUCAAUAGCCAUCUAGGGCAUGUUCUCAUAGACACUAAAAUGACCAUGGAUCGGUCACUCCUUGUCACAGAUAGAAAAAUAUCUAGGUAUCUCUUGAAAGGAAAGUUGUGGAAAGGGAUCAUCAUCAAAAUUUGUCCUCUAUAAAUUAAUAGGGAGUCCAAAUUCGACUACACAACACUAGAUUCAUGGAAAUUUAUAGUUUCUCAUGCUUAAAUCCACCAUAAAAUUCAAUAAAAAUUUUCUUUUAUCUUGAAAGGGUGGUUGGUCUUCACCUCUCACUUGGCAUUCCUCUAAUACCAUAUAUAUAUAUGAUUUAACAUAAAAGGUCUUAGGACAAUGGUCCUACCAUUAGCCAAGGUCACCACUAUAUUUAACUAGGCCUUAUUUAAUUUAUAAGACCUGGAAAAAAUUAAAUAUCUAUAUACCUAAAAGAGAAAAAAAAGCCACAUGUUCUAUCUAGAAGGAAAAUUUGGUUACUUUCUUCUCCUUAAAAAUAACACUAUAUUUAGGAGUACUUACCAAUAAAUCUUCAAAUUGACCUAUAAUAAAUUAUAUGGAUGCACAAAGCUAACCUCUUGAGUAUAGGCUCCUAUCAAAGCCAAAUUAUAUAGAAAUAUAAUUUGCAUCAUAUACCUAAACAUAAAGAUGUUAUUUGAUUUGACUAAAAAAAUGAUAAAGUUGUCACAUUUCCUUGCUAGGCUUAGUGGUAAUCUUAUAUAGUUGGAUUAUGUCAAAGAUCUAUUAGCAUUUUCAUUCUUCAUCAAAGUGUGGUUUUAUUCUCUUUAUAUAUUGAGGUUCCCUUGAUUUUUCUAGAGUAAAAGCCUUUCUCUAUAUAUCUAAGGCAAACAAGUUAUCUCCUUCUUAUAGAAUUUCUUCUUGAUAUUGCCCAAAGACAUUCUUGAAUCAGUAUUUUUAGGGAAAUGCUGAUGAUAGAUCAGUGUAUAUUAGUGAUACAAUCUAUGUAAUGCUAGAAGUGGGUGAUAAGAGAAGGGUUUUAUUUUGAGCUUGAAGAUGUCAUUUAUGUGUUUAAAGAGAGAAGUAAGGUUAAGGUUUAUCCAUUUUUUUAGAAAUCUUUGGUUUCUUCAAAUAAGGAUCGGGGGCUUUUUUUUAAAGAAGAUGAAAGGAUAGAAAGUUAAUUGAUUGAAUUGAUAAAUUAACUAUAAAUCAAAAUUAUAGUUUUUAUACUUGUAAUAUCAUGCCAAAAAGCUAGAAAACAUUUUAUUUAGAAAUUUCUUAAAUGUCUAACAUGUUAGACAAUGAAAUAUGGUGGACAUUUUGGAAAAACAAUUCUUGAUUUUCCAUGUCAUUCAUGGUCAAUUUUAUGAUUGAUUGAAAUAAAAAAGGUAAAUCAAUAUUCUUUCAUUUAUAUUAAAUAAAGAAAUAUGGAUGCAUUAUUUAUAUCAAAGUUAAACUAUUCAUGUAUUAUGUGAUUAAGAACAAUAUAGUUUAUUGUUAGUUUUUAAGAAAAAUAAUGAAGAAAAAUAAAAUUAAACAUCAACCAAUAAAGAAGGUUAAGCUCGAAAAUCAUCUAAGAGAUUAAGUUUCACAUUAAGUGAUUGAUUAAUCAAAUCCUAUAUAUAUAUAUAUAUAUAUAUAUAUAUAUAUAUAUAAAACCUAACUUAUGGAUAUUAUAAAUUGAUAUAAGCAUAUGUUAUUAUAGAGAUGUCUGCCAGAAAAAUGUGUGCAAGUAAAUAAGUGCAAAUUAUGCUAAGAUUAAAAUUGUAUAAUCUUUAUAUGUUAUAGAUUGUUUGUUUAAGAUUAAGAUUUUAUGUUUAUGUGAGAUUUUAUCUCUAUAAAAAUAUAAAUAUAUCAUCUAAUAGCUUAAAACAAUGGUUAGUCUUAUAUACAUAAUUUAUUAUACAAUUUACUCAUAAUUUUAUGCUACUUAUUGCUUUCUUUUACGUAUGACAAUAUAUUUCUUUUCCUUACACAUUUUACUAGUCAUCUUACAUGUGCUUCAAUUCGGGUCGAAUCAAAAGUUAAUUUUUAACAUAAAAAAAUGUUCAGGCGUUUUAAGUGUGUUUUUUAGCUUAAAGAAAAAAAUUUAAUUGUUAAAUAAAAAGUUAACACAUACGUUUAAUCAAAUAAAUCAAGAAUUAUAUGUGUGAAUAAAUGUUAAAAAGAGUCAUUAACGCUAGCUAAAAAAUAAAUUGAAAAUUCAAGAGAUAGAUACAGAUUAAGAUAGUUGAUCUCAUGCAAAGAGGAGUUAAUCAAUUUUGUUUAUUUAAUUAUAUGUCAAUUUUUCUUAUAAGAAAAUUAAUAAUUUAAAUUUCAAUGAAAAAAGUAAUUUGCAUGUAUAAUUCCUUCUUUUCUUAUAAAUAUAUUUUUCUCUAAAAGAAUAUAGUUUUUUUUUUCACUAUAUGCUUUAUUUGAUAAAAAUUGAGAGCAAUUAGAAUAAAUAUCAAAAACGAAUUUGAACGAUUUGAAAUAAUGAUAAAAAAAGGUCUCUUCAAUUAAAACUCAUUCAUCUUAUUAAUGAGGUUCUUUUUUAUAAUCUUGACAUGAAUAUAUUAAAACAAUAUAAGAAUAAUACAUUGCUCGAGUGAUUCCACAAUGAACUUUUUAAGUCUAUUUUUUAUUUAAUUAUACAAUAAUAAAAAUAGACAUGUAUAGAAAAGUCAAUGAAUAAGAGUUUUUUUAAAAAAAUCAUGAAAGAGUGUAUAAAAAGAACACUCACUAAUAUUAUAAAAAGAACACUAUAGUCUUAGUUGAAAUCCAAGUAAAAAUAGAACAAUAUUUAAUAAAAUGAUGUCCUAGAUAUAUUUUUAAGUAAUUUAUUUAAAUAAAAUUUAAUUAAAAUAGAAUGAAAAAACCAUAAAGACCUUAACAAAAAGAGGUUGUGUAAUUGGGCUUGGGUGGGCCUACACACUUGGCCCAUAACAAAGGAGGCCAAGUCCACAUGCUUGGCCAUCUUAAAAAAAAAAAAAAUAAGAGUACGAUGUGGCGUCUAUAGUGGUAAAUGACGCGUCACUUACUAGUAGACUUUAGGCAACUUGAUGUAACUAGAAAGUAAGGUCCUUAUUUAUUAGACCCAAAAAAAAAUAAUUCAACCCGUUUUUUACUUAAAAAUACCAAAGAAACACCCUAUAAACCUCCACAAACUAAUAUAUAACCUCUAACAAACCCUUUAUUUGUCAAAAAGCCAAAACAUCAUCCUAAAUAUAAAUAAAGAUCCAGAGAUCUUAUCUAUUUUUUCUAGCAAGAUCAAAGGUAAGAAACACAUCAAUAAAGCUCCUUUCAUCAAAUAGAACUCAUUGACAUAAAGAUCAAUUUUUUUAUUGUCAAAAUAUUAUUAAUCGAUAACUUUCUCUCACGUCCCUCAUUUUCCUUUGAUUUUUCUCUUAUUGUAAACCCAAUGACUAAAACGUGAAAAAAAUAGUUUUGGACCAAAACAUAAAAUGUUAAAACUAAAGGAACCAAAUGAGGAGUUAAUGGAGAAUAUGUGAAUAAAUGAUGCAACCAUAUUAUUUGAUAGUUUAACCCACAUUUACCUAGUAUUUUGCCUAUGUUUUAUAUAUAUAAUGCCUUGAUAUUCUUUAUUUUAUAUUUUUAAUGUACUUUUGGAUGUAAGAUUUUAAAAAAAAAGUAAAUUGGAGAUAAUUCAAACCAUAUUCCAGCCCAUGUCGAACAUUGAUAGAUUUGACCUCCGAUCGAUGUUUUGUGCAGAGCCUGAGGUCUAGAGGUCGAAAUGAAGUGAUUCUAGUGAAAUUAAAAAGCUAAAAUUCAUACUUUUCUAUACAUAUAUGGAAAGAAAAAUUAAAAAAAAAAUAAGCAUGGAAAUUGCAGCCUUCAAAGAUAAAUCUCACAUUCUGCCAGUGUUGACUUUCAGUCAUUUUGACUUGAAUAUCUUGAGUUAAAGAAAUCCAUAUGAUACAAACUUAAUUUUAUUGGAUUCCUGACUUGAAGACCUAUCAACCUACCAAGUUUCAGCAGAAAAAGAGCUCAAAUGAGAGAGAUAUGAUUUUUCUAAGACGAUUUAUAAAUUCGACCAGCAUACAAGUUUUGUGAACAAACAAGUUCAAUUUACUUCCCAAGCAUCCAAACUAACAUCCAAGUCUUUAUUUAGAAAAUUUAACUUCUCUAAAUUCAAAGUCAAAGCUUGAAGAUUUUAUUUGCACUACUUAAAUGUAAAUUGUCUACUUAGAAAAGGACUAUUUUGUAGGGAAGUAGGGAUUAUGGUUUCCUAUCAAAUAAAAAAGAAAGAGAAAAAGGAAGGGAGGGGCAGCCAGAAAGAGAAAAAAAACUCCACCUUUUCCUCCUAUACCUGAAAUCAUGUAUUCAUCUUUUCUCUUCAUUAGUUUUUCGAUAGAUAUGCAAGGCUAAGUUCUUUUUCUUGAUUGCAAGGACAUAGAAACCUUCGGAUUUUAAAAACUGUGAGAUCUAUUUUACCUUUUCUUUUCAGUUUCUAUGAUGAGUAUGUUUGUUUUCCUAUGAUUAUUUCCUAUUAUUGUUUAGUUUGAUUGUUAGAGCGGACUCUAAAUUAUUAUUCUAACCCAUCUAUUACUAAGUUUGCUAUCAAAAUCGGAGUUGUAAUAUCUAAACUUGUGAAGCAACUAAGUUUAAUAAUUAUGGUGGAUCUAUAUUAUUAAUCUUAGAGAAAACAUUCAAUCAAAUCAAACAUAGACUGCAAACAAUUAUGUUAUCUAGAUUUAUCAUCAUAUCUAGUUCUUAAGGCUACUAUUGAAUUAAAUUACAAGUGCGGACACUAUGGUUGUUUAAUAGUUAGGGUUAGUUGCACUGCAGAUCGGUUAACUAACUAAUGUCAAGAAAAGAUAAAUAUUCAGAAUAUAAAUUGACGUAUCGUUUCAAUGAUCAGUUCUGAUUUUUAUAGGUAACCAUUUACUUGAGACCAAUGUUUUUCUCUUGAUAAGUUUUAGAUUUAUUUAAUUCAGCGUGAUUGCUUUAUCUUGUUUACCAUAGCAUAACCUAUAUAACUUUAAAACCCCUUCAAUUUCAUAUCAUCUAACGUAAAAACUUGAAUUAAACCUUUCUCGUGGGAUUGACCUCUUGCUUACUUUAUACUAUCUUGUUUAUUUAAGCUGGAAUAAUUAAUUUGUGUUCAAAACCCCUUCAAUUUCAUAUCAUCUAGCGUAAAAACUUGAAUUAAACCUUUCUUAUGGAAUCGAUCUAUUGCUUACUUUAUACUAUCUUGUUUAUUUAAGCUAGAAUAAUUAAUUUGUGUGACCGUGAUAUCACAAUAAUAAAAAUGAAAUUCUUCACCCAAAUUUCAAAUGAGCCACAUUUUUUAGCUUGGUCAUUUCUCUUUUAAUUGUGUCUUUGCGCUACAAAUUCAAACUUUAUCUCAUUAAAUCGAACUGUUCGGAAAUCUGACCGAAACCUUGAACUUCCGAGAAUAUACAAAUAGAAAAGACCAUAAAAAAAAAAGAAGAAGCCAUAAAUGACACAUGCAAAGUUGCAAAAAAAGCACUGAGGGUCUUGGCCUGGCGGUGGGAGGGGCUUGUCUCCUUCCACUGCUCCUAGGUUCGAGCCCUCAUGUGCACGUCUGUCACAUUUUUUUUUCUUUUUUUUUUAAUAAGAGCUUCAUCUCUUCAUCCUUUUCUAAACAAGGAAAAUCAGCUUGCAACUUGAAAGUCAGCAAAUAACAAAUGGAAAUCUAUCCUUGAAGUUUCUUCCAUACCACCCAUAUACUUUACCAUCAAAGAAUAAUAAUAUCUUACAACCAUGAAACAGGCAGUCAAUUCACCAUUACAUCUUACGUGUCCUCUAAGGAAUUUGUUUUUUUUCACAAUACGUAGGGAAUUAAGGAAGAAAAUGCCUACAAUGCUACAUCCAAAAGAAAGCUUCACAGCCGUCCAAUAAAUAACCCAAAUGAGAGGGGAAAGAACACAAAAGAUUAGCUUUCAACAGUCGUUCAACAAAAAGCUCCAAGGUGCUUCAUCUUUGACCAAAGAGAUUGGAAAUGACAAAGCACAUAAUGAUCUUGAAUAGAGUGAUCAUGUUAAAGUUUUAAAGCAGCAGAAGAAUGGUGAUGAGCAUAGCCAAAUUGGACAGGAAGAUGCACGCACCAAUCUUGGGCAGCCCAUUUGGAGCUCCUGGUGGUACUGCUGUAGCUCCACCACCUGGAACUGGGGGACUUGCUGUAUGAGAGGGCAAGGGUCCCUCCACAACAUCAGGUGCAGUUAACACUGGGUUUGGAGGCUCAGCUGGGGGCAAGGCAAAAGGUGGGAUUAGCGGCAUGAGACCGCCAGGCUGAGCAGGGCUCAUGUAAUGAGGUAAAACAUUAUAGCCCAAGCAUCGGUUCCCUGCAAUAAAAUGGAGCAAUGUGUUACUAAAUGGCAAACAGAUAUCACUUCAUGUCUGGUGGAUAAAUUUAUUAUGGAAUUUCCCUCAAAUCUGAAAUGAGACUAACACAAAUAAUGGCAGUUAAAUAUACUCUCAAGUCAUAUUGUAUGAUCCUAACCUGAUUUCUACACAUAACAUGUAAUAUGCGAACCUAUUUUUCUCAGCCUAGUACAGUAUGAAAUUAAACUGACAUUUUCAUGAGAACAAGAUCAUCUAAGGAAUAAUUUUUCCAGAACAUACAACUUCGUCCAGGAUUCACUCUGUAUUGUUGCAUAUAAACUAGAAACAUCAGUGACUUACUCUUGUAUCUGGCAGAAGUCAGAGGGAAUUCUGUGAUAACACCGCUGAUGUUGACUCCCAUGACGUAGGAGUUAAUUUCAACUGUUGAAUCUGAGAAGAAGUCCCAUGCCUGAGAUACAAACUCAUUGCUGAAAGUUUCCACAUAAACUGAGAGCCCAUGCGAUUGCAGCUUUGGCACAACAUUUGUAACACCACUGAGGAAUGAAGAACUUUCAGGAAAGACAGAAGCCUUGCUGAUGACCACAGAAUUAGCAAAGUCUUUGAUGUCCUUCAGUGCUGCAUCUUGAGCAUCUUGAAUAUCCUCUUCAAUCCGGUACACAAGCUCAUAAUUGCUUUCGUCCCUAAAUUUCAUUAGAACUGAGCUGUUGGUGGACUCAAUCAUAACUUUCUUGGAAGUUGGAUCAUCAUAACCAGCUAAGCUCAAGACUUCAAGUACUUUGUCAGUAAUGGGUAAUCCCUCUUUCUCUAUAAGAUAGGCUGCGUUCUGAAAUGAACAGAACAGACAACAAACAUCAGUCAGGGUGGGAACAACCUUCAUUUUUUCUACUGAGCUGCAUGAAAUGUGGACAAAAAUAAUAAUCACAUAUUCUUCUUUUUUUUUGGCUGCUGUUGAAGACCUUAUUCUAUUAUUCUAUGAGAGAAAUCCCCAGGCGUGCAAUUAUAGCUCAAAGGUCUGUACUAAGCAUGUGAGCUGCUCAUGAGACUAGAAGCAUGGCAGGAAGUUACGCCAAAGGAUGCGGUUAAUACAACCACAGGAACCAUUGUCAUCUUUAUUGCUACAAAAGAAAUGAAAAUGCAGAUCGCUAGCAGAUGAGAUAUCUGAAAUGAGCAACCACUGAAUAUGAUGGUCCAUUAAGUUCCAUCAACCAUGGAAACUAAUACCAUGUGUGAAAUGGUUUCCAAGUUGGGGAAGAAAAAUAAAAGAGAUAAUAUGUUCCACUAACAGAACUAACCAAUUAAGCACUGCUUUUGUUUUACUAAUAAGGUGUAGUGUGAUGAUAAAUUUGAUUUUGAUAACAUGCUUUCCAUCCAACAGGAAAAAUGUAAAAUUUCCACAAACAAUCAAAGGAAUAUCAAGUGCAAGCAGUUUAUGCAAGUUCAGAGUAAAAAUGCAGCAAAUGCUAUAGCAGGAAUCAGAUGAUUCAAACAAAGGAUCAUGUACGAGUAAUGUGAGCUUAGCAAAAACCCACCUCAAUGCUAAUCAAGACACCAGAAAGCGAGCUAGUGUUCUUUGCCAAUGCUAAGAAAUCAGACAAUGUUAGAAACUUCCCUAAAUUUUUGAAUUUGGGAUUCCGUAACAAUUCAUAUUUUGAAUAUGGAUUGGAAAUCACCGCUACAAUGAAAAAAGAAAAAGAUCAAUACAAUAUCAUUUUCUUCAAUGAAAACAUUUGGACAAUCAUACAUCCACAAAGAAACAACAUAUGGAAUUCAAACAACAACAACUAGAUUACAAAGCAGAAUUUAGAGUUGGGCAGGAGUCAAAAAAGAGAGCAGAGGAAUAUUUCUGUUCCUUUUCUCACAAAAUUCUACCUUUUAAAAUGUAAAGAGAGCAAAAUCAAAAGAAUGGUGCCAGGCAAAGGACAUUUGCGUUUAGUAUUGUUCCAAGAAUUGUAAUCUCUGUAAUUCUUUUCAUGUAUUUAUUCUCAAAUCUCAAGUGGUGGGAAUAGCUGGUUAUGAGAUCUUGUCUUGUGACUCCCACGACCAAGACAUUAUUUCCUUUGAGCCCUAGAUGGAUGUGUUUUUUUGGCUGGCCACUCUUUAUUUCUCUUCCUCAAUGUCCUAAAUUAUUUUAACUUUGCGAUCCAGUACUGAGCAUUCUAUUUUAACAGAAUGUGAGGAUUGAGUAAUGCCCCUCCACGUAAUUGUUUGUUCAUAGGCCAAGAUUUUUUCCCCCACUAAAAGGAAAAAAAAUUUAUAAAAAAAAUCAUGUUUUAUUGGGAAGGGGGUGCAACAGAAGAUUGAAAAAGCAAAAGAAGUAAAAGCCAACCAGUUUGAACUUACGAGUUAAGUUCUGAAUCUCACUCCAUGUUAAGCUAAAGGUGAAUAUCCCACUGCCUGCCUUAAUCUGUGGAAUAUUCUGUUCACGAUUGCUGUAAAUUGAUUGGGCAACUGUUGUACUGUCAUAAAGAUUUAUAGAGCCUAAGCAAAAUGGUAUCCCGUCUUUUGAUAUUUGAACAGGACAAUCAAUAACAUCAGCACCAUCUAAAAUAGCUUUCUGGUAAGCCAAAUCAGUGCAACCAGGGUAGUCUCCACUUGCACCAUUUUUUGAGAUGACCGAAAGGUUCACUGAACCAUGAGAAAAGGAGGACAGAAGAGCUAAGUACUAAUGUUCAAAAAAUGCAAUAUCCUUUGAAGUUAAAUCUCAUAUAAAAAGAAUCAGAAAAUAAUUUUGCACCUUGAGGUGUAGCAUUCUUGCCCAGACCAGAAAAACAAUCUGCAAUACAGAAGGAGAAAUCAGAAUCUCAAAAUAUUUAUUCUCCGGAUUAGGAGAAAUAUCCAGACAGAACUUAAGCAUUAUAAUCUUUAACUCCAACCGAAAGAUUACAGCUAGGAUAAGAAGAGAAAUUGUCUCAAUGGUUCUAUGAGUCAAUGAUAACAGCAGUCACAGUACUAAACCUUUUAAGUUCGACCAAAAUUUGAAUCAUGCAGUGAUAAGGAAUAAAGUAUCAAGCAUGUUCUGACAUGAGAAGCUAGAAGUAGCAACAGUUGAAAGUUAAAUGAUGGUAGGCAGGCUAACAACUGUUCCCAUAAAGAAAUUACUGCUAAAUGUCCAGUUAUUUAAGUUGAAAAACACUAGAUUGAACCAAUAGUUCACGGUUUGUUCAGAUCCAUGAUGCUUAAAGAGAAGGAUUACAGCUUACCAAUAGUCGCAGAAGGAGUUACUGGAAAGUCAGAGAGCACGCCAUCAACAGAGAAUUCACCAUUGUCAACAAAUCUGAGAUACUCAGUUACAGGAUCAUAACUGUAAUUGUAACUUAGUGGAACGUCAUUAUAAAAUUCUGAUACAAAAACCUCUAGCCCUGCCUUGUGUGCAUCCGAGACGAUAGAAGUAUGAGGUUGUAAGUAAUUACUUGCAUCUAAAGGCCAUAUGUAUGACUUAGGGAUAAGAAUUCCAGAUGCAAAUGUCUUGAUGAAAGUAAAGUUCUUUGAGAGAGAACCAUAUGUCUCAUUUGUUGAUGGCUCGAUGACAUUUGAUUCCAGAAACCGGAAGACCAGUUUUGUUAUAUUUAGGUUAAAUCUCUUAACAAUACUUCUCAAGAAACCCGCUUCUGGUGAUGAGAGAUGAUUAAUGACAACCCUUCUGUAUAGAGACAGUACAUAGCUUCUCAUACUCAAAUUGUGCUGUGUGAAGAAUGCAUCAUGCUGCAAAAGUAUCAGAACAAAAAGAUUUGGUUGAAAUAAUAGAUGGUAGUGCACGUUCCACUGAAUUAAAGGGAAGGGAAGAACAGAAACAACAGUAAAGAAGGCUUCAUGUUAAUAAGUUCAUAGAAGGUACUGGUGUAAGAUAAAACAGAAAUUAUAUUGCUUCUCUACCUGAAUAUUCAACCAUAAGCCUGGUGGUUUUAAGGUAGCCACAUCCUCAACAGUUUGGAUGGGAUAAAUGUAAUCAAACCUUUCACUCCGAGAAAAGAUUCCCUGAUUCACUGUCAAGGAAAAACAAUGUCAGAAUCAGAAGUUCAAGGCAGGAAUUGAGAAGUUAAGAAACAGUUGAUCCACACAGACUGGUAUGCUAAGAAAAUUUUCAUAGUCAAUCUCAUGAAGAUCAAUUUAGAUAAAAUCUCCUUCAGAGACUAAUGAGCAGGUCCCUAUCAGUAAAAUCUGAAGAUCAACAAUGGGAUAUCCAAAUCCAAAAACAAAACAACCCCCCAUUGGUUUUUUCUUCAAAUAUUUGAUUGAAGUAUCCUAUCUGCAAUAAAACUCUCAGUGUCUCUAAAUGACCUGAUGUUAUUAACUGUCUUUCAUGCUUGACCAUUACUAUCACUUAUACAUCAAGCAAACUUCACAAACAGAAGGACUAUAACAACAACAAUAAAUAAUAAGAAUGGAGAAUAAACAGCUUGUACUUUUGUGUUAUUCUUAUGCAAAUAAAAGGGGUAAGGUCUUGAGUUUGACUCCCGCCUUUGUCAAUUCAUUGCUAAUUUCAACAAAAAAUGAAAAGAAGGAAAUGGCAGCUGAUUCACUUGAUUCAUGCAAAUUUUUAGCAAUCAACAAUAAGAAAAUCUGGAUAUUUCAAAUGAUCACUUCAUGUAAUAAUAAUACUUUACAAGAAGUAUAGAAAUAAACAGGCUACCAAAAAAUGACCAAUAACCAUAUGAAGCAAGUUGUUGAAGUCUUAGCCAAACUCACAGGAUACAAGUGACAAUUCAUUGAGAGUGAAAUCCACUGUGAACCAUCCUCGGGUAGGAAUUCCAUUAACUAGGUACAACUUAUCCUUAUUUUGCAUAACUUGUGCAAUGCUAGUAGAAUUGUCAAGCCUGAGAUCAGGGGCACAAAUCCCCACACUAUCUUUAGUUAACUGCACAUCACACCAUAGGACAACACCCGGCAAACUUGUAAGUGUUGCAAACUGGAAAGCAUCUGAGCUAGAAUCAGGAAAUAAUCCUGAAAACCCGCCACGUGCUAUGACUAAAGGGGGAUUUCCUGCAGAAUGAAAUUAAUUAGUGAGCUUUUUUCAUUAUAAGGUCGAUUGACUCUACUCAAAUGUGUUAUAGGGUCAUAUUUUUAUCCAUGCAAAUUUACUGCAACACAGAUUGCAAGUUCACUAACCAAAAAUUGUUAUUGCAACACAAAUUACAUCAAAUUAUUUUGUGAGCAUAUAAGAAUUAGUUAAGUUGCAAGUUCAACAUUUUUUGGGUAUUCAUAAUAGAAAUAUUUUGGAAAGCACCAAGAAUCUUAUGAGUAGCCAUUUUUCUUGAAAGAAUUUUAUUGACCAACAUUCUUUUUUGUCAAUUUUCUCAACAAACUCAGAUUUAUAGAAACCUCCGGUUUUUGGAAAGCCAGGUUCAAGCAAAUUAACUAUCACAUAAAACAAUUGACUUAUCAGAACUUAGAGUGUGGGGAAAUGUAAAAAGAAAAAUGAAAAACCACCCACAACACCAAUAUCCAAAAGCCUGUAAUUCAUGAAAAAGAAAUGCAUGCACUUUUUUUUUUGUGUAUAAUGAACUGAACUGGUAGGAAUUUCAUAUAAAUUGAAGGUUUUCCAUAAAUGACAUGAUGUGAUUUCUCCAAGAAAAGAAAGAAAUUCAAGAAUUCAUUUUGCAUAAGCCCAUGAUGAGAUCAAAAUCAGCUUUCGAAAAAGAAAUCAAUUUUAAUCUUUGAAUUUAAAGUAAUCUUCAAGGCCCAAUACAAACAAGUUAUCUUAUUCUAGAAAUAGUAACCAUGUUGUUCCUUGCUAUUUUCUUAACUAAAGCUUAUUUAAAACGGUGUUUAACGAUCUAAGAUACCAUAAAUAAAAUUAUCACAAAUUCUACUAAUUACUCAUUUAUCAUAAAUCAAAUGUAAAAAAAAAAAAAAAGUAAAAUAUUGCAUCUCUUAUAUAUUUUCAAUAUUUAUUUAAGGCCAAAUCUUCAAAGACGGAAAGCAAACUCCCUACAAAUGCAACUAGCUCCUAAGCUGUAAUUCUAAAAUAGAAAAUCGAGCAUCACAUGCAUUUUCCUAGCAAACAAACACAAAAUCUAGAGGGAGAGAGAAAUCUGAGUGCGUGGUAGUGAGAGAAAAGCAAAGACAGACCGGUGAGUGUUUGCCAGGUAGUAGCAGAUCCCUGAGCAGAGACAACAACCACCAAUGACUGAAGUAGUAGUACAGCUAGUAGAGGAGUGAAGAACGAGCGUAAGUUACACAUUGCCGGAAAAUCUAGCCGGCGACUUGUUGGAGGAGCUUAAGCAAAACUCCGGCCAAUAUAUAUAUAUAUAGACAGAGACACCGACCAUUAAUCUUACUAAAACAAAUAUAUCAGAUAAUAUGUGGUAAAUUAACAAUUGAGUUGGACUAGAGAUCCCUAUCUGCCCACUCAGUGAUGGAAUCGGGAUGGCUCGAGCCACUGAGUAAAAGGUGACAAGUGCUGGUUGGAAGACAGCUAGAAUGGCGUCCACACCAUGAGCACAAACAAUCCGGCAACAGUCCACUUGUCAUGAUAUGAUUGGUUCUCCUAUUUUAGGAGAAGGUGACUUGUCAGCACGCAACGAGAAAACAAGAAGACAUCCACAAACGACAGAAGAUAUUGGAAAAAGAUGAUGGUGAACCAAUUGGCAACAAUAGUUUACAUUUAGGAGUCAAUAAAUAGACUUAUCAUUUUGACAUGACUAUUUUAAUAAUGACCCGUUGUUUUUUUAUAAUAAUUAUAUAUUUAUUUACUAAUUCUUUGUUUUAUAUAUAUUGUGGUUUUCUUGGGUUUUUAAUGGAAUAUAUAUAUAUAUAUAUAUAUAUAUAAACUAAACCUAGAGAUCUUUUCAUUAUACACGCAUGCAUUGUGCAUCCUUUUACAAAUUAUUAUUAAUUAAAUAAGUGAUCUUGUUUUUUUCAUUUUAAUCUCUAAUUUGUUUUUUUUGUACUGAAUCUUUUUCUAGCAAAGUUGAUAGUCAAUUGUUUCAAAAUGGUUAACAAAAGGCAAAAUUAAAGGAUAAAAGACUAAAGGGAAAAUAAAUGUUGUUUCUAUUGAUCUUUAAGUAAUACAUUUAUGAUUUUAUAUAUGUUUUGCCGAUAAUAAUAAUAUCAAAAUUAUACUAAUAAUAUGCUUGGUUGAGAAUAACUUUAAACUUGUUUUAUAUGAAGAAUAUCAACAAGCAUGGAUCAUGUCCAAGAAGAAAGCAAAACGAAGUAUUUAUUUUAGUGCUCAUGAUGUAAUCAUAUUAUUCGAUAGUUUCACCUACAUUUAACUAGUGUUUUGCCUAUGUUUUAUGUAUAAAAUGCCUUGAUAUUCUUUGUUUUAUGUUUUGAAGGCACCUUUAGAUGAAAGAUGCAAAAAGGAGUAAAUUGGAGGUAAUUGACAGAUUUGACCCUCAGUCGAUGUUUUGUGCAGAGCGUGAGUUCUAGAAGUCGAAAUGAAGUGAUUCUAGUGGCAUUAGAAAGAUAACAUCCAUACCUUUCUGGAAAUAUAAGUCAAGAAAAAUAAAAAUACAAAGAGCAUGGAAAUCACAUCCUUCAAAGUCAAAACUCGCAUUCUGCCAGUGUUGACCUUUGUCCAUUAAAAAUUCAAUAUCUGGAGCUACAGACAUCCAAUUGAUGCAAACUCAAUUGUGUUGGAUUCCUGACUCAAAUUCGUACAAACGCUCCAAAUUUCAGCCAAAAAAAAUGUCAUAUGAGGGAGAUAUGAUUUUUCAAAGAUGACAAUUGAAUUCUGCCAGCAAACAGGUUUCAUGAAGAAACGAAUCCAAAUUACAUCCCGAAGCAUCCAAACCGACAUCCAAGUUUUAAUUUCAGCAAUUUAGCUCCUCUAGUAAAUCAAUCCAGAAGGUCAAGGAAGGCAGCCACCAACCUCAAGCCACCAACCUCAAAUCACCAACCACAAACCAGCUGCCAACCACCAGCCACCAGCCGUCAGCCGCCUUCACACUACCACCAUCUAUCGAUGUUCACACUUGAACUUUGAUUCUUCUUACUUACAUUUUGUGUAUAAAUAGGCAGCUAAGUUUAUGCUAUGAAGAGAGCCAAUAGGGAAGGAAAGAGAGCCAAGAGAGGGAGAGGGAGUGCAGUGGAAUAAAAGAAAGAGGGGUGGCAGCCAUAAGAGAAGAAACACAAACUCUCCCCUCUACAAAUCAGAAAUCAUGUAUUCUUUCAUCUUUAGGAGUAGUUGUUCAAUAGAUAUGCAAGGCUAAGCUCGUUUUCUUGGUUGCAAGGACGCAAACACCUUCAGAUUUCAAGAACAAUGAGAUUUAUUCUUCCAUUUAUUUUCAGUUUGUAUUAUGAAUGAGUAUGUUUGUUUUCCUAUGCAUAUUUCCUGUGAUUGUUUAUCUUAAUUGCUAGAGCGGACUCUAAGUUAUUAUUGUGAACAAUUUAUUGCUAAGUUUGAUAUCAAAACCGGAGUUGUGGUAUAUAAACUUGUGAAGCAACUAAGCUUGAUAAUUGUAGCGGAACUACGUUAUUAAACUUAGGGAGAACAUUCGAUCAAAUGCAACACAAACUGACAACUUGGUUGUUAAGAUUAAUGACUUUAUCUAGAUCUUAAGGCUGCCAUUGGAUUAAAUCAUUAGUGCGGACACUGUGAUUGUUUGUUGGUUAGGGUUAAUUAUACAGCGGAUCUGUUAAUUAACCAACGUUAAGAAAAGAUAAAAAUUCAGAAUAUAAACUGGAGUUUCGUUUCAAGGAUCGGUUGUGAUUUCUGUUGGUGGAUGUGUGCUUGCGACCAAGGUUUGUUUUCUUGAUAUAUUUCAGUUUCAAUUGAUUUUGUUUAUUAGUGUAAUUUCUACCAUAGUUUAGAUCAUUGUAAAUCAAACCCCCCCAAUUACAUAACGUAUAGCAUAAAAAUCUGAACUAAACCUUCCUCGUGGGAUCGACCCCUUGCUUGCUCUAUACUAUCUUGUGUGUUUUAAGUUAGGGUAAUUAAUUUGUGCGACCGCGACAUCGCAACAGCUCAUGUGUAAAUCUUUAAAUACUACUUGAAAGCAGUAAUUAAAAUGAAUUCACACAUUUCACUUCACAUAUAUUUUAAAAGGAUUGAUAAAGCGGUUCUAAGAAUUCAUCAAGUUUAAAACUAUCAAAACUAGAAUUAUACAUGAACCAGUUGAUCAUUUGAUGAUACCAAAUGAACCGGUCGACUGCUUGCUCAUCAGGGAUGAACACCUAGAAAUUUAUAGAAACUGGUCGAUCGCUUCAGCCGUCAGUGGGUCUAACGACUGGUUUCUUUUAGAAACUUAUAAAUAGCUCUCAUUCUUGCAAAACUGUAAGAGAAUUCCGAACAUACAAUAUAUAGAGACUAUUUCAAAAGCAAAACUAGCUAGAAAUCAUCAAUCCUAACAUACUAUAAUGUUAUGCUAAAUUCAACCUUCAUAUUCUAGCACAAGAGUAUAAAUUCUCACACUCACUAUACUUAAACACUUUCAUACUUUCUAAGUGUUAUUUAGUGAGUUAUAGACAUCAUAGUUUUCAAUUGUAUUAUCUACUCUUUAAAAGAGUGUUGUCACAUUUCAAACAAUUGUAAACCUUCAAAAGUAUAGGUGAAAAACUCUUGGUCAUUGGUGAGGUGCAUCUACAAGGUAAAAAAUCUGAAGUUGAUAUUUCUUCAAGUGGUGAAUAAAGGGCUCAACAAGGAUUCAUCAAGGACAUUGUAAUCUCUAACUUGGAUUAGUAAAGAAUAUAGAGUCUAUAAUAAUAUAACACUGUGUCUUGAAGAAUUCAUGUAUGUUGUCUUCAAGGAAACUCAAAAUGAUAAAAUUGUUGAGAUUCUUUAUCACAUUAAUGAAUGUGGUCAACAUUUGAGUCUUAAUGAUAAGACCCCCAUGGAGGCUAACAAUAAAAAAAUAAACAAAGACCAACCAAGCACAAGUAAUCAAUAAGAGAUGGUAAGUAACUCUUUUAUUCCACCAAAAGAGUUAAGGUACAUAAUCUCUUACCUUUUUGAGUUAAUUAUUGACAACCAUUUUGAAGAACAAAGGCUAUAACUUCAUUUACAAAUAUAAAUGGUCAUUUUGUUUUUGUUUCAUAUAUAAAACCUAAAUCAUUUCUUGAAACUGAAAAUGAUGAUAAUUGAAUUUUAGCCAUGCAAGAUGAGUUAAACCAAUUCAAAAGAAAAUUAUGUAUGAGAACUAGUCCUUAGACAUAACAACCAAUUAAUUAUUGGAACUAAAUGGGUUUUUAGGAACAAAGUUGAUGAGCAUGAGACCAUUGUUAGAAAUAAAGCUAGACUAGUUGUCAAAAGUUAUAAUCAAGAAGAAGAUAUUGAUUAUAAAGAAACCUUUACACUGAUGGCUCGAUUAAAAUAAAUAAGAAUGCUUUUAGCUUUUUGCAUGCCAUGCUAAUUUUACACUUUUUUAAAUGAAUGUUAAAAGUGCAUUUUCAAAUGGUCUUAUUAUGGAAGAAGUGUAUGUUAAGCAACCUCAAGGUUUUAAAAACUUUCAUUUUCCCGAUCAUGUUUUCAAACUCAAAUAGGCUUUAUAUGGUUUAAAACAAGCAACAUGAGCAUGGUAUGAUAAAUUAAAAUCUUUUCUUAUUGAUAAUAGUUUUAACAUUGGUAAAAUUAACAUCACCCUCUUCACAAAGAGAAAAAGGUAAAGAUAUCUUGUUUGUGUAAAUAUAUGUUGAUGUUACUAUAUUCGAUGCUACUAAGGAAUCUCUUUGUAAGGAAUUUGCAGGAUGUAUGCAAGAUGAAUUUGAAAUGAGCAUGAUGGGAGAAUUAAAUGUUUUUCCUUAAAUUGCAAAUCAAACAAGCAAAGAAUGACAUCUUCAUCAACCGAAGCAAGUGUAUCAAAGAUCUACUAAAAGAUUUGGGAUGAAACAUGUCAAAGAAGUUGACACACCUAUAAGAACAUCAACCAAGCUUGAUAUGGAUGAAAAUGAUAAGAAUAUAGACAUCACCAAAUAUUUAGGUAUAAUCGGUUUAUUCUUAUAUUUAACUCCAAGUAUACUCGAUAUUAUGUUUUGUGUAUGUCUAUGUGGAAAUUUUCAAACAUGUCCUAAAGAAUUCCAUGUUAGUGCUAUAAAAUGAAUUUCUUUGAUAUUUGCAUGUACAAUUGAUUUAGGGUUGUGGUAUUCGAAAGGAAACGAGUUGAAUUUGAAUCGGUAUUCAGAUGUUGGAUUUAUUGGGUGUAAAGUUGAUAAAAAUAGUACUAAUGAAACUUGUUAUUUUAGGAUCAUCACUAGUAUCUUGGGCUAGUAAAAAACAAAACUCAAUAGCCCUAUCAACAACUGAAGUCGAAUAUAUUAUAGCGGGUAGUUGUUGUGCAUAAAGUUUAUGGAUAAAACAAACCUUAAAAGACUCUGGUCUUAAUUUUGAUAAUAUAUUGUUGGUUAAUUGUGUUUAAUUGUUUAUUUAAAUUAAUCACAAUAUUUGUAAAUAUUAGUUGAACACCUAAUUCAACUCUUUUAGGUGUUAUUAUUGCCUUAAUCUUAGAACAACAAUUUCCAAAAAUAUACGUUACUCCUCCUAUUUUUCACUUUAUCACUUUUUAGCCCUUUUAGUUUUUUAAAAUGCAUUUUAGUCCAAAAUUUUAUUUUUCUUGUUUCUUAGUCUUUGUUUUAGAGUGGAGGGAUAAAUUCGUUAGAUUCCAAUGAUAGAGAGAGAAAAUAUUUGUUGACAUCAAUUUAGAUCACUAAAAAAGUCAAUUUUGAUGUUAAUGGGUUCCAAUCGAUGAGAUGAGUUGUAAUGGGGUGUUAUUUGGCCUUCCUAUUGCUUGAGAUGAUAUAUUUGAGCUCAACAAGGUUUUUGAAUUCUGGUUGAUUUUAGGUUUAUGGACAUGUUUUUAGGUUAUUUGAUCCCAUAAACAAGCUUAACAAGGUCUUUAGGGUAUUUUCUAAGUGUUUUAGGUCACAAAUAGGUUGAAAAAAUAAAUUUUAUGAAAAAAAUACUACUACCCUAAUUUUUCAGCGACUCUCUAUUCGUUGGAUUCUGGAGACGUAGAUGACAUGUCUUUUGCCUCGUUUUAUUUUUUAAAUAGUGAGCAGACGAUGUGUUGUCCACCCUCUAUUAUUAGAAAAAAAAAAAAAGGCUCAACGUGCCAGCCAUGCCUAUGUUUAUGGGCCAGAUGUGUGGCUUGGCCUGCGCACUUGGCUGAAUUGAUAUUUUUUAAAAUGAUAUUUUUUUUAAUGCUUUUUUAGCUCUUUAAAAUUAAAAAAAAAUUUCGUCCUUCGUCAUUUAAGUUUCUCUUUUUGUUAUUUUCAUUAAAAAAAAAAAACCUUUUUGUUUAUCCAACUUUAAAAAAGGCUAUUUUUUCUUUUUUUAGCCCCACACUUCGUGUGACUAAAUAAAGAAUAAUUUAAGAGAUAGAAAGUUAUUAAAUUCAAUAUGAUACAUGACCCAAAUCAUGAGUUUAAUAGGUUGAUUUAAAUUUACUUGGGUCUUUUUUUUUGUCUUUUUUGAAUUGAAUAUUUUUAAUUUUUAAUUUAGUCUUUCAACAUUCAGUUCCUUGGGUAUUGAGCCUUGUUAUUUGUUUUGAUUUGCUUUAGAUGGAUUAUCAUGGUCUUAUGAUUUAGGUUGCAAAUUGAGCUGGUUAAUCUUGAUUAACUCAGGUCGAUCUAAUAUGUUGUUGUUACAAUAUUUGAGAAAAUAAUUAUUCAAUAUAUCAUCAUCUCAAUAUUAAAAAAAUAUAUCAUAAAAUAUGUGUUGGAUUUUGUAUUCAUGAUUAAUUCUUUUUCAGAAAACACAUCAUCAAUCCCUAAAGGUUUUUUUUUUUUUUUUUGCAUUAGAAAAAAAGAUUUAUGGAAAAGUGUGUUUUUAAAAUCUUUCAGUUCAAAAAUAUUGUUAUUGUUAAAUAAAAAUAAUAAUUUCUUUCCCCUCAAGAUUGUGUCGCUCAUCCAAAAUGAUUAAUAUAAUCAUAAUAUUUUUUUAUUUUUAAAAAAUAUUAAAUUGAUAAUAAUUUUAAUGAUUUUAAUAAAAAAAUAAAAAGUUAUUUUAAAGUGUUUUUACAUAUUAAUAAACAUUUUAUACACAAUUAUUAUGCUGCCAUCAACAUUUACAUUAAAAAAUAUAUAACUCUCUUUCACUAUAGUCAAAUAACCCUCGAAGGUUUAUCCUUUUAAUAAAUUAUUGUAUUUGGUAUUAGUUCAUCUUAAAAAAAAUUAUAUGUUUUUUAUACAUAUCAUCAACAAGUUUGGUUAUUUUCUAUUUCCAUAGCCGAUUUUAUCUUAUGACAAUAUUAUAAAGAGAGGUUUAUCAGCUUUUAUUGCAAACUAAAUUCUCUUCUUCUUCUUUUUUUCUAUUGAUACUCAUCUAAAUUUUAGGCUAACAUAUGAAUUUUAAAACGUUUAUUUUUAUUUUAAAUAUAAACAAAAAUAAUGCUAUAUAAUUGAUUAAUUUUUAGAAUUAGAAAAACUAUUUAAUUUAUUAUUAAAAUAAAAACCAAGAGACUAAUUUAUAAUUUAUUGUGUUAUUGAGUUUAUUUGUCUAAAAAUAUGCAAUGUGUAUUUAUGAUAUGUUAAACCGUUUAUUAUUGUGGUAAUUUUUAUUUUUUUAUUUAAUUAUAAAGAAAUUUUUUUUUGAUUAGUCAAAUAAUUUAUAUUUUUAAAUUGAACCCCACAUAUAAUUACAUUUCAAACAUUAAUUUUAUAAAAACUAAAAUAAUUUUUUUAUCUCACAACAAUUUUAACUAAACAGUUUAUAUUUUUAAAAUUACUAAUAAAAUUACUUAUUAAAUUCUUUUUUAAAAAAACUGCAAUUGCAUAAGCUAAACACUACCUAAUCUAACUUGCGUUUUGAAUUUUGUUAUCUUGACGGUGAGAUCAGCUGGCUUAAGGUUUUUAAAUUAUUUGACUGGAUGAUGAGCUGAGAGAGGUUUCUAUUAUCAUUACUUGUUAUUUUAAUGAAAGCUUCGUGUAUUCAAUUCAUGGAAGUCUGUACAAUGACAAUAAUGCCCUGAGGUAAAAGGAUUGGUGAGGGAGUUCCAUUUGUGUUACGGUGAACCAUACUUCUAACCUUCUUUUUUUAUUUUAUUGUAUUAGUUGCGAAUAAGUUCUUUAUUAUAUUUGAUUAUAGGAGUAAUUGACUGAUUUAUUUUUAUACAUUGGAUAGUAUUCUUUGACAUGUUCAUCCUUAUAUAUUUAUUAUUUUCUCCCAUAUAUUGUUUUUUUAUUAUUAUUUGAUAAAAUACCCCUCAAAUUAUAAGAACAUUAAAAAAAAAGGGUGAAACUUAACUAUAAAAAAUUAAAGAAACUUGAAAACUUUAGGAAAAGAACUUACAAAACAUAAUAACAAUAAAAAGAAAAAAGAAAAAAAAUGAAAGUACCUAGUAAAAUCUAAAGGUUAAAAAAUUGAUCUGAUUUUGUAGGACACGAGUUCUAAACAUUUUUCAUUAGUCUCUAUGUUUUUUCUAUAUUUUUAUUAAUUAUUUUAAUUUUUUUGAAAUAUUCAAAGUUUUUGUCUUUCUGAAUUUUUUAAUUUUUUUAGUUUUUUUGUUCUUAGAUUCGGUUAAUUUUUUAAAAAAUUGUAAUUUUUUAUAUCCUUAUAAAUAUAUAAGGAUAUAUGAAUUUUAAGAAAAUUCUCACAUGGAGAAAUAUGUUCAAGGAUCGAUGAAUAUAAUGUCCUUAAAUCAUAUCUCUCUCUUUUUGAAAAUUGAAAUUCACUUGCCAAUAAUUAUUCUUCUAACUUGAAUUUUGAUUUUCAAUUAUAAAAUUUUCUUUCUUUUCUUUAUUUUUUCCUAAGAAUAUAUUUAGAAAGUUUGUUUUCGUGUUAAUAAUUUUAAUGUGUUAAUAUAUAUAUAUAUAUAUAUAUAGACAGAGACACCGACCAUUAAUCUUACUAAAACAAAUAUAUCAAAUAAUAUGUGGUAAAUUACCAAUUGAGUUGGACUAGAGAUCCCUAUCUGCCCACUUAGUGAUGGAAUCAGGAUGACUCGAGCCGCUGAGUAAAAGGUGAUGAGUGUUGGUUGGAAGACAGCUAGAAUGGCGUCGACACCAUGAGCACUAACAAUCUGGCAACAUUCCACUUGUCAUGAUAUGAUUAGGGGGCGCAUUGAGGGAAGCAAAAUGCGUGGAAUGGUUCUCUUAUUUUAAGAGAAGGUGACUUGUCAACACGCAAAGAGAAACAAUAAGACAUACUCGAAUGACAGAAGACAUUGGGAAAAGAUGAUGGUGAACCAAUUUGCAACAAUAAUUUACAUUUAGGAGUCAAUAAAUAUACUUAUCAUUUUGACAUGACUCUUUUAAUAAUGACCCAUGGUUUUUUUAUAAUAAUUAUGUCUCCAAUUUUUAAAUUUAUAUUUAUUUACUAAUUCUUUGUGUAUAUACAUAUUGUGGUUUUCUUCGGUUUUUUAUGGAAUAUAUAUAUCAACAAAAACAAAAAAAGGAACUAAGCCUAGAGGUCAUUUACUGGACACACCUGCAUUGUCCAUCUUUUUACAAAUCAUUAUUGAUUAAAAAAGUGGUCUUUUUUUUAAUUUUAAUCUCUCUUUUUUUACUGAAUCCUUUUCUAGCCAAGUCGAUGGUCAAUUAUUUCAAAAUUGUUAACAAAAACUAAAAUUAAAGGAUAAACGACCAAAGAGAAAAUAGGUGGUUGUUUCUAUUGAUCUUUAGGUAAUAUAUUUAUGAUUUUAUAUAUAUUUUGAUGAUGAUAAUAAUAUCAAAAUUAUAUUAAUAAUAUGCUUAGUUGAGAAUAAGCAUUAAACAUGUAAGAAUACAUCAACAAGCAUGGAUCAAGUCCAAGAAGGAAGCAAAAUGAAUUUUUCAUUUUAGUGCUCAUAUAUAAAUCUUUAUAUCCUACUUGAUAAUACUAACAAAAAUGAAUUCACACACUUCACUUUGCAUACAUUUUAAAAGGAUUAAUAAAACGGUUCUAAGAAUUCAUCAGGUUUAAAACUAUCAAAACUAGAAUUAUGUGUGAACUAGUUGAUCGUUUGGUGAUACCAAAUGUUAUUUAGUGAGUUAUAGACAUCAUAGUUUUCAAUUGUAUCUACUCUUUGAAAGAGUAUUGUUACAUUUCAAACAAUUGUAAACCUUCAAGAGUUUAGGAGAAAAACUAUUAGUCAUUGGUGAGAUGCAUCACCAAGGUAAAAAAUCUUGAAGUUGAGAUUUCUUCAAGUAGUGGAAAAAAAAGGGCUCAAUAAGGAUUCACCAAGGACAUUGUAAUAUCUGGCUUGGAUUAGUUAAUAAUAUAAUACUCAAGACCGGCUUGGUGCAUGAGGUGUGGAUGUGAGUUUGUUGAACCACAUUAAAAAUCGAGUUUGCAAUCUCUCUUCCUUAUCCUUUUACUUUACGCAAUUUAAUUAUAUUGUUGGUUAAUUGUGUUUAAUUGUUUUUUAAUUAAUUGCAAUAUGUGUUAAUAUUAGUGGAACAUCUAAUUCACUCAUUUAGGUGUUAUUGUUACCUUAAUCCUAUAACAAUAAUUGGCAUUAGAGUCUGGUUCUCAUUUAUAAGUUUGCUUAGACUUUGAGUAGAAUUGCAACCAUUAGUUUUAAUGUACAAAAUAAAGGAUCAUCAACCUCUAGGCCACCUUUCUUUGAUGGUAAUGACUAUGCCUAUUGGAAAGCUAUGAUGAUUCUAUAUCUUCAAUCGAUUGAUUAUUGAUUAGUACUUAAAAGUGCAUUUUUAUCAAGGUUUUAUAUCAUCAUUUUGCACUUGAAGUAUCUAUAACUCCUUAACUAAAGCAUGUUUUAUAAUAACAAGUCUGAUACCAUAAGAUACCUUUAAUUUAUGGUAAAUGUUUAUCUUAAAUGCAGGCCUAUCACAUAAAUGAAAGGAUUGAUUGAUGAGUUUAAGUACGGAAAUUGAAAGGACAAAGAGAGGGCCAAACUUAGUAAAGAGAUGUUGGUUCAGUCCAAACUGGAACACUGUUCGGUCAUCGGGUCAUAUCUGGAGCUGUAGAUCUUGGAUUUAUGUCUGCCUUAUAUGGAUGGAAAGCUAAGAAAUAGGCCUAAAACUUUCAUGGGAGUCCAAGAUUUAAAAAGGCUGUUUUCAAGUCCAAAUUGUAGCAACAAUGGAGAAGUCUGAAUCUGUCCUGCAGCCCAGACACUGUUCAAUGUUUAGCCCAUAUCUCGAGUUUUAGAACUCCAAAUGACCUCCAAUUUUUAACCUGGAAAGCUGAGACAAUUUCCUAGAACUUUCAUGAUUUAAGUCUGUUCAAAUUAUGAUGUUAUCAAUUACGUUUUUGGCAGACAAUAAGAUAAGGAUUGUCACCAAGUCAAGAUGUGGCCACCUACUCAACAAUUAGUCAACAAAUCAAUAAUUCUGAAUUUUGGCCUAUAAAAGGAGGUAUUUGCCAUGUAUUUAGGCAUCUUGGUUUUUAGAUCAAGAUCAUGCUCUUGCUCUCUCUUUAUAUUUUGUAAUGCUUAAGUUUUGCUUAUAUUAAUCUCUUACUUAUGCUUUUCAUUUCCUUUCCUUGUUUAUUUAUGUUUCUCUCUUUCAUUAUGUUUAGUUAAGUUUAUCAUGUCAAGGUGAAAAGGUUACACUAAUGGUGUAAGAAUAAGUAUAAUAUAAACUCAACAUGGACCUUAAUAUUUGAUACUAACAUGUUUUAUAUUUGUUAUCUUGUUCACUUUUAAUACUUUGCUUGUUAAAUGGUUAAUCUAGAUUUAUGUUGUAUAACCCUUGGUAGAACAAAUACUUGGCACUUUCAUAGCCCAACCAUAUGGUAUAACCGACACCUGUGCUAUGAAAGGAAUUUGAUUUGUUGUUAACAUAAGUUAUAAUCAUGAAUGCCUGACAACAUUUACAAGUAUUAGCAUUAUUCAAAUAAGAUAACUAAUGUAAUCAUGUUAAUAAUUUAUAAUCCGAUUGGAACCUCCUUUGUGUGUGGUUUCCAGUUGAGUAAUAAAAAGAGUUUAUACUAUACUUGUUUGAAAUACCAUUAGUGGAUCCUCUAACCUUGACAAUUAUUUUAUCAUUGUUUAAUCUUUAUAUCAAUAUCACAUCUCAAAGCUCUCUUUGUUAUUAUUAUUGUUGUUGUUGUUGUUGUUGUUUAUAAUUUAUACAAUUAACCUCCUUGUGGUUCGACCCCGGUCUUGCCGGGUUAUUUAUUACUUCGACACUCCUGCACUUGGGAGAAAACAUCAAUCUUUUGGUCGUGUCAAGUUUUUGGCGCCGUUGCCGGGGAGGUAAAUUCUUGUAAAAUUAUAAUAUUUAUUUUAUUUUCUCUUUUCACCUUUCAUUUUAUCUAACUUUUGUUUUGUUUUGUUUUGUUUCCUUUUCUUUUCUUCUUUUUAUUCUCUUCCUACACGUGCACGAGAGUUUGGUCACGUACAUUAAGUGGUAGACUUUGUAGGGUAUCCUUAUCAUUUUCAGAAAAUAUGGCCGAAGAAGAUAACCAGUCGCUUCAUAACGAGAAUAAUGAGAAUAUUCGUGUUAGAACACUUAGAGACCACAUGAAUCCCACAAGAACAAGUGCACCCUCAUGCAUAGUUUUUCCUCCUGAUGCAUCUCAUUUUAAUUUUAAGCCAGGCAUUAUUCAACUUUUACCUUGUUUUCAUGGCUUAGAUUUAGAAAAUCCAUACUUGCAUUUAAGGGAAUUUGAGGAGGUCUGUAACACCUAUAAUGACUCAAAUUAUAGCAUGAACACCAUCAGGUUAAAGCUUUUUCCUUUUUCAUUAAAAGAUAAAGCUAAAACAUCUACAAAAUUUGAGACCAGGAUCUAUUUGUGCUUGGGAUGAAAUGCAACAAUAAUUUUUAAAGAAAUUUUUUCCAUCUCCCAGAACAAACUCUUUCAAAAAACAAAUCAUCACUUUCACUCAAAAACCAAGAGAAACAUUUUACCAAUGUUGGGAUAGGUAUCGAGACUUGCUUAAUACUUGCCCUCAUCAUGGUUUUGAGACAUGGAGAUUAGUUUCACAUUUUUAUGAAGGGUUAACACCUAGAGAUAGGCAAAUGGUUGAAUUGAUGUGCAAUGAAACUUUUGAGGAUAAAGACCCUAAUGAAGCAAUGGAGUACCUAGACUUGCUAGCUGAAAAUGCUCAAAAUUAGGAUACUACAGGCACUUAUGAGGCACCAAGUAAAACCCAACCUCAUACAUCUAGUGGAGGUAUGUACAACCUUAGGGAAUAUCAUGACCUCCAAGCCAAGUUUACAUCUUUAGCUAGAAAAGUUGAGGCACUAGAAUUAAAAAGGAGUGGUCAACUAAAAUCUGUUCAAGACAUUGUGUGUCAAAUCUGUGAAACUAAUGAACAUUCAACCAAUGACUGUCCAACUUUGCCUUCUUUUAAGGAAUGUCUCCAUGAACAAGCUCAUGCUUUAAACAGUUUCCAAAGGCCCAAUCAUAACCUAUACUCGCAAACAUACAACCCUGGUUGGAGAAAUCACCCAAAUUUCAAUUGGAAGAGUGAUAAUAAUAAUGCACAAACUUCACAGCCACCGUUUCAAGCACACCAUAAUUUUCAAAAUUCUCAUGGAUAUGCACCUCCUUAUGCUCCACCUCCUAGAAGAAAUCUUGAGGAAACAUUGCAUGCAUUCAUUGAAAAGCAAGAGACAAUCAACACUCAACUUGCUCAAAGCAUGACAGAUUUUAAAGAUACUCUUGCAAAAUUGACAUAUGCUCUCAGUUUUCAAGAGAAAAGUAAGUUUCCAUCUCAACCAUAACAAAAUCCAAAGGGGCAAUACAAUGUGAAUGCAAGUAGUUCUGGAAGCCAACACAUGGAUCAAGCCAAAUCAGUCAUCACUCUUCGCAGUGGUAAGGUUAUUGAAAAACCCAUUCUUGAACCUUGUGAGAAAGAUGAUGAGUCAAUCUCUGAGGGUAAGGAAGGGGUUGAAUCUGAACAUUGCAAAAAAAAGACUGAUUCCCCACCAACACUUCCAUUUCCUCAUGCCAUGACCAAACAAAGAAAAGUCAAUCACAACUCUGAAAUCUUUGAAACUUUCAAACAAGUAAGGAUCAAUAUACCUUUGUUGGAUGCUAUUAAACAAGUUCCUUCUUAUGCUAAAUUUUUUAAAGAUCUGUGCACUGUGAAGAGAAAACUGAAUGUGAAAAAGAAAGUCUUUUUAUCCGAACAAGUAAGUGCCAUUCUUCAGAACAAUAAUGCUUCGAAAUAUAAAAACCCUGGUUGUCCUACAAUUUCAUGCUUUAUUGGAGAACAUAAAAUUGAAAGAGCUUUACUUGAUCUUGGAGCUAGUGUGAAUUUACUUCCAUAUUCAGUUUUUUAAAGUCUCAAUCUAGGUGAGUUAAAACCAACUUCUGUAACUCUUUUACUUGCCGAUAGAUCUGUAAAAGUGCCUAGAGGAAUACUUGAAGAUGUGUUAGUACAAGGCGAUAAAUUCAUUUACCCUGUGGAUUUUAUUGUCUUGGAUACACAACCUGUUGAAGCAUGUAAUUCAUUUCCUGUUAUUUUAGGACGUCCGUUUCUUACAACUUCUAAUGCAUUGAUUAAUUGUAGGAAUGGACUGAUGAAGCUAUCAUUUGGAAACAUGACAUUGGAGAUGAACAUUUUCAAUAUUUGCAAGCAACCUGGAGAUGAUAAUGAUUUACAGGAAGUGGACUUUACUGAAAAAUUAGUUCAUGAUCAAUUUCAAACCACUUCUAGUGAAACUGAGAUUGAUGAAUCUGACGAUUUGCAAAUGGUUUAUUUUCAGGAAGAAUCAAAGGAAAAUAGUUGGAGACCGAAAAUUAAGGAAUUGCCACCACGAUCAAUUGAGUCCAUACCUUCAAGUGUUCAACCACCAAAACCUGAUUUGAAGCCCUUACCAUUCAAUCUCAAAUACUCAUUUUUUGGAGAAAAUGAAACUUUUCCGGUAAUAAUCUCUUCCAAACUUAAUGCACUUCAAGAAGGUAAGUUAUUACAAACUCUGAAAAUGCACAAAAAUGCAUUAGGAUGGACCAUAGCUGACAUAAAAGGAAUUAGUCCUUUGAUUUGCACACACAGGAUUUAUUUGGAGGAAAAUGCUAAACCCUCUAGAGAAAUGCAACGAAGGCUUAAUCCUAAUAUGAAAGAAGUAGUGAAAAAUAAAGUCAUUAAGCUUCUAGAUAAUGGAAUCAUUUAUCCUAUUUCUGACAGCAAAUGGGUAAGUCCUACCCAAAUUGUACCCAAGAAGUUUGGAGUCAUUGUGAUAACAAAUGAGAAAAAUGAGUUAAUUCCAACUAGGACUAUUACUGGUUGACGCAUGUGCAUUGACUAUAGGAAACUUAAUUCAAUGAUUAGAAAAGAUCAUUUUCCUUUACCUUUCAUGGAUCAAAUCCUAGAAAGAGUUGCAGGUCAUGAAUUUUAUUGUUUCCUAGAUGGUUAUUCAGGUUAUAACCAAAUUGAAAUUGCAUUGGAAGAUCAAGAGAAGACUACUUUCACAUGUCCAUUUGGUACUUUUACAUAUCGAAGGAUGCCUUUUGGAUUAUGCAAUGCACCAGUCACAUUUCAAAGAUGCAUGCUCAGUAUAUUUAGUGAUAUGGUUGAACGUUUUCUUGAAAUUUUUAUGGAUGAUUUUUCUGUUUUUGGCGAUUCAUUUGAUGAUUCUUUGACUAACUUAGAAAAGGUUUUGAGCAGGUGUGAAGAGAAGAAUCUUGUACUGAAUUGGAAAAAAUAUCACUUUAUGGUAACAAACGGCAUUGUACUUGGUCACAUUGUUUCAUCGAAAGGAAUUGAGGUUGACAAAUCUAAAAUCGAGUUAAUUGCUAACACCAAAAUCUGUUAAAGAUGUUAGAUCAUUCUUAGGACAUGCUGGUUUUUAUAGAAGGUUCAUCAAAGAUUUUAGUGUGAUAUCCAAGCCCUUGAGUAACCUUCUAACAAAGGAUAAUAUUUUUGAAUGGACUAAACAUUGUGAAGAAGCCUUUGUUAAACUGAAAAACUUGCUUACUUCUUCUCCUGUCAUUCAACCUCCUGAUUGGUCAUUACCUUUUGAAAUAAUGUGUGACGCUAGUGAUUAUGUUGUGGGUGCUGUCUUGGGACAAAGAAAAGAUAAGAAACCUUAUGUGAUUUACUAUGCAAGUAAAACUUAAAUAGUGCUCAAAUGAAUUACACCACCACUGAAAAAAGAAUUACUUGCAGUAGUAUUUGCAUGUGAAAAAUUCAGGUCUUAUCUUGUUGGCUCACCUGUUAUUGUUUUUAGUGAUUAUGCAGCAUUGAAAUAUCUUCUUUCUAAGAAAGAUUCUAAAGCUAGAUUGGUUCGGUGGAUUUUGUUACUUCAAGAAUUUGAUAUCACAAUCAAAGACAAGAAAGGCACCGAAAAUUUUGUCGCAUAUCACUUGUCAAGAUUGACAACAGAUUCGAGAUCUGACAUCACACCAAUCAAUGACUACUUUCCCGAUGAAUCUUUAUUUUUUGUCUCUACAAUGCCUUGGUAUGCUAAUAUUGUUAAUUUUCUUGUUUCAGGACAAUUGUCAGCUCAUUGGAGUACCCAAGACAAAAGAAAGUUCUUGAACGAAGUAAAGAACUUUUAUGGGGAUGACCUUUAUUUAUUCAAAUAUUGUCCUGAUCAAAUAUUUCAAAGAUGCAUUCCUGACAAUGAGGUAAGUAGUAUCAUUAAAUUUUGUCAUUUUGAGGCAUGUGGAGGUCAUUUCUCAUCAAGAAAGACCACUGCAAAAAUCUUACAAAGUGGAUUUUACUGGCCCACCAUGUUCAAGGACUCACAUGCAUUCUGCAACACUUGUGAAAAUUGUCAAAAGUUGGGAUCUAUUUCAAAACGUCACAUGAUGCCUUUAAAUCCUAUUCUUGUCAUUGAGAUCUUUGACUGUUGGGGUAUAGAUUUCAUGGGUCCAUUUCCUCCAUCAUUUGGUUUCUUGUACAUAUUAGUCGCAGUAGAUUAUGUUUCAAAAUGGAUAGAGGCAAUUCCAAGUCGAAACAAUGACCACAAAACAGUGAUAAAGUUCUUGAAAGAAAAUAUUUUGAGUCGAUUUGAAAUCCCUCGGGCCAUGAUAAGUGAUGGUGGAACACAUUUUUGCAACAAGUUAUUUGAGUCUUUAAUGAAAAAAUAUGGAAUCACACACAAAGUUGCCACCCUUUAUCACCCUCAGACAAGUGGACAAGUAGACCUUGCUAAUAGGGAGAUCAAACAGAUCUUGGAGAAAACAAUAAACCUUAAUACGAAAGACUGGUCUUUAAGACUUAAUGAUGCACUUUGGGCUUAUCGAACUGCAUAUAAAACAUCAUUAGGUAUGUCACCUUAUAGAUUAGUCUAUGGAAAACCUUGUCACUUGCCUGUGGAACUUGAACAUAAAGCUUGUUGGGCUAUUAAAGCUUUCAAUUCUAACCUUGAUGAUGCUAGUCAGCUGCAAAAAUUAUAAAUAAAUGAGCUUGAGGAAAUAAGAAAUGAUGCAUAUGAGAAUUCAAAAAUUCAUAAAGCAAGAAUCAAAGAGUUUCAUGACAAGAGAAUCUUCAGAAAAACAUUUGAUGUUGGUCAAAAAGUUUUGCUUUAUAAUUCUCGACUCCAUUUAUUUCCUAGAAAGCUAAGAUCAAGAUGGAGCGGUCCAUUUAUUGUGAAACAUGUGUAUCCAUAUGGGGCCUGUGAUAUCGAGAAUCCAAAGAAUGACAAUGUUUUCAAGGUAAAUGGACAUUGUUUGAAAGUUUGUUUUGACAAUUUUUUAGUUGAAAAUGACUCUAUUGAAUUAAGUGAUCCUGUAUAUAAAGAUUGAUUCUUUUUCUCACAUUGUUUUGUGUUUCAUUUUGGUGUGAAUUUUGUUUUGCUAGUCUCUCUCACCCCGGUCAAAUGGCGGAUAACAGUACUCCAUGACUUAAGUCGGUUCUUUCAGUUUCCCAUAAUAACUGAUAUAUGUAUAUAUUUGUGCAAUUCUUUGCUCUUUCUCCCUUCUUUGAAUAUCUUCUCCAACUCUCAUUUGAAAAUGGACACCACUCUUGAAAAAUUGAAAAAGUACUUUCCCGCUCUGCCUUAGAAUGCGAUUACAAAAAUUUACCGUGCUAGGUGUGCAAGAUUGAGGUUGUUAAUGAAUCAUGGAAUUCCUGAAGAUAUUCGUUGGCUGAUUGAAGCAAAGAUCUGAUUAUCAGGUGAGUACUCCAAUUCUUUCAUCUCAUACAUGCCUGGAACAGGUAAAAGCACUUUUGCAAAGAAACGUCGUGCAAAACGACUGAAACUCUACCACCGAUGUGCCAGAUGGACUUGUAAUGCAACAUGUCGUUCUUUAGGAAUGGUAUCUAUAAACCGUGAAGAUAAAAUACAAUUCAUUAAGGAUGGCCUGAGUAAGGGGUCUUUAGAUAAUCUUCUAUUGACUCUUGAGACGCAUCCUGGUGGAGAUGUGCAUCGUGCAAUUCAUGAUUUAUGGCCACAAUUCCAUAAAGAACAUGAUAGACUUAGUCUUGGGAAUCUAACUAUAAAAGACCCUGUUUGCCAGUUUUUAAGAAAACUGGAUGGGAAGCCUAUCCCCGACCCAUAGAGGGCGUUUAAGCUGUUCUUGGACGUAAAACCAAGGGAAGAUGUGAGCCACAAUCACAACUACCUGUACAUACACAUGCUUUUUCAAAAUAAGUAAGUAAAUAAAUAGAGAGAGUGUGUGAGACUCCAGCUAGCCUACAUAUAAGUGGUAUGAUUGUAUUUUUAAUUUCUCAUCUAUAAAAUAUUUUCUUUCUUCCCUUCAUUUCUACUUAACCCAUACAUUCAACUCUUAUUAGGAUGGCAGAGUAAGGAGGAAUUUUAUUGACUCUUGAGACGCAUCUUAGUAAAUAGUUUUAUCAAGGCCUAUCAGAAUACUUCUUGAAAUAUUCAUGUUUACAAACUCUCGCAUUGUUAUCACUUGAUUCUGCUCAUAUACUCAUUUAACAAGUAUUCUUAAACCUUUAUUUUCACACACACACUCUAACAUAUGAUUGUGGGUCACACAUUGGAUUAUUACAUUAUUUAUGUUCUUUUGUUAAAGGUAACAACUAAGGAAAAAGGGAUAGUAUAUAAUUUGAAAAAAAAAACAAAUUGAUAAUAUUGAUGAUAAUAAAAACGUAGAUAAGUUUGGUUUCGUAGCCUCCCUAACCUAAGCAAUUAAGCCCGAAGAGGUGUUUUAACACCUAAUACCCUAAAGUCAACUGACUUGGGAGCUAUUGGUCCAAAACUUGUUACAUGGGUUAAGGAGAAAAGCUUAAGAAAAUCAAACAUUGCAUUAUCUACGUAUUAGUAUCUGCAACUCAAGUUACUAAGCUCGUAGGGGUGUCUCAACACCUAAUGCUCUAAGACCAACUGGUCUAGGAGUCAUUAGCCGAAAGCUCGUUACAUGGGUUAAAGAUGCAUUGUAUUUUAAGUUAUAUGUAUAUAUAUUUAAAAGAAAAAAAAGAGAAAAAAAAAAGAAAAAAAAGAAGAUAAUAAUCUCAACCCAAGAAAGUUAACCUUAAACAUUAGAAUAGAAUAUUAUUUUCUUCCAAUAAAAGCCCCAUCAUCUAUGUUUUCAUACAUUGAGCAUAUAAAAAGGAAGAUUUAUUAAUAUUUUGUUUAAGAGAUAUUGAGCAAAUAUAUAAAUUUAAUGAGAGUUUGUUUAUCUGGAUAGAUUAAUGGAAGUUGAAUGAUGAAUGCCUUGCUUUGUGGAAUUUGCAAAUUGUUUUUCUAUUUUAACGCUUUGAUUACUAGGGACUAGUAAUAAGCUGGUUGGGGGGGUGUGAUUAGUACUUAAAAAUGCAUUUUUAUCAAGGUUUUAUAUCAUCAUUUUGCACUUGAAGUAUCUACAACUCAUUAACUAAAGCAUGUUUUAUAAUAACAAGUCUGAUACCAUAAGAUACCUUUAAUUUAUGGUAAAUGUUUAUCUUAAAUGCAGGCCUAUCACAUAAAUAAAAGGAUUGAUUGAUGAGUUUAAGUACAGAAAUUGAAAGGACAAAGAGAGGGCCAAACUUAGAAAAGAGAUGUUGGUUCAGUCCAAAUUGGAACACUGUUCGGUCAUCGGGUCAUAUCUGAAGCUGUAGAUCUUGGAUUUAGAUCUGCCUUAUAUGGAUGGAAAGCUAAGACAUAGGCCUAAAACUUUCAUAAGUCCAAGAUUUAAAAAGGCUGUUUUCAAGUCCAAAUUGUAGCAACAAUGGAGAAGUCUGAAUCUGUCCUGCAGCCCAGACACUGUUCAGUGUUCAGCCCAUAUCUCGAGUUUUAGAAGUCCAAAUGACCUCUAAUUUUUAGCUUGGAAAUCUGAGACAAUUUCCUAGAACUUUCAUGAUUUAAGUCUGUUCAAAUUAUGACGUUAUCAAUGACCUUUUUGGCAAACAAGAAGAUAAGGAUUGUCACCAAGUCAAGAUGUGGCCAUCCACUCAACAAUUAGUCAACAAAUCAAUAGUUCCGAAUUUUAGCCUAUAAAAGGAGGCAUUUGCCAAGUAUUUAGGCAUCUUGGUUUUUAGAUCAAGAUCAUGCUCUUGCUCUCUCUUUAUAUUUUGUAAUGCUUAAGUUUUGCUUAUAUUAAUCUCUUACUUAUGCUUUUCAUUUCAUUUCCUUGUUUAUUUAUGUUUCUCUCUUUCAUUAUGUUUAGCUAAGUUUAUCAUGUCAAGGUGAAAAGGUUACACUAAUGGUGUAAGAAUAAGUAUAAUAUAAACUCAACAUGGACCUUAAUAUGUGAUACUAACAUGUUUUAUAUUUGUUAUCUUGUUCACUUUUAAUACUUUGCUUGUUAAAUGGUUAAUCUAGAUUUAUUUUGUAUACCUUUGGUACAACAAAUACUUGGCACUUUUAUAGCCCAACCAUAUGGUAUAACCGACACCUGUGCUAUGAAAGGAAUUUGAUUUGUUGUUAACAUAAGUUAUAAUCAUGAAUGCCUGACAACAUUUACAAGUAUUAGCAUUAUUCAAAUAAGAUAACUAAUGUAAUCAUGUUAACAAUUUAUAAUCCGAUUGGAACCUCCUUUGUGUGUGGUUUCCAGUUGAGUAAUAAAAAGAGUUUAUACUAUACUUGUUUGAAAUACCAUUAGUGGAUCCUCUAACCUUGACAAUUAUUUUAUGCUUGUUUAAUCCUUAUAUCAAUAUCACAUCUCAAAGCUCUCUUUGUUAUUGUUGUUGUUGUUAUUGUUGUUGUUGUUGUUGUUUUUUAUAUACAAUUAACCUCCCUGUGGUUCGACCCCGGUCUUGCCGGGUUAUUUAUUGCUUCGACACUCCUGCACUUGGAAGAAGACAUCAAUUUUUUGGUCGUGUCAAUUAUAAAAUAUAAGGAUAGAGAAUAGACCUUUUAAACCUACCAGAACCGAAAAUGGUGUUACAAUUCCUAAGGCUAUGAGUGAGUAUAUGAUGGAAAUGGUGUUACAUUAUCCAUUGCAUGAAAAGUGUUAAAGACUCUUUAUGGUACUCACACACAAGAUCAUAUUCAACAAAUCAAUGGCGAGUUACAGUCCUUGAAUAAAUGUACUUAUUCUUUAAAAGAUUAUUUACACAAAGAAAAAUCUUUGGUUGUCUCUUUAUGGUGCAGGAAAACCAAUGGAUGACGAUGAGUUCAUCAUUUGCAUUUUUCAAGGAUUAGGAUCUGAAUUUGAUCUUAUAGUAGCAACAUUGAAUGCAAGAGAUAUUUUUCCAUCUUUUGAAGGAGUUAUUGGCAAACUCCGUGAAUUUGAAAUUCGACUUCAAGGAGCACGAGCAACUACUUCCAACAUUGGUUUUUAUACAAAUCGUGGCUGAAAAAACUCAAAGCCAUGGGUGAACCCCGGCACUCAAGGCUACAAUAAUCACAAUUUCACUAGAAGAAAUUCCACGGACAGUACUUCAUCAUCACGAGCUAAAAAGACUUGAUUCCCUCACUUUAAUAUAGGCUCAUCUAGAACUCGUCAGAAAUAAUUCUCACAUAAUGGUGGUCGUGGAUGGCAUCACUUGUUUUCAAUGUGGGGGGGCUUAAUCACAAAGCAGCCAGAUGUUUUGCUUCUGAUGAAGAUCAAUAAAAAGCUUUUGCUAAUAUCAAAAUUAGAGAAACUACAGAAGAGAUCUGGUAUUCUGUCACUGGUACAAACCAACUUAUGACCUCUAACACAAAUGAAGUUCAAGGUAUUAACUCUUAUCUUGGCAAUGAUUCUUUCAUGGUUGGUAAUGGUCAUGACUUGCCUAUCACUAGCACUUGACACAUUAUUUUUCUUACCACUAAUUUUAAGUUAAAUGAUGUUCAUGUGGUUCCUGCAAUUAAGAAGAAACUAUCAUAUGUCUCUCAAUUUAUAAGAGAAAUUAAUUGUUAUUUUUUGUUUUAUCCAUGGGGAUUUGUUUUCAAGGACAUGAAGAUGAAGUAGGUAGUCCUUAAGGGCUCCAUAAAGGAUGGUUGUAUCCGAUCAACCUGCAACAACUUUCAACAUCUUCAAUCAGUUUUUUAGCCAAUAAAGUAUCUAGCAACUUAUGGCAUGCAUGACUUGACCAUCCUCAAGCCCGGAUUCUUAUAAAGUUAUGUUUACCAUCUAUAAAUAAACAAAAUGCUUUCUAUGAAGGCUAUGUUUUGGGAAAAUCAACAAAGUUACCAUUUGAAUCUCGUAAAUCCUAUGCUACUUCUUUUCUGUAUACACUUCACACAGAUGUAUGAGGUCCUGCAUCUGUUUCUUCUUAUGAUGGCUAUUAGUUUUACUUAAUCAUUGUUGAUGAAUAUUCUUGAUGUAUAUGGUUCUUUCUUAUAAAUCAUAAAUCUGACGUAGCAACAAUAUUUUCUACAUUCCUCAAGCAAAUGGAAAAACAAUUUGAUGUUUAUGUUAAAAUAACUCAAAGUGAUGAGGGUGGUGAGUUUGUUAAUCAAAGCCUGCAUAAUCUUUUCAAAACUAAUGGUAUCAUUCAUAGAUUCUUAUGUCCAUAAACAUCAGAACAAAAUGAAUUGGCUGAACGUCGUCAAUGGCAUAUUGUGGAAUAUGGAUUAACAUUGUUAUCACAUGCUUCUAUUACGAUACAAUUCUGAAUAGCAGCCUUUUGUACUGUAAUAUUUCUAAUAAAUCGUCUACCUACUUCAGUUCUUGGUUACAACUCACCGCAUAAAGUUAUUUUCAGUUAUGCUUCUGCUUAUAAUUCCCUACAAGUUUUUGGGUGCUCCUGCUACCCAUUACUUGCACAAUUUGGUUGAUCAAAAUUGGACUUUAAAUCCACAUGGUGUGUGUUUCUUGGUUAUUCAAAUAAUCAUAAAGGAUAUCUUUGUCUUGAACCUUAGACAAGUCGCCUCUACAUAUCUCAUCAUGUGAAAUUUAAUGAAUCUCAGUUUCCCUACAGAUGCAUGCAGAAACGUGACACACAUGUUUCUCAGUUAUUUAAAGUCAGAGCACUUCCUCGACUACUCAAGACCAUGACUGAAAAAACAAAUGUCUCAACUCAAUAAAUAAUACAUCAUGUUUCAGCAAAAAAUGUCCAAAGUGUAUGAGUAUCUCAGUCUCCAAUUCCUGAACCAAUUCCUCCAUUCACUGCACUAGAAUUCAAUACUUUAGCACCAGAGGAUUCUCCCAUACUUGCUCCACAACAACAUCAUCAUAUGGUUACACGGGCUCAAAUAGGGAAGCUAAAACCCAAGGUAUUGUUCUCUUCAUAAUAUUCAAUACCUGCUUGUUUUGUUGCUGACCUUAUCACUCAACAACAAGACCUAGCGUACUUCAACAUCUGCAAUGGCAUCAAGCAAUGCAAGUUGAAAUGGAUGCUCUUCACACCAACAACACCUGAAAUUUGGUACCUAGAGAGCCAAACAUGAAUGUUAUCAGUAGUAAAUGGGUGUUCAAAAUCAAAACACGAUCUGAUACCUCUAUUGAAAGGUAUAAAGCUCAACUAGUGACUCGUGGAUUUACACAACAACCAAGCCUAGAUUAUGAUGAAACCUUUAGUCCAGUCAUCAAACCAAGUACUAUUUAGUUAAUCUUUACCAUUGGGCUAUCUCAAAGCUUGUCUAUCAGAUAACUAGAUGUUAGUAAUGCCUUUUUUCAUGGUGACCUACACGAAUAAGUAUAUUUGGCUCAACCCCAGGUUUUGAGGAUUUCUCCCAUCCAGAUCAUGUUUAUCAUCUCCAUAAAGCUUUGUAAGGUUUAAAGCAGCCCCUCGCGUCUAGUACCUAAAAUUCAGUACUUAUAUCCAGCAAAUGAGAUUCAUAUAAUGUCCCUAUGAUCAAUCUUUAUUCUCGCACUCAAGGAUCAGGCAUUCUUCUUUUACUUAUUUAUGUUAAUGACAUUCUUUUAAUAGGAAGUUCCUCUUCACAGAUUGACAAGUUUAUUACACACCUAUCUUUCAUCUUUCAUAUGAAAGAUCUUGGUGAUAUUCAUUACUUCUUAAGUCUUCAAAUCAUUUGCCAUGCAUCCACUGUCACUCAUACAAGGUAUUUACUGUCUCUUCUUCAAACGUUUGGUCUUGAUGGCACCAAACUUGUAAGCACUCCACUAGUAUGGGGGCCUUCUAUGUAUGCUGUUGAUGGUGCUCCCUUAGUUAAUCCUUUCCUUUAUCGCUGUUUGGUUGGCUCAUUAUAAUAUCUCACUCUAACCAGACUCGACAUCUCCUAUGUUGUUCAUCAAGUCUGUCAAUUCAUGCAAACACCCCAUGAUAUUCACCUCAUUGUUGUUAAGAGGAUUUUUCGGUAUCUGAAGGGUACUCUCAAUGUUGGUCUUCACUACGUCUGUACCCCUAUUCAUAAACUUCGUGGUUUUUGUGAUGUCGAUUGGGCUAGUUGCAGGGAUGAUAAACAUUUCAUUACUGGUUUUGCUAUCUUUUUAAGCGAUAAUUUGAUAUCUUAAAGCGCUAAGAAACAAGCUAUUGUGUCUCGAUCGACAACUGAAGCUAAAUACUGUGUCUUAACCUUAACUACAAGUGAGCUUAUUUGGUUUGUGCAUUUACUAAAGAAUAUUGGCUAUUGUGUCCCUCCUUCUACGUUGUAUAGUGACAAUAUUAGUGCCAUUCAUAUGGCCAAGAAUCCAAUGUUCCAUCACCGUAUAAAACACAUCAAAAUUGAUGUUCACUUUGUUCAUGAAUGGGUUGCGUGUGGUGUUCUCUCUUUGGUAUACAUUCCAGGAUCGGAUCAAAUUGCAGAUAUUUUUACCAAAUCCCUUUAUGCUAUAAAAUUUAUUCCAAAUCAUGGCAAGCUCUGUCUCAGUCCAGUCCCGCCUUGAGCUUGAGGGGGGAUGAUGAGAUAUAGAGAUAUGCAGAUGCUGAGAUCCUGCUGAGAUCUCUUUACUGAGAGAUCCUCUACUGGGAUCUCUAUGUCAGGAUCCUCCCUAUUUAUUCACUUCAUGGUCUCCACAAUAUUUGUAAUUCAAUAUGUUUCUAUAAUCUCUGUAGACAAAUUAUAUAUAUAUAUAUAUAUAUAGCAAGAAUCAAUCCUACAUAAAUGUCCAGUAAUGCCUAUUUAUAGGUAAUAACAAUACAUAGAAAUAUAAGUUCACCAUUUCCUAUAAGCAUCAUCUUUUUAUUUUUCAAUAAUAAUGUGCUAUAAAUAAUUGGUAGGUUGAGAGACCUUUUGAGAAGGAGCCCUUAUAGAUUAUGAUGCUAAAAAAUAAGAAACUAUAUUAGAAGACAAGUUAUCCAAUAAGGUAUAAUGAAUAACUAAAGUAUAAAGAUUUCUCACCAAAAGUUUGUUUUGCUCAAUUUUCUAGCUGAUCUACUAGCUAAAUUUUUAGUAAGCCUUCUCUUACCAUCUUUUGUAAAAGGUUCUUCAUCAUAUAAAAGUUUCUUAGCCAUCUUUUUUAAAGAAAGGUUUAAGAUGACAUAUUAUAGCUUUCUUGUACAAUAGAAAAAACCUUAAUUAAUUUCCUAAUAUUAGCAUAAAGUCUCUCACACUAUAGAAUCCAAAAUUAUGUUUUGUUAACUAUGUUACAUUUUUCACUUCCUUUAGCAUUUUGAAAAUUAUUAUCUAGAUUAGAACUAUUAAUGGUAUAUUACAUUAGAAAUGGAACACAUUAUACAAACUUCGAUUGUCUUGCCACGAAAUAGAGGUUAUAGGGCUCAUAAGAACAAUAGUUUCCUUUAUAAUAAAUCUAUCACUAAACUAAAUUGUAGAUCCUUUUAGGUUAGAAUAAUUUUUCACACUACAAUGUUCUCCUCUCCCUUACAAUUUAUACUUUGAUGUUUAAGAAUCAAUAGUCAUCUAGGGCAUGUUCUCAUAGACAUUAAAAUGAUCAUGGAUCGGUUAUUCCUCCUUGUCAUGGAUAGAAAAAUAUCUAGGUAUCUCUUGAAAGGAAAGUUGUGGAAAUGGAUCAUUUUGUCCUCUACAAAUUAAUAGGGAGUCCAAAUUUGACUACACGACACUAGAUUCAUGGAAAUUUAUAGUUUCCCAUGCUUAAAUCCACCAUAAAAUUCAAUAAAAGUUUCCUUUUAUCAUGAAAGGGUGGUUGGUCUUCACCUCUCACUUGGCAUUCCUCUAAUACCAUAUAUAUAUGUGUGUGUGUGUGUGUGUGUGUGUGUGUGUGUGUGUGUGUGAUUUAACAUAAAAGGUCUUAGGAUAAUUUACAUUAUCAAAAAAUAGUAAUAAAUAACCCGACAAGACUAAGGUUGAAUCACAGGGAGGUGAACUAUAUAAAAUUAUAAACAACAAAUGAAAAGGAGUUGAAGAGAACUUUUGAAAUGUGAUAUUGAUGUGAGUAUUAAUCAAAGAUAAAAGCAAUUGUCAAGGUUAGAGGAUCAACUAAUAGUAUUAGAAAUAAGUAUAGUAUAAACUUUUUUUAUUAAUCAACUGGAAACCACACACAAAGAAGGUUCAAAUCAGAUGAUUUAUCCUUAAUAGUUCAUUAUAAAUUUUUAACAUGAUCAUAUUGAUUAUCUUAUUUUAGUAACACCAUACUUUUAAAUAUUGUCAGGAAUUCAUGAUGUUAACUUAUGUUAACAACAAAUCAAGUUCCUUUCAUAGCACAGGUGUCGAUUAUACCAUAUAGUAGGCUAUGAAAGUGUCAAGUAUUUGUUGUACCAAGGGUUGUACAAUACAAAUCUAGAUUAAUUAUUUAACAAGUAAGGUAUUAAGAAUUAGUAAGAUAAAAAGAUAAGACAUGUUAAUAACAAACUUUCUUGGAUAUAAACAUUGAAGUCCAUGUUGAGUUUAUAUUAUAUCUAUUCUAACACCAUUAGUGAAAUCUUUUCACCUUGACAUAAUAAACUUAGCUAAACAUUGUGAAGAAGAGAAAACAUAAAUAAACUAGAUAAGAACAUAGUUAUGAUGAAAAGUAUAAACAAGAGAUUAUUAAAAGCAAAACUUAAACAUUACAAAAAUACAAAGAAAGAAAGCAAGAAGAUGAUCUUGAUCUGAAAACCAAGAGGCCUAAAUGCAUGAAAAAUGCCUCCUUUUAUAGGCCAAAAUUCAAAACUAUUGAUUUGAUGACUAAUUGUUGAGUGGGUGGCCACCUCUUCACUUGGUAACAAUCCUUAUCUUCUUGUCUGCAGAAAACGUCAUUGCUAACAUCAUAAUUUGAACAAAUAGUCUCAUGAAAGUUCUCGAAAAUUGUCUCAGCUUUCCAACAAAACAAGAAUGAGGUCAUGUGGACUUCUAGAACUCGAGAUAUGGGCUGAACACUGAACAAUGUCUGGGCUGCAGGAUAGAUUCUGACUUCUCUGUUGUUGCUAUAAUUUGAACUUGAAAAUGGUCCUUUUGAAUCUUGGACUCUCAUGAAAGUUUUAGGCCUAUGUCUUAGCUUUAUAUCCAUAUAAACCAGACCUAAAUCCAAGUUCUACAACUCUAGUUAUGAUCCAAUAACCGAAUGGUGUUUCAAUUUGAAUUCAACCAACAUCUCUUUUCUAAGCUUAGCCCUCUCUUUGUCUUCUUAAUUUCAGUAGUUAAACUCAUCAAUCAAUCCUUUGAUUUAUGUGAUAGGUCUGCAUUUAAAAUGAAUAUUUACCAUAAAUUAAAUGUAUCUUAUAUUAUCAGACUUGUUAUUAUAAAACAUGCUCUAGUUAAGGAGUUAUUGAUACUUCAAAUGCAAAAUGAUGAUAUAAAACCUUGAUAAAAAUACACUUUUAAGUACUAAUCAACAAUGGUCCUACCAUUAUCCAAGGUCACAACUAUAUUUAACUAGGCCUUAUUUAAUUUAUAAGACCUGGAAAAAAUUAAAUAUCUAUAUACCCAAAAGAGAAAGGAAAAAAAAAAGCCACAUGUUCUAUCUAGAAGGAAAAUUUGGUUCCUUUCUUCUCCUUUUUAAAAAUAACACUAUAUUUAGGAGUACUUACCAAUAAGUCUUCAAAUUGACCUAUAAUAAAUUAUAUGGAUGCACAAAGCUAACCUUUUGAGUAUAGGCUCCUAUCAAAGCCAAAUCAUAUAGAAAUAUAUAUAAUUUGCAUCCUAUACCUAAAUACAAAGAUGUUAUUUGAUUUGACUAAAAAAUGAUAAAGUUGUCACAUUUCCUUGCUAGGCUUAGUGGUAAUCCUAUAUAGUUGGAUUACGUCAAAGAUCUAUUAGCAUUUUCAUUCUUCAUCAAAGUGUGGUUUUAUUCUCUCUAUAUAUUGAGGUUCACUUGAUUUUUCUAGAGUGAAAGCCUUUCUCUAUAUAUCUAAGGCAAACAAGUUAUAUCUUUUUUAUAGAAUUUCUUCUUAAUAUUGUCCAAAGACAUUCUUGAAUCAAUAUUUUUAGGGAAAUGCUGAUUAUAGAUCAGUGUAAAUUAGUGAUACAAUCUAUGUAAUGCUAGAAGUGGGUGAUAAGAGAAGGGUUUUAUUUUGCAGAGCUUGAAGAUGUCAUUUAUGUGUUUAAAGAGAGAAGUAAGGUUAAGGUUUAUCCUCUUUUUUAGAAAUCUUUGGUUUCUUCAGAUAAGGAUUGGGAGCUUUUUAAAUAAAAUGAAAGGAUAGGAUGUUAAUUGAUUGAAUUGAUAAAUUAACUAUAAAUCAAAAUUAUAGUUAUUGUAACGGUAAUAUCAUGCCAAAAAGCUAGAAAACAUUUUAUUUUGAAAUUUCUUAAAUGUCUAACAUGUUAGACAAUGAAAUAUGGUGGAUAUUUUGGAAAAACAAUUCUUGAUUUUCCAUGUCAUUCAUGGUUAAUUUUAUGAUUGAUUGAAAUAUAAAAGGUAAAUCAAUAUUCUUUCAUUUAUAUUAAAUAAAGAAAUAUGGAUGCAUUAUUUAUGUCAAAGUUAAACCAUUCAUGUAUCAUGUGAUUAAGAACAAUAUAAUUUAUUGUUAGUUUUUAAGAAAAAUAACGAAGAAAAAUAAAAUUAAAUAUCAACCAAUAAAGAAGGUUAAGUUCGAAAAUCAUCUAAGAGAUUAAGUUUCACAUUAAGUGAUUGAUUAAUCCUAUAUAAAAAAGAACUUAACUUAUGGAUAUUAUAAAUUGAUAUAAGCAUAUGUUAUUAUAAAGAUGUCUGCCAGAAAAAUAGUAAAUAAGUGCAAGUUAUGCUAGGAUUAAUAUUGUACAAUCUUUAUAUGUUAUAAAUUGUUUGUUUAAGAUUAAGAUUUUAUAUUUAUGUGAGAUUUUAUCUCAAUAAAAAUAUAAAUAUAUCAUUUAAUAGCUUAAAAUAAUGGUUAGUGUUAUAUACAUAAUUUAUUAUGCAAUUUACUCAUAAUUUUAUGCUAUUUAUUGCUUUCUUUUAUGUAUGACAAUAUAUUUCUUUUCCUUAUACAUUUUACUAGUCAUAUUACACGUGCUUGAAUUCAGGUCGAAUCAAAAGUUAAUUUUUAACAUAAAUGAAUGUUCAAGCGUUUUAAGUGUGUUUUUUAGAAUAUACAAAUAGAAAAGACCAUAAACCAAAAGAAAAUGACCACACAUGCAAAGUUGCAAAUAUAAUCCACGGUGAACUAGAAGGAGGUGAGCAGUGGAGCACGUUAUAGUGAAAUCAUCGGAUCUUUUAGUAUUUCCUGCAAUUAUAAUUUACGAAUUCAAGAUAUAGUGAAAUCAAAGCUUGUUUUUCUUUUUCUUUUUUUUCUUAACAUAUUGAAGUCAAGUUACGAAUUCUUUGAUCAAGAUUAAGUGUCUAAUUAUAAUUUUUCGUUGUUGGAUAAUCAAUGAUCACUUUAUUUAUUAGAUCAACAAAUGAAAAUAAUUAAAUAAGGCAUUUAAAUGAGAAAAAAUGGAUUGACAUUACUCUUUAUUUAUUAAAUCAUAUACUUUACCAUCAAAGAAUAAUAAUAUCUUACAACCAUGAAACAGGCAGUCAAUUCACCAUUACAUCUUACGUGUCCUCUAAGGAAUUUGUUUUUUUCACAAUACGUAGGGAAUUAAGGAAGAAAAUGCCUACAAUGCUACAUCAAAAAGAAAGCUUCACAGCCGUCCAAUAAAUAAACACAAAUGAGAGGGGAAAGAACACAAAAGAUUAGCUUUGAACAGUCGUUCAACAAAAAGCUCCAAGGUGCUUCAUCUUUGACCAAAGAGAUUGGAAAUGACAGCACAUAAUGAUCUUGAAUAGAGUGAUCAUGUUAAAGUUUUAAAGCAGCAGAAGAAUGGUGAUGAGCAUAGCCAAAUUGGGCAGGAAGAUGCACGCACCAAUCUUGGGCAGCCCAUUUGGAGCUCCUGGUGGUACUGCUGUAGCUCCACCACCUGGAACUGGGGGGGGACUUGCUGUAUGAGAGGGCAAGGGUCCCUCCACAACAUCAGGUGCAGUUAACACUGGGUUUGGAGGCUCAGCUGGGGGCAAGGCAAAAGGUGAGAUUAGCUGCAUGAGACCGCCAGGCUGAGCAGGGCUCAUGUAAGAAGGUAAUUCCUUGCCCAAGCAUCGGUUCCCUGCAAUAAAAUGGAGCAAUGUGUUACUAAAUGGCAAACAGAUAUCACUACAUGUCUGGUGGAUAUAUUUAUUAUGGAAUUUCCAUAAAAUCUGAAAUGAGACUAACACAAAUAAUGGCAGUUAAAUAUACUCUCAAGUCAUAUUGUAUGAUCCUAACCUGAUUUCUACAUCUAACAUGUAAUAUGCGAAUCUAUUUUUCUCAGCCUAGUACAGCAUGAAAUUAAACUGACAUUUUCAUGAGAACAAGAUCAUCUAAGGAAUAAUUUGUCCAGAACAUACAACAUCGUCCAGGAUUCACUCUGUAUUGUUGCAUGUAAACUAGAAACAUCAGUGACUUACUCUUGUAUCUGGCAGAAGUCAGAGGGAAUUCUGUGAUAACACCGCUGAUGUUGGCUCCCAUGACGUAGGAGUUAAUUUCAACUGUUGAAUCUGAGAAGAAGUCCCAUGCCUGAGAUACAAACUCAUUGCUGAAAGUUUCCACAUAAACUGAGAGCCCAUGCGAUUGCAGCUUUGGCACAACAUUUGUAACACCACUGAGGAAUGAAGAACUUUCAGGAAAGACAGAAGCCUUGCUGAUGACCACCGAACUAGCAAAGUCUUUGAUGUCCUUCAGUGCUGCAUCUUCAGCAUCUUGAAUAUCCUCUUCAAUCCGGUACACAAGCUCAUAAUUGCUUUCGUCCCUAAAUUUCAUUAGAACUGAGCUGUUGGUGGACUCAAUCAUAACUUUCUUGGAAGUUGGAUCAUCAUAACCAGCUAAGCUCAAGACUUCAAGUACUUUGUCAGUAACGGGUAAUCCCUCUUUCUCUAUAAGAUAGGCUGCAUUCUGAAAUGAACAGAACAGACAACAAACAUCAGUCAGGGUGGGAACAACCUUCAUUUUUUCAAUGUGGACAAAAAUAAUAAUCACAUAUUCUUCUUCUUUUUGGCUGCUGUUGAAGACCUUAUUCUAUUAUUCUAUGAGAGAAAUCCUCAGGCGUGCAAUUAUAGCUCAAAGGUCUGUACUAAGCAUGUGAGCUACUCAUGAGACUAGAAGGAUGGCAGGAAGUUACGCCAAAGGAUGCGGUUAAUACAACCACAGGAACCAAUGUCAUCUUUAUUGCUACUAAAGAAAUGAAAAUGCAGAUUGCUAGCAGAUGAGAUAACUGAUAUGAGCAACCAUUGAAUAUGAUGGUCCAUUAAGUUUCAUCACCCAUGGAAACUAACACCACGUGUGAAAUGGUUUCCAAGUUGGGGAAGAAACAUAGAAGAGAUAAUAUGUUCCACUGACAGAACUAACCAAUUAAGCACUGCUUUGUUUACUAAUAAGGUGUAGUGUGAUGAUAAAUUUGAUUUUGAUAACAUGCUUUCCAUCCAACAGGAAAAAUGUAAAAUUUCCACAAACAAUCAAAGGAAUAUUAAGUGCAAGCAGUUUAUGCAAGUUCAAAUCAGAUGAUUCAAACGAAGGAUCAUGUACAAGUAAUGUGAGCUUAGCAAAAACCCACCUCAAUGCUAAUCAAGACACCAGAAAGCGAGCUAGUGUUCUUCGCCAAUGCUAAGAAAUCAGACAAUGUUAGAAAAUUCCCUGAAUUUCUGAAUUUGGGAUUCCGCAACAAGUAAUAUUUUGAAUAUGGAUUGGACAUCACCGCUACAAUGCAAAAAGAAAAAGAUCAAUACAAAAUCAUUAUCUUCAAUGAAAACAUUUGGACAAUCAUACAUCCACAAAUAAACAUAAAAUGGAAUUCAAACAACAACUAGAUUACAAAGCAGAAUUUAGAGUUGGGCAGGAGUCAAAAAAAAAAAGUGCAGAGGAAUAUUUCUGUUCCUUUUCUCACAAAAUUCUACCUUUCAAAAUGUAAAGAGAGCAAAAUCAAAAGAAUGGUGCCAGGCAAAGGACAUUUGCGUUUAGUAUUGUUCCAAGAAUUGUAAUCUCUGUAAUUCUUUUCAUGUAUUUAUUCUCAAAUCUCAAGUGGUGAGAAUAGCUGGUUAUGAGAUCUUGUCUUGUGACUCCCACGACCAAGACAUUAUUCCUUUGAGCCCUAGAUGGAUGUGUUUUUUUGGCUGGCCACUCUUUAUUUCUCUUCCUCAAUGUCCUAAAUUAUUUUAACUUUGCGAUCCAGUACUGAGCAUUCUAUUUUAACAGAAUGUGAGGAUUGAGUAAUGCCCCUCCACGUAAUUGUUUGUUCAUAGGCCAAGAUUUUUUCCCCCACUAAAAGGAAAAAAAAUUUAUAAAAAAAAUCAUGUUUUAUUGGGAAGGGGGUGCAACAGAAGAUUGAAAAAGCAAAAGAAGUAAAAGCCAACCAGUUUGAACUUACGAAUUAAGUUCUGAAUCUCACUCCAUGUUAAGCUAAAGGUGAAUAUCCCACUGCCUGCCUUAAUCUGUGGAAUAUUCUGUUCACGAUUGCUGUAAAUUGAUUGGGCAACUGUUGUACUGUCAUAAAGAUUUAUAGAGCCUAAGCAAAAUGGUAUCCCGUCUUUUGAUAUUUGAACAGGACAAUCAAUAACAUCAGCACCAUCUAAAAUAGCUUUCUGGUAAGCCAAAUCAGUGCAACCAGGGUAGUCUCCACUUGCACCAUUUUUUGAGAUGACCGAAAGGUUCACUGAAACAUGAGAAAAGGAGGACAGAAGAGCUAAGUACUAAUGUUCAAAAAAUGCAAUAUCCUUUGAAGUUAAAUCUCAUAUAAAAAGAAUCAGAAAAUAAUUUUGCACCUUGAGGUGUAGCAUUCUUGCCUAGACCAGAAAAACAAGCUGCAAUACAGAAGGAGAAAUCAGAAUCUCAAAAUAUUUAUUCUCCAUAUUAGGAGAAAUAUCCAGACAGGCAUUAUAAUCUUUAACUCCAACCGAAAGAUUACAGCUAGGAUAAGAAGAGAAAUUGUCUCAAUGGUUCUGAGUCAAUGAUAACAGCAGUCACAGUACUAAACCUUUUAAGUUCGAACAAAAUUUGAAUCAUGCAGUGAUAAGGAAUCAAGUAUCAAGCAUGUUCUGACAUGAGAAGCUAGUAGUAGCAACAGUUGAAAGUUGAUGGUAGGCAGGCUAACAACUGCUCCCAUAAAGAAAUUACUGCUAAAUGUCCAGUUAUUUAAGUUGAAAAAUACUAGAUUGAACCAAUAGUUCACGGUUUGUUCAGAUCCAUGAUGCUUAAAGAGAAGGAUUACAGCUUACCAAUAGUCGCAGAUGGAGUUACUGGAAAGUCAGAGAGCACACCAUCAACAGAGAAGUCACCAUUGUCAACAAAACUGAGAUACUCAGUUACAGGAUCAUAACUGUAAUUGUAACUCAGUUGGGCGUCAUUAUAAAAAUCUGAUACAAAAACCUCUAGCCCUGCCUUGUGUGCAUCCGAGACGAUAGAAGUCUGAGGUUGUAAGUAAUUACUUGCAUCUAAAGGCCAUAUGUAUGACUUAGGGAUAAGAAUUCCAGAUGCAAAUGUCUUGAUGAAAGUAAAGUUCUUUGAGAGAGAACCAUAUGUCUCAUUUGUUGAUGGCUCGAUGACAUUUGGUUCCAGAAACCGAAAGACCAGUUUUGUUAUAUUUAGGUUAAAUCUCUUAACAAUACUUCUCAAGAAACCCGCUUCUGGUGAUGAAAGAUGAUUAAUGACAACCCUUCUGGAUAGAGACAGUACGUAGAUUCUCAUACUCAAAUUGUGCUGUGUGAAGAAUGCAUCAUGCUGCAAAAGUAUCAGAACAAAACAAUUUGGUUGAAAUAAUAGAUGGGAGUGCAUGUUCCACUGAAUUAAAGGGAAGGGAAGAAAAGCAAAAGCAGUAAAGAAGGCUUCAUGUUAAUAAGUUCAUAGAAGGUACUGGUGUAAGAUUGCUUCUCUACCUGAAUAUUCAACCAUAAGCCUGGUGGUUUUAAGUUCGCCACAUCCUCAACAGUUUGGAUGGGAUAAGUGUUAUCAAACCUUUCACUCCGAGAAUAGAUUCCCUGAGCCACUGUCAAGGAAAAACAAUGUCAGAAUCAGAAGUUCAAGGCAGGAAUUGAGAAGUUAAGAAACAGUUGAUCCACACAGACUGGUAUGCUAAGAAAAUUUUCAUAGUCAAUCUCAUGAAGAUCAAUUUAGAUAAAAUCUCCUUCAGAGACUAAUGAGCAGGUCCCUAUCAGUAAAAUCUGAAGAUCAACAAUGGGAUAUCCAAAUCCAAAAACAAAACAACCCCCAAUUGGUUUUUUCUUCAAAUAUUUGAUUGAAGUAUCCUAUUUGCAAUAAAACUAUCAGUGUCUCUAAAUGACCUGAUGUUAUUAACUGUCUUUUAUGCUUGACCAUUACUAACUACCACUUAUACAUCAAGCAAACUUCACAAACAGAAGGACUAUAACAACAACAAUAAAUAAUAAGAAAGGAGAAUAAACAGCUUGUAUUUUUGUGUUAUUCUUAUGCAAAUAAGAGGGGUAAGGUCUUGAGUUUGACUCCCACCUUUGCAAUUCACUGCUAAUUUCAACAAAAAAUGAAAAGAAGGAAAUGGCAGUUGAUUCACUUGAUUCAUGCAAAUUUUUAGCAAUCAACAAUAAGAAAAUCUGGAUAUUUCAAAUGAUCACUUCAUGUAAUAAUAAUACUUUACAAGAAGUAUAGAAAUAAACAGGCUACCAAAAAAUGACCAAUAACCAUAUGAAGCAAGUUGUUGAAAUCUUAGCCGAACUCACAGAAUACAAGUGACAAUUCAUUAAGAGUGAAAUCCACUGUGAACCAUCCUCGGGUAGGAAUUCCAUUAACUAGGUACAACUUAUCCUUAUUUUUCAUAACUUGUGCAAUGCUAGUAGAAUUGUCAAGCCUGAGAUCAGGGGCACAAAUCCCCACACCAUCUUUAGUUAACUGCACAUCACACCAUAGGACAACAUCCGGCAAACUUGUAAGCGUUGCAAACUGGAAAGCAACUGAGCUAGAAUCAGGAAAUAAUCCUGAAAACCCGCCACGUGCUAUGACUAAAGGGCGAUUUCCUGCAGAAUGAAAUUAAUUAGUGAGCUUUUUUCAUUACAAGGUCGAUUGACUCUACUCAAAUGUGUUAUAGGGUCAUAUUUUUAUCCAUGCAAAUUUACUGCAACACAGAUUGCAAGUUCACUAACCAAAAAUUGUUAUUGCAACACAAAUUACAUCAAAUUAUUUUGUGAGCAUAUAAGAAUUAGUUAAGUUGCAAGUUCAACAUUUUUUGGGUAUUCAUAAUAGAAAUAUUUUGGAAAGCACCAAGAAUCUUAUGAGUAGCCAUUUUUCUUGAAAGAAUUUUAGUGACCAACAUUUUUUUUUGUCAAUUUUCUCAACAAACUCAGAUUUAUAGAAACCUCCGGUUUUUGGAAAGCCAGGUUCAAGCAAAUUAACUAUCACAUAAAACAAUUGACUUAUCAGAACUUAGAGUGUGGGGAAAUGUAAAAAUAAAAAUGAAAAACCACCCACAACACCAAUAUCCAAAAGCCUGUAAUUCAUGAAAAAGAAAUGCAUGCACUUUUUUUUUUUUUUUUGUGUGUGUAUAAUGAACUGAGCUGGUAGGAAUUUCAUAUAAAUUGAAGGUUUUCCAUAAAUGACAUGAUGUGAUUUCUCCAAGAAAAGAAAGAAAUUCAAGAAUUCAUUUUGCAUAAGCCCAAGAUGAAAUAAAAAUCAGCUUUCGAAAAAGAAAUCAAUUUUAAUCUUUGAAUUUAAAGUAAUCUUCAAGGCCCAAUACAAACAAGUGAUCUUAUUCUAGAAAUAGUAACCAUGUUGUUCCUUGCUAUUUUCUUAACUAAAGCUUAUUUAAAACGGUGUUUAACGAUCUAAGAUACCAUAAAUAAAAUUAUCACAAAUUCUACUAAUUACACAUUUAUCAUAAAUCAAAUGUAAAAAAAAAAAAAAAAGGUAAAAUAUUGCAUCUCUUAUAUAUUUUCAAUAUUUAUUUAAGGCCAAAUCUUCAAAGACGGAAAGCAAACUUCCCUACAAAUGCAACUAGCUCCUAAGCUGUAAUUCUAAAAUAGAAAAUCGAGCAUCACAUGCAUUUUCCUAGCAAACAAACACAAAAUCUAGAGGGAGAGAGAAAUCUGAGUGCGUGGUAGUGAGAGAAAAGCAAAGACAGACCGGUGAGUGUUUGCCAGGUACUAGCAGAUCCCUGAGCAGAGACAACAACCACCAAUGACUGAAGUAGUAGGACAGCUAGUAGAGGAGUGAAGAACGAGCGUAAGUUACACAUUGCCGGAAAAUCUAGCCGGCGACUUGUUGGAGGAGCUUAAGCAAAACUCCGGCCAAGUUUUUUCGAUAAAUGCGACAGAUUUCCCGGGGAGGGUGAGAGAGAGAGGGGGGAGGUGUGGAACCUUUUCAGACAGGCUUUUAACAGAUUUGUUAAUGUAUCGAGCCUUUUCUUUCCUCUUUUUUUAGUGUUCUUAUUUGUUAUUGCUGCGUGUUUGAUCGACGUUAUAACGUGGAUUGUCAGCAAGAGCCGCUAGGUUUCGAGGAAACAUGUAUUUAUUUUAAAAAUAUAUAUUAAAUUGAUAAUUUUUUAAUAUUUUUAAUGAUUUUAAUAAAAAAUAAAAAAUAAAUAUUUUAAAGUGUUUUUACAAAUUAAUAAACAUUUUAUACACAAUUAUUAUGCUGCCAUCAAUAUUUACAUUAAAAAAUAUAUAACUCUCUUUCACUAUAGUCAAAUAACCCUUGAAGGUUUAUCCUUUUAAUAAAUUAUUGUAUUUACUAUUAGUUGACCUUAAAAAAUAAUUAUAUGUUUUUUAUACAUAUCAUCAAGAAGUUUGGUUAUUUUCUAUUUCCAUAGCCGAUUUUAUCUUAUGAUAAUAUUAUAGAGAGAGGUUUAUUAGCUUUUAAUGCAAAGUUGCAAACUAAAUUCUCUUUUUUUUUUUUUUUCUAUUGAUACUCAUCUAAAUUUUAGGCUAACAUCUGAAUUUUAAAACGUUUAUUUUUAUUUUAAAUAUAAACAAAAUUAAUGCUAUAUAAUUGAUUAAUUUUUAGAAUUAGAAAAACUAUUUAAUUUAUUAUUAAAAUAAAAACCAAGAGACUAAUUUAUAAUUUGUUGUGUUAUUAAGCUUAUUUGUCUAAAAAUAUGCAAUGUGUAUUAAUGAUACGUUAAAACUGUUUAUUAUUGCAGUAAUUUUUAUUUUUUUAUUUAAUUAUAAAAAAAAUUAUUUAAUUAGUCAAAUAAUUUAUAUUUUUAAAUUGAACCCCACAUAUAAUUAUAUUUCAAACGUUAAUUUUAUAAAAACUAAAAUAAUUUGUUUAUCUCACAAUAAUUUUAACUAAACAGUUUAUUUUUUUAAAAUUAUUUAUUUAAAUUUUAAGAAAAAACUGCAAUCGUGUAAGCUAAACACUACCUAAUCUAACUUGCAUUUUGAAUUUUGUUAUCUUGAUGGUGAGAGCAAUUGGCUUAAGGUUAUUAAAUUAUUUGACUGGAUAAUGAGCUAAGAGGGGUUUCUGUUGUCGGUACUUGUUAUUUUAGGCUAUAUUUAUUUUCUGGAAUUCACUUUUCGGGAAAUCACUUUCCAAACUUUCCUGUGUUUGUUUGCCAUUAGAAAAGUUGGUCAACGAAAAACACUUGGUCAAAGAAAAAUUUGGCUUGAUUUUCAGGAAAGUGUUUUCCUAGAAAAUUUGGGCGAAAAACACUUUCUAGAAGUUGUUAAAAAUUUAGAAAUGUCAUAUUAUUUGCUGAUUAUAUCAAAUUUGGUCCUCAAACUUUUGAUUGCUAUAUAUAUUUUGUUUUGAAUAUUUAUUUUUCAAUUUCAUCUCUUAAAAUUUAAUUUUUAUAUUAACUUUGGUCCUCAUUUUUAUAAUUGUUAUUUGCUUUUCCCUUAUCAUUUUUUUAUUGAAAUUUUUUAUGUAUCAAAUUUGGUCCUCAUUCUUUUGAUUAUUACUUAUUUUAUUUGAAAUAAUUUAUAAAAUGUUAAUUACUAUUAUUUUAAUUUCUUCAUCUUUUAUUUUUUUUUAUUUUUUAGAUUUGAUCUCUAUUAUUUUGAUUAUUAUUUAUCUUAUUUGAGAUAAUUUAUGAAAUUAUAUUUUUUUUCAAUUUCAUUCUCAUUCAACUUUUUAAUUUGUAAGAUUUGUUUCUCAUUAUUUUAAUAAACUUGAGAAAAAUAAAACAUUAAUAAGUUAUUUUCCAGCUCAUUAAUUUUCCAUGACAUAACCAAACACUGGAAAUUGUUUUCCAACUUAUUUUCCAUUACACUACCAAACAUCAGAAAAUAAUUCACUUUCCCGGAAUUCACUUUUCAAAAAGAAACUACUUUCCUACAAACAAACAUGGCCUUAAUGAAAGCUUCAUGUAUGUCUGUACAAUGACAAUAAUGUCCCGAGAUAAAAGGAUUAGUGAGGGAGUUCCAUUUGUGUUACGGUGAACCAUAUUGUUCUAACCUUUUUUUUAUUUAAUUGUUUUAGUUCUUCAUUAGUAAUUGACCGAUUUAUUUUUAUAUAUUGGAUAAUAUUCUUAGACAUGUUCAUCCUUAUAUAUUUAUUAUUUUCUCCCAUAUACUUUUUUUCUUAUUAUUUUUUUUAUAAAAUACCCCUCAAACUAUAAAAACAUAAAAAAAGGGGAUGAAACUUAACUAUAAAAAAUUAAAGAAACUUGAAAACUUUAGGGAAAAAACUUAUAAAACAUAAUAACAAUAAAAAGAAAAAAGAAAAAAAAUAAAAGUACCCAAUAAAACCUAAAGGUUAAAAAGAUGUUUUUUCUAUAUUUUCUAUGAAUUAUUUUAAAUUUUUUGAAAUGUUCAAAGUUUUUGUCUUUCUGAAUUUUUUAGUUUUUUUAGUAUUUUUUUUCUUAGAUUCGGUUAUUUUUUUUAUAAAAAAAUCUGAUUUUUAUAUUUUUAAAAUUAACUUUUCCUUUAAUAGUAUAACAGACAUUUUAUGUCCAAAAAUAACAAAACAGCAUGACAAGAAAAUAUGAAUAUAUAAGGAUAUAUGAAAGGAAGAAAAUUCUUAAAAAUCACACGGAGAAGGAUCGAUGAAUAUAAUGUCCUUAAAUCAUAUCUCUCUCAUUUUCUAAAUUGAAAUUCACUUGCCAAUAAUUAUUCUUCUAACUUGAAUUUUGAUUUUCAAUUAUGUAAUUUUCUUUUUUUUCUUUAUUUUUUCCUAAGAAUAUAUUUAGAAAGUUUGUUUUCGUGUUAAUAAUUGUAAUGUGUUAAUAUAUAUAUAUAUAUAUAUAUAUAUAUAUAUAUAUUAACUAUUGAGUUGGACUAGAGAGCCCUAUCUGCCCACUCAGUGAUGGAAUCGGGAUGGCUCGAGACACUGGGAGAAGGUGAUGAGUGCUGGUUGGAAGACAGCUAGAAUGGGGUCCAUACCAUGAGCACUUGUCAUGAUAUGAUUGGGUGGCGCGGAGGGAAGCAAAACGCGUAGAAUGGUUCUCCUAUUUUAGGAGACGGUGACUUGCCAGCACGUAUGGUAUUUAUUUCAUUUUAAUCAGCAUUGAAUGACAAAACAUAGGUUCUCACUGUCCCCGUAAAGGAUUUAUUUACCUUCUCUUGCCCCCGAAAGCAGAAAGCACGACGUUCUUUUUUCUUUUUUUCUUCGAUAUAAAUUCAAGAAAGUUAACAACCGUGAGGACUCCUAUUAGGUCACAUAGAUAAAGCACAGAGAAAUAAAGAACGAAAAAUGAUAAAGUUUGGAAAAACCUCAAAUUAAAAUUAGCCUUUCCAUGACAACUAGUGCAAUGGAUUUUAGAAGAUUUUUUUUUUUAGUUGGAUUGUAUUGGUGUUUCACGAACCCUUCAACAUCAAGUCUUUUUUUUAUUAGGAGGAGAAAACUCUCCAAUAUUUAUAUUAGUGAACUAUGAGAAGUGAAUAAUAUAUAACAAAAAGAAUGAAAACAUAAAAGAGUGCAUGUUGUGUUUGUUGUGUGUGGUGUUACAUUGUGGCUUGUUAUUGUUACUUGGUAAUAUCGGAUAUUUAUACACCUUGGUUACAUGAAAUUGCUUCGAGGAGAGUGGAUUUGUAGAUAUAUCAUGCGAGAGUAAUCAUGAAGAAUAAUUACUUUUACCGCGCAGGCAACAUAUAAAAUGAGUCAUUGGUUGUUGCAUCACAUUAUUAACUGGUGAGAUAAGGUAGCAUCAUAGUAGCCAUUGGUGAGACAUGUUGACGCCCACACUAAUAUCUCUAUAAUAGAGAAUUAUGUAUGUGUUGUGUAACACUAGUAAGUGGUUGUGUGGCGUCGUACUAAUAAGGUGUGUGCCCAUGACUUUCAUAACUUUUACAAUAGAGAAUUAGGUGUGCUUCAUAUAACAUCAGUGAGUGGUUGCGCGAUGUUGUGUUGAUAAGGCAUGCACUCAUAACUUGUGCCAACUUAGAUGUUUUAAGUGCUUGGGUGGCAAUAAUACGUGCAUGAUAAUAUUUUAUCGUUUUUCAUUUCUUCUUCCCUCCCAACCUUGCAUGAUGUCCAUUCAAAUAAAACUGAGAACUGAAUUGAAGGAAAAAAGAGAAUAAUUGGUUGGCGAGUGUAUUAUAGGUGUCUACAUAUAAGCGAGCCCCAUUAAGUUAUGGUGGUGCAUUUGAGAUUGUCCUAUCUCUGACAAUGACAUUCUUUGAUGUUAUUGGAUUUGUCUCGAUGAGAGCUUUCUCAUAGUACAACAUGUUACAUCAUCGAAGUCACAAUGCUGCUUCAAUGACUUAUCUUUCCUUUCUCUUAUUUUUUUUAUUUUUUCUUUUAUUUCAAUUAACGAGCUGGUCUUUUUCUCUCCUCUUGUUGUCCGAUCUUCUUCUUUUCUUUUUUUUUGGACUGAAGACUAGCCCAACUAUUUGGUCUUCCUUUUUUAUUUUAAUUUGGCCUCUGGCCCCACCAAUUUGGCUAGAUAUGUUGUUAUUCGAUCUUAGUUGUUGAGCCUCUAGCCCAAUAGCUUCAUCAAAUAGGUAUUUAUUUAGAGUAUUAGGCCUUUUGGGCAUCAUAAUCCAUAUAUCAUUGAUAUUAAAGAGAAAUUAUUGCUUAAGUCUUAUUAAAAAUAAGCAUCGAGUAUGUCUUAAAUAAAUAAAAAAUAAUCAAACAUCGAAUGUGAUCGAGAUUUUAGUGUUAAUGCUUUGCAUUUUGGUGACAAUUUAUUCUAGAAGUUUCUACGAUAAUCGAUGUAUAAUAACACAUUAAAAAUCAAUAUUCUAAAUGGUUAGUUUCCUAUUUAUCAUAGGUUAUUAUUUAGUUAUACAAUUCUAAUUGCAUUAAUUAUUCAAUUAGAGUUUUUUUCAAUAUUAUCAAGUUUUGUAAAAUUUAUGUUUGCAACCUACAUCAAACGCAAGUUUCAAAUAUGAUGAAAUGACCACAAUACCCUAAUAUAUAUUGUAACAAAAACACCAAAAAACAUAUCAUUUUUCCAUCUCUCUCUUUCUCUUUGAAAUAUAUUUGUUUUUCAUUUAUUUUGCAUACAAAAAUCCAUCUCAUAACAAUUUUAAUUAAACAUAUUUUUUAAAACCGCAACUAAAAUUAUUUUUCUUAAACCUAUUUUUUAAAACCGCAACCAUAAAAGCUAUCAUAAUACUAAACACACAUUUAAAGUGAAUUUAGUUUUGUAGUAGCUUUUGUGGUUGUAAUUUGAAAAAAUUAGGUUUAGAAAAAUUACUUUUAGUUGUAGUUGGUUUGAUUAAAAUAUAUGUUUGGUUAAAAAUAUGGUUGAAAUUGUUGUUUAAUAAAAAAUACAUUAAAGAUGUUUGGUUGAAACUAUAGUUGAAAUUGAUGUUGCUAAUAAAAUGAUAAAAAAAAACAUGUAUUAAUUUCUUAUUUUGUAAUUAUAUUAAUGUAUAUUGGAUUAUUAAUACAUAGUAAAUACAACAAUGCAAAUUACAAUCCCACUUUUAUUUUCCUAUUAAACUUGCUACAAUCCCAUCAAGAACAUAAUCCAUACAAGGCCUCUAGUUUCCAUGGGUUUGUGAAUACGGAACCACAUCAGUUAAAAAAUCAUCAGGAACAAAAUUGAAAUAGUGAUCAAAUUUUAUAAAUUCCACAUCUUCCUGUGACUUCCUUCUAAUAUAGUUAUGUAUGUAUUGUCAUUGAUGCCACUACAAUCUAAACUUGUGUUUUGUAAGGAAAUGCAGACAUAUUCUGCUAAAUUCUCCACCUUUUUUUUCACGCUCCAAAUAUAUGUUUUAUCAUAUAACGUAUUGGUGAGUAAGCAUGAUUGAAUACUUCUUCCUUACUUCAUGGUUGUCCUCAUCGAUGAAAUUCUGGCAAGUGAUAUCUCUUACCUUUAUAUAGACCUAAAAAUUCAUACUCAUUUGGAUAUUCAUAAUCAAAUAAGUAGUACUUCACUGCGAUAACACAUAAUGACUUUAUAAUUUAUUCCCUAAUAGUUACAAUAACAUUAAUUUUUCGUUAUAGAAUUAAAUUAAAUUGUUUGUUUGUUAUUAUCUUCUAGUUAGUUUGGAAAUUUGAUAUUGGGAUUGCUAAUUGCCUUAAGGGAAAUUCGCGUAUCAUUUGCACUACCUUCCUAUCUAGCCUAAACAAACAUGAAUUGCAUGUCAAAACUACAUGCUACCAUUACUUUUUGAAUCGGCACACCUUUUAUGCCAAUAAAUGAUAUUUGAUUUUCUAUAGAUACACAAGCACACACAUGUGUGCAAUUGAUAACUUCUAUACAAUUCUACAUGAAAAACAAGAAGCAUGAAGCAUUAAUUUCUAAGUAAUUUGGAAAAAAACUAUCCAAAUUAUUAAUGAUAAAGAAGUAUAUUAGAGUUACCUUGAAAUGAAGUAUCUAACUUGGAUUCAUCACAAUUUCAAGUUGUAUGUUUACAAACUUAAAAUCUUUUGGUUUUAUAACAUCUAGUGCGAAAGAAGAAACUAUUCUCAGAACUUCAUUAAAAUAUCUACUAAUAGUUUCUCCUGGAUGUUGAAAUCUUUCCUAAACUUCCCUAUUUGAAGCAUCUAAUGUUGAUGUAUACAGAAACAUGCCAACCUUUUCAAUAGCUCUCAUCUUUCUUGAAGCUUUUAACCUUCGUUGGCUUUCUAAAUCAAAGAAUAGACUUUAAAAUAUUGUUGCAUCGAUCCUAAAUAUGUUUACACAUAUUUCUCAAUGUCCAUGUAAAAUUUCAUUUAACCAGCGCAUAUUUGUGUUGUUUGAAAUCAUACAAGGUUCUUUAUAUAUAUAAUUAUUAUAGUUCAUUGAGUGAUCUUUAAUUCUACAUAAUACUAAUUUAUGAUGAUCAAAAGCAUUUUCAUCAUCGUUAUUAUCAUCAUCCUUUUUAUUGCUACCAUCACUAACACAACUUGUCAAAUAACCAUCUCAACCCAAUAGCUUAAGCUGUUAGGUGAGGUCCUAGGAUAUGAUUUAUAUUAUUCUCUAAUACACCCCCUCAAGUAAAAGCCCUUUGGGCUUGAAACUUGCACAGACCCACAUUACCUUGUGCUUAAUUUUUAUCAAAUAAAUAGGGACGGUGAGAUUCAAACUCGUGACCGCUUGGUCAUCAAGGCUCUGAUACUAUGUCAAAAAACCAUCUCAACCCAAUAGCUUAAGCUGUUAGGUGAGGUUCCAGGAUAUGAUUUAUAUUAUUCUCUAACACAACCAAUGCUACCGCCACCACCACCACAAUUAACAUAAUCAACAAAAUGAUUUAUUACAUUAUCAUAAUCUCCAUAAAAAAAAGCAUUAAACCGUUCAGCAUCCAUAUCUAUAAUGAGAUAUCAUUUCUUGUAUUUAUGAGUAGAAUAAAUUAUAAGAGACUAUUAGUUCUACAAAAAAUUUAAAUAGGGAAAAUAACUAACAAGAAACUAAUUUAUUGUUUUGUGGAAAAGUUUAUUAAAAUUAUGAUAAUAAUUGAACAUAAUUGUUUAUUAUGUUCUGAAGUUGUAAGAUGUGUUUUUUAUUUUUAUUUUUUUAAUAACUCCAUAAUUAAUAAUAUGGGUCAUAAUGUUUAACAUCAUCAUCUUAAAUUUAUUUUGUAUUUUUUAUUUGCAUUUUUCUGUUGUUGACUGUGGCUUUACAAAAAGAUUGUUGCAUAGCAAGAAAUUUAAGAAAUAGAGAUAAUAAAAGGUUUAAUAAUGAACUAAUUAUUUUACCAGUAAUGAAAAUAGAAAUAACAUAUAAAAAUCUAUAUUACUUUUCUAUUAGCAUCAAGGUUUGUUUAACAUUAUAUGAAAUACACAAACACUAUUAUUUAUGUCUAGCAUAGUUUGUUAUAUCCUUCAUUUAGUUAAUCAUUAUUUCCUUCAUAUCCUAUAUUAGAACUUAAAUGGGCUUUUUGUACCUACAAAACACUAUCACUUUUCUUAUCUCAUUGCAUUCACUAUCCAAUUAUCACAAGAAAAUACCUAUCUUGUUACAUUUAUAUACAAUGUACCUUGAACUUGUAUUCCUUAAAAGACAAUAGUUACACUGGUUACUUUUUACUUGUAGUAAAAUUAUUUAACCAUUGUCAGACAAACAAAAUGGAUGCAUUUGACUUGUAUUAUUCCUUAACUAUAAUGAUAGUUUCAAAGACUGGUAAUUGAUAAAUAAAAAAAUAAAAAAAUAAAAAAAUGUUACUUGUUAAAUGUUACUUGUUUAUGUCUACACAACAAGCUCUAAUUAACUUUCAAUUGUUUACUUAUGAACGUAAAAUAUUAACUUUGAAAGUGACAUUGCAAAUACGCUUGCAAUACAAUAUUUUAUAUAGGAAUGGAUGCAUAUAUAAACAUAGUUGAAUAUUAGUUGUUGAAACUGCAAAACUAACUUUCAAAGGUUACUAUUCUCACCUAAAGUUCUCAUCCAAUACCUCUCUUCAAUGUUACACCAUUUCUUAUUACUAUCAGUGGAGGAACCAUUAUUCUUUGUCAAAACGCUAUCAACUAGUCGAUCCAAGCAUGAAAAUAAUUAUGCUUCCAUUUCAAAACCCUUUUUGUUUUCACCUUGAACUGUAGAAUAUGGUGUUGCUGUUUUUCUUACCACUACUAUGGUUGUUAUUGUUGUUUGCAACGUUGAAUCCAACUAUCAUGUUACUCAUAUCAACAAAUUAGAAAUAUCAUCCUCUUCUGAAUCAUCACUUAUUUCCUCCAGAUUAAUAUCAAUAUUAUUAGCAUUGCUCACUCCAUCAUCCCUGCCAUCUUUAUCAUGCACCGUUCCUAAAGAGGGAGCCAAAACAUAUAGUUCAACAUGCCUAAACUUGUUUGCUCCUCUGAUUUCCUACAUAAGAAAAAAUUAAAUAUAAUUAAUUAAACUUAAUGAGUUAAUGAAAUGCUUCAAUAAGAUAAAUGAAAUUGAAAAGAUGAAGAUCCUAACAAAUAACCUCGAGUUUUGCUUUCCACCACUUAUCAAUUGCAAAAAUAGUUCAUAAUUCACUACUCUAACAAACUUUAGUUUUAGAAAUUAACUUUUUCCAUAUCCUCAAAUACCUUUUGAUAUCAUCCCAUUUAUUCUUCAAUUGUGCCUUGGUCAAAGCAUGGUCAGCCUGCUCUUCAAAGGCAAUAACCAUAAAUUUCCAACCAGUUUUGUCAAAAUGAGUAUUUGGCCUCGUGCCCUUCUUAAUAGUUUUGAUGUAAAUGUCAUAGAAAGUAUACAACACUUAUUUAGUCUAAGAAGCUUUAUCUUCACUUUUAGAACCUUCAAUUGCUUUGUUCGAUAACCUAUUUCAAAACAUACAAUUAAGCAUUUAAUGUCGUAAGUGUAAUCUAAUCAUUAACUAGAAGAGUAAACAUGUUUGAUUGCAUUGUAUAAUUUAGAAUUUAUGAAUUAAAACAAUGGAAUUAGUGUAUAGUAUGGCACAUUAAAUUUCUUUCAAAUAUAGUAGAAAAAAGAAGUCUACCUGUUUUCAAAUAAAGAUAUGUAAGGAUUGCUGUUAACAAUAGUUGUAAUAUUGAAUACGAGGCCUAAUAAAGAGAUAGUAUGGAUAAAACAUUUUGUUGAUUUACAUAACAAUUUCAAUUUAAUUAAGAAGUGUUAAGAAUACAAAUAAUUCAUUACAAUAGCCCAUGUUCUUGAUCCUAGUUUUAUUAGUUUUUACGUGCUAAUACAAGAAUUCCAUUUUUAUUAAAAACAUUUAAGAUUUAAGAUUUUUAAUAGAGGAGAGGUAGUUUAGUUUUGCUAUAAAUCAAGAGACACUAUCCUUAAUAAUUACGGAAAAGGUACACAAAAUAACACAACAAAUUAAAAAACAUUAAGCUAAAGACAACUACGUAUACUAUAGCGUGAGGGAAAAAAAACACCAAUAAUGAACAAAAUAAUUUGCCCAAAAUAGCUUGAAAAAAGCAUAUAACAAGUAGGGGAAUGUUGUCUAAAAUUACCACUAGAAAACUGUUUUAUACUACCUUCACUUCUAUGAUCAAAACCACCUUGAUCUCCAAGUUGAUUAACAUUUGGUUUGCUUGCUGCCUGACUUGAUGCAUGUUUUAGUGGAUGUUGAUGGUGCCUUGGAUUCUACGUUUCUCUCUGCUGGUUAUUUGUAGGCCACGCUAAGUAUGCUGAUGGAUGAUGGCAGUUGUUGCUCCUGCCCAGUACUGUGCUCCAUUUUUUGGUUGUUGUUCGCUUAUGCUGGCAAGGUUAUAUGCUAUGCUUUUAUCGUGAUUCUCUCCUUGUGUAUGGUGAAGGCUGCGGGUUGUUGUCUGAAGUAGUCUUGGCUGGCUACUAGGUAGUACUGUUACUCUAUUCUGUCUUUUUGGUUUUUUUGUUUGGUUAGGUUGGGCACCUCCUCUCUGAUUAGGUUCCCCAUGUAACCAAUGUCUGCCUCCUCCUUUGGUUUGUAGCUCCUUUUUAGAUGAGCUUGAUGUAAUUAUUUUGUCAGGGAGCUUGUUUCCUUUUGUAUAUCUCUGUACAUGAACCUGCUAGUCCCCUAGUUUAUUUUAUUUUGAUCUUUUAAAUAUACUUACAUUUUGAUAAAAAAAAAAUACGAAAAGGAACAUCAUUGUUAGAACAUGAGAUCUAAAGUAAACCAGUCUAAAAACCUUAAGUAAACUAAGAAAUCAACAAUACCCUAUGUUUGAAUUGAUUAAAAAUAUAACUAUGAGUUAAGGAUUCAUGAAGAAAAAAAUUGAUUACUUGUUUGAAAACCUCUUAUCCGCUGUUUAUAUUCACUAUUUGAGUUGUUCUUUUUCUUGCUUCACAACAAAAACCAAUAAGGAGCAAUUUUCAUUCUUGCCAUCAUAUAAAAUAAAAGUUGAAAGAAAAACACAACACCACUAACACACAUGUAAAUAUGAUAUAAACCUAAAUAUGUAAUAGAUCUUUGAAGAGAUAACAAAGAAGAAGGUGAAUUCAACAUGAGAAACAAGAACAAAACAUCUGAAAUAAACAAAAUUGAAGGGUAAAAUUACUUCAUGAUGUUUACUUAUAAAGAUCUAUUGAGAUAAGUGAUAAUGGAAUUGAUGGGUUUGUCUUCACCCUAGAGAAAAAGAGAAAAGACAGAUAUAUCUGAUGGAAGAAAAAGAGGGUUCUUGAAAGAAGAUAAGGGUAUUUUGGUUUUUUUUUUAACAACGGUUCUUUCUCUUUAUCUUUUUUUACAAAUGUUGUUGGUGGAGAGAGAAUAAACUAAGGUUUGAGCUCAGGAUUUUGAUCUACACAUUAGAGAAGAAAAGAAAUGGUGAAGAUGAGGGUUUUUGAAAGAAGAUGAGGGUAUUUUGGUAUGUUUUUUCUACAAUGGUUAUUUCUCUUUUUUUUCUUGUAAAAGUUAUUUGUGGAGAGAGAAUAAGCUGAGGUCUAACCUUAGGAUUUUGGUCUACACACUAAAAAAAAAGAGAAACGACAGACAACUCUGAUGGAAUAGAAUGGGGGUAUUUUGGUUUGUUUGUUUUUUUUUUACAAUGAAUACCUCUUUUUUUUCUUGUAAAAGUUAUCGGUGAGGAGAGAAUAAAAUGAGAUAUGACAUCAGGAAAAACAAGAGCAUAAUGCUUCACAUGAAACUAUGGUUAUACCUUAAUUUAAAUGGUACCCACACUUUAAAGGAAACUGAACAAUUAAUUUUUAUGGUUGGAUCAUGAUCCUCAACAACUGUCACACUACUAAACACCGUCCUAUCUAAUGAAAUUACUAAUAAAAUAAUCAUAUUGAGAUUCUAUAUAUAUAAAAAAAUCUUCCAACAACAACUAAAAGACUACAAUAAUAUAUGAAGUAAAAUAAUUUAAUUUAAUUUAACUAUUUUAUCUUUGAUUUGAAUAAUAUCAUGAAAAUAAAGAUUAUAAUUAUAAUUAUAAUAAAAAUUAAAUAAAUAAACUUUUUAUGUCAACGCAAGCUGUACCUAGUUUGCAUUAUAAAUACAGGCUAGGCAUAUCAGCAGCUACCUAAAACACAUGUAAGUUGAUCAUGGUCGCAAUGUUUAUGUGUUGAUAGUGUAAGCAAUUAUCUAAUUGCAAACAUGAACAAUCAAAUAAAUUCAUAAUACCUAUGAUCUUAGAACUUCAAGAUUUUCACAUUCAAAUACAUAUUUAAAGAAAACUUUAAAAGAAAGCGUUCUUGGAUCUAUAGUAAACCCCUUAAAGAUUGAAAUCUCGUAUGCGGAUCGAUGAAGAAAAUGGUGUUUCUCUUCUGACCCCUUGAGUGCUUUUCGGAAGUUUUUGAUGGAAUAAAACAUACUGUUAUGGGUAAGAGAAGACCAAUUUUCUAAAGAGACACCUUAUUUAACCAUAAAAAGCUACUUCUCAAAAUUGACCAUAAAAUUCCAGUAUUAAUAUUGAGCUUAUUAUUUUAUGUAACAUAUAGAUGCAUGAACAUUAUAAAUUUUAAAUUUAUCAACAAACAUUUACAAAAUCCCUUUCCAUGAAAUACUUUUUUGAGGACUCAAUCCGCGGCUUUGAGUGCGAUCCAUCUGUAUAUUUCUUGCCUAAACGUGGCUCCAGCGACCCACGACUUAGUAUAAUCAAGACAGCAGUUUAUAUGUCAUGCAAUAUCAAUCAUGGCUGUUAUGUCAACUGUCGUGUUUCCCUCACCAUGUGCUGGCCGUGGGCUUUUCUUCACCAACUUGAGAGUUGAGACAGAACCUUCCCAGCUCCCUCACGCACCUCAAAUGAGACACAAAAUACUGACUUAUUAGCGUCUGAUAUUUAACUGUUUGUUGCUAAACUGAUAUGAUAUCAUACGAUCAUUGUCCAAUUUGUAAAAUAUUGUUCUUGUCUCAUGAGCUUAUUUCGUGGUAUAGCGAUGCCGAGCCCUCGGUUUCGUCCCAGCAACAUUUGACCAUGGAUUUCUGUCGUUUUCACAUUGUUUUUUUUUUUUUUUUUAAUGUAAGAAUAUUGACUGCGUAUGAGAUUACACAAGCACAGGACAUUUAUUGAUAGUGAGAUGCUCUACACGCAGAGGAAGCACCUUCGUAUUGUUUGCCGACGCAGAUAAAUAAAUGUCACGGUGCAGGAUUUAAAAAGAACUAGCCAGCUAGAUAAUUAGUACAAUAGAAUCGAACAUUGAUCGCAAGCAAAGAUUUUAGUUUCAGCAUACUAAGAUGUUUUUGUCUUCCUAUCAACAGGUUGGCACCUUCUCUUUUAUUUUUUUAUUUUUUUUGUCUUACUGUCAACAGGCUGGCCCUUCUAGCAUAUUAUUCUAUUAUCAAUUGAGUCCCACACCGUUUGAUUUUGUCAAUUUUACUCCAAACAUAUGAACAUUGAGCAAUGCACCCCUCAACCCUUGUAUUAUUAAUAAUGUCGUUGAUCUUCUCUGUGCAUGUAUGUUACCCCGCGGUGUCUUACUUGCUCACUGGGUUUGCAGGGUGUUCAGUGGAUGCGAAAAUUAGUCGUGGUGCACGUAAACUGACCUGGAUACCCUUGGCUAUGAAAAAUAAAAAAAUAAUAGUCAAAUAUUUAAAUUUUUUUAUCCAGCUCGCACGUCAUUAAGUGUGUUUCCAUUAAAAGCAUCAAAGUAAACUCCAAUCUACCAUAACAAAUAGUAAAUUUAAACCAAAAUGUGCUUAAGAUUAGCACCUAACUUUUUGUUUGUUUUCAUAAGUUUUGUAUUACGCGUGUAGUCAUGUUGUUAGAAUUUUUGGCAUAGACCUAAAACUAAACAUACGGCCCAGUUUAGAGUUAUAUAAUAUAAACACAUGACUUGGAUGGAUUUUGUCUCCAUCAAGAAGACGAAAUUAUUCCACCCAAUUUUUCCUAUAGUAACAGACGACCCUAUAAUUUUUAGACGGAGUUUGUCUUUGCAAGACAACCAUACUUUUAACAAAUUAUAUUUUUUUUUGUUUUAAAUUAAUUUUUUUUAUAUUUUUGGAUUGUUUUAAUGUAAUUAUAUCUAAAAUAAAAUUUUAAAAUAAUAAAAAAUAUUAUUUUAAUAUAUUUUCAAGCGAAACAUAAUUUUAAAAACAACGUUACUAUAAUCCCAAACGUUAUUACUUAGGUAAAAUAAAAUAAAAGAUGAAGAUCAACAACCAUUCCUCUCUCUGGACGAACUAUCUUAGUUGAAAAUAUACACGUCUAGGUAGCUUCUCAUAAGCUUCUAGCUUUUGAUAUUCAAGUUGACGAGACAUAUCAACUCGUUAUUGUUAUACCCUUAACAACUCAGGGCCAUAUCUGUACCUCUAUCCUAAGGAGUUCUUCUCAAUCAAUUACUUUUGUUAGGAAUUUAACGUAUUAGGGCUUAGUGCAAUUGUAAGUGGAGCUUCCACCAUUGAUAACAGUGAAUGAUAUCUCGAUCAUUCUUCGCUUUAUAAGCAAGCUAAGGAGGUAAGUACUAUUGAAAACAUAUAUUUUUGCUAGAGAUGAAGAUAUGAUCAACAAUAAUUUCUUUACAACAUUACUACUUUUAACAAAAUGAUGCAUUAUGUGUUUGAUCGAAUGGAGAAAAUCACCAUUUGCUGAGGGAAAAACCAAUCCUCAGCCGCUCGAUUUCCUUCCACCUCCUCUAGUUUUGUUUAACCAUAACUACCUAGACCACUUGCACAAAUUUCUUAGACCAAUAUAAAGACGUUGACCAAGAAUCAAAUAUGAGGUUAUUACUCUUUGGAUCUUUAUUAGCUAAAACAAAUUUUCAAUGGUAUUUUAAUCUACCACCAAAAUCCAUACAAUCAUGAACAAGUAUGGAAAAGAAUUUCAUUAAAAGUUUCUAUCAUAUAGAGUUAGAGAUGACUUUUAUAGAUUUGACUAAUCUUGUCUACCAACCUGAAGAAUCAGUCAAUGCUUAUUUUCAGUGGUUCAUGAAAAAAACACUGAAGUGUUCUGCAUAUAUACCGAAAGCUAACUAUAUCCAAAUGAUUUUGAAAAGGAUGAAUUGGCCCAUGCAAAAGAAACUUAUUAGGUAGAAGUUCAAAGAUGUACGAACCUUUACUAAUAAGGUUUCUGAUACAAACCUUAUGGAUAUAAAGAUCUAAAAAUUCACAAUUAAAUUAACUCUUUCUAGUAAAGCUAAAUUCAGACUUGUUAUUUAGUUUGACACAAUAAUAAUCUAUACGAAGACACCAAGAUUAUAAGUAACCAAACCUCCACACAAUGCCUAUAAAGAGACACAAAUGAGAAGUAUAAAAGAAGACAUGAAGCUUGGCUAAUUCUUCAAUAAGUCAUAGUAGUUCAUUGAAAUACCAAGAAAUAUGAGCAAAACCUCUUAUACACAAUAGUAAUUACCGAAAUCAAAUUCCGUCUUAAAAAAACCUAAAUACAAGCUAAAUAAAUCUAUUUAUAAUAGGUAAAAACAUUCUAAAUAAUGCUAGAAAAUAAUAAAAAAGUUUUAAUAUAGUUCCUGCACAUUAGCUUCUGGAUCUUAUCUCAAGGCCUUCCUAAUGAUCGAUGGCCUUGAAAUAUUAACUCAUUAUAGAACAAGACCUCUGAAAAUUUCUGAUAAAAUCUUAGCCCAAUCCAAUGGUUGUAUUAAAAACUAUUCUUGUUAGGCUAAAACUAUGCAUCAGGAAAAAUAAACUUUUAACUGCCAAAAUUAAUUAGCCAAUGAAGUUUAUUGAUAAGGACCUUCUUGUGCAUGAAUUAAAUUGAAUAAGGUUUGAUCUUCACUUGUUGAUGUUGCCUCUUUGAAACCCACUUUGACCUAAAUAUUAUGAAUAAACCCAUUGAAUAUAUUUUUAAGCUUCUUUGCCUUUGAUUUUGUAAUUGACCCCAAUUGAGACUUGCAAUGAAUCUUUUGGAAUAGUCUUGAUCAUAUUAUCCCCUUUCUCUUUAAAAAGUUUCAUCCACAAAUUAUCUCCUACAUCAAACAAAAAGUGAUAAAAAAUAUUGAAAGUAACAUUAGCACCAUAAUUACUUGGUAGAUCCACGUUAUAAACAUUGUCAUUAAUUCUUUCAAGGAUUUUGAAUGAUCUAUCUUCUCCUGACAUCAACUUCAUAAUUAUUUUGAUGUUGAUGAUGGAAUUGAUGUUGAGUCUAUUUGUAUAGUCAAACUCAAGAUAAACAACCAUUUGAAUACACCACUUUAAAAAAAGGUUAAGACAACAAAAGUAUGUGUAAAUUACAUAAAUAAGUCAAAAGCUAGUAUUAAGUCUUUUUCCAUAAAAUAUUAUUUUGAUAUUGGCCAAGUAGAUGAGAAUUUGACUAACUAAUAUACAUGAGGGGCAAAUGAAGCUUACUGGCAACCCCAUUGCUAGACCAAUUUACUAUAAAUGGUAUGAUUCUUAAAAAUCUACUACCAAUAAUAUUGUGAUUGUUUGGAAUUAGAUUCGGAAGGCUAAAGUUUGUUAAAAAAAAUGCAAGUGGAUGAGGAUCCCUUAUAAAAGAAACUACGAUCAUAACUUCAAUAAAUUUGAAGGAUCUAUUUAUAUUUAUAAUUUUUAAAAGAACAUGGCUAAUAAACCAUAAUCAAAGUUAAAACUAAAAAAAAAAAAAUCCUAAAAUAGCCAAUAAUCAGUCAAUGUUUAUUUUCAGUGGUUCAUGAAAAAAACACUGAAGUAUUCUGCAUAUAUACCGAAAGCUAACUAUAUCCAAAUGAUUUUGAAAAUGAUGAAUUGGCCAUACAAAAGAAACUUAUUAGGCAGAAGUUCAAAGAUGUAUGAGCCUUUACUAAUAAGGUUUCUGAUACAAACCUUGUGGAUAUAAAGAUCUAAAAAUUCACAAUCAAAUUAACUCUUUUCAGUAAAGCUAAAUUCAUACUUGUUAUUUAGUUUGACACAAUAAUAAUAAUCUAUACGAAGACACCAACACUAUAAGUAACCAAGCCUCCACACAAUGCCUAUAAAGAGACACAAAUGAGAAGUAUAAAAGAAGACAUGAAGCUUGGCUAAUUCUUCAAUAAGUCAUAGUAGUUCAUUGAAAUACCAAGAAAUAUGAGCAAAACCUCUUACACACAAUAGUAAUUACUGAAAUCAAAUUCCGUCUUAAAAAAUAAAUAAAUACAAGCUAAAUAAACUUAUUUAUAAUAGGUAAAAACAUUCUAAAUAAUGCUGAAAAAUAAUAAUAAAAUUUUAAUCCAGUUCCUGCACAGUAGCUUCUGGACCUUAUCUCAAGGCCUUCCUAAUGACCAAUAGCCUUGAAAUAUUAACCCAUUAUAGAACAAGACCUCUGAAAACUUCUGAUAAAAUCUUAGAAAAAAUAAACUUUUAACUGCUAAAAUUAAUUAGCCUAUGAAGCUUAUUGAUAAGGACCUUCUUAUGCAUGAAUUAAAUUGACUAAGGUUUGAUCUUCACUUGUUGAUGUUGCCUCCUUGAAACCCACCUUGACCUAAAUAUUCUGAAUAAACCCAUUGAAUACAUCUUUAAGCUUCUUUGCCUUUGAUUUUGUAAUUGACCCCAAUUGGGACUUGUAAUGAAUCUUUUGGUAUAGUCUUGAUCAUGUUAUCCCUUUUCUCUUUAAAAGGAUUCAUCCACAAAUCCUCUCCUACAUCAAACAAAAAGAGAUAAGAAAUAUUGAAAGUAACAUUAGCAUCAUAAUUACUUGGUAGAUCCACGUUAUAAACAUUAUCAUUAAUUCUUUCAAAAAUUUUGAAUGAUCCAUCUCCUCCUGACAUCAACUUAGAUCUUCUUUAUUGAGAAAGUCUCUCCUUUUGUAUAUGCAUACAAACUCAAUCACUUGGUUCAAAAUAAUCCUUUUUCUCCCUUUAUUAGAUUUGAAUGCAUAUUACUCAUUAUAUAUAUAUAUACACCGCUUUACAUUGUCACAUAGAGCCUUUACUACCCCCUUUCAUUAAUAGGUAAAGGAAACCAAUCCAAAGGAGUCCAAGGUUUAAAUCGAAAGUAAUAGAAUGCACACUCCUAUUAUAAGUAAAUUCAAUAAAUGACAGACAAACUUCCUAGUUUUUCAAAUUCUUUUGCAUGAUAAUUCAUUACAAUGUAGUUAAAGCCCUAUUAACUGCUUCAGUAUGAUAUCUAUUUAUGGAUGAAAAGUAUUAGAAAAUAACAAUUUUGUUUUCUAAUUUUCUGUGCAAAACCUUCUAAAAACAGCUAAGAAAUUUAACAUCAUGUUCAUACACAAUACUCCUAUGUACUCCAUAGAGUGGAACAAUUUCCCUAGAGAAUAAAUUUAUUAUGUUAGUGGCAUCAUCAAUUUUAUGAUAAGAUAUAAAAUGUUCUAUCAUAGAAAACUUAUCCACAACUACAAAAAUAGAAUCCCUACCCUUUUUGACCUAGGCAAACCUAGUAUAAAACCCAUAGAUAUAUCAACCCAAGGUUUCUUAAGCACUAGAAAAGAAGAAUAUAAACUAUGCGGUAAAAUUUUAGACUUAGCUUGUCUACAUGUUAUGCAUCUAUCAAAAAUUCUUUGCACAUCUUUUUUCAUCUUAGGCCAAUAAAACUGCUUAUGCAAAAUAUCUAAAGUCUUAGCACCCCAAAGUGUGCCAUUAAUCCACACCCAUUAGCUUCAUAGAACAAUUAGGUACACAUAAUCUCUUUUCUUUGAAUAAAUAUUCAGGAAAUUCAAUCUUUUCCAUACACAAGUCACACUUUUUUUCAGAUUAACAUAUAAACAAUCUUUUCACAAAGCAACCAAUACAUUCCUUAAAUGUUCAACAUGCUCCUCUAAAUUCUUACUUUAAAUCAAAAUAUCUAAAAAAUAAACAACAAUAAACUUACCUAUAAAAUUUCGCAAAGCAUGGCUCAUUAAUCUCAUGACAGUACUAGGUGCAUUAGUUAGUUCAAAAGGUAUAACUAACCACUUAUACAACCAUAUUUAAUUUUAAAAGUAAUUUUUCAUUCACCUCCCUCUUUCAUUUAUAUUUGAUGAUAUCCACUUUUUAAAUCAAUCUUAGAAAACAUACAAGACCCAUACAAUUCAUCUAAAAUAUCAUUAAGUCCAGGAAUUGAGUGUCUAUAUUUUACCGUAAUAAUGUUAAUGGCAUGACAAUCAAUACACAUCCUCCAAGUCCUAUUCUUUUUUGGUACUAACAAUACUAGAAUAUGGACUCAUACUUUUUCUUAAGUACCUUUGAAGUUCCUUGUCUUAUUAUGAUUACUUUUAUAGGUUGGUCGAUUAGAUAUAGAUGCUCCAGUUACAAAAUCAAUUUGGUGCUUAAUUUUCCUAAUAGUUGGCAACCCACUAGGAAUUUCAUUAGGAAAUAUGUUUUUAAAGUCUAGUAAUAAAGAAACACAUAUUAGAAAGCCAAUGAUCAUGGUCAUUAGUUUUAAAAUAUGCCAUUAAUAAAGAAACACACAUCACUUAUGCACUAAUAAAAUUAUAGGCAUGUUAGAAAAAUAAACAUUUUUAAUCUCACUCCCGCUUGCAUAAAAAUUAACAUGUUUUUUUUUUUACAAACUCUUUUCUUUCUCACCUUCCAUUCUUCUCUCAUCUCCUUGUUGAAUCCUUAUUAACUCCUAUUAUAGUCGAAUCUAACAUUCUUCUCUCUUAGCUCACUUUAUCUUUGCUCUUCCUCACAUCCUUACAUGGUUAAUCUUUUUCUUUGGCUUUACCUUUUCCUUUCAAUUUCAACUGGUCUUUUUACACUUGUCUAAGGGACAAUGGUACAAGUACAAUUGUCUUCCCAUCCCUUUUAAGAGUAUACUUGUUCUUAAACCCAUCAUACUUGUUUUUUCUAUUAAAUUGCCAAGGUUUUCCAAACAAUAAAGAGUAGUAUGCAUAGGCACAACAUCACACAACACUUCAUCCUUAUAUUUUCCAAACCAAAAAAUAAACCAAAACUUGCUUAGUAACUUUUAUUUCUUCACAAUCAUUCAACCAUUGAAGUCUAUAAGGCUUUUCAUAUUUAAUAGUGUUCAAAUUUAAUUUUCUAACAAGUGUAGUAUUAGUAACAUUAACCCAACUCCCACAAUUAAUAAUCAUAUUACAUACCUUAUUAUUUAUAUGACAUCUAGUAUGGAAUAUGUUCUUCCUUUAUCUCUCUAUAUCAUCCUCUUUAAUCUAAACAUUAAGUGUUCUCCAAAUUUCAACUGGAUACUCAACAUCACUAUAGUCCUCAAAUGGUGGCUUAUCAUCCUUAUUGGAUUUGUCACUUUUAGAUUCAAUAUCCUCAUUCUCUCUCAUAGCCAUAAUUUUUUUGUUUGGACAUUAUGAAGCUAUAUUGUCACUCCCUAAACACUUGAAACAUUUAAUAUCAUAGUUAUAAUUAAAUGGGAUCUUAACUUUACCUUUUGUUUUAGUGGCUGAAUUUUUUCUCCAAGCCUUGGAUGGUUUAACAUUGUUGCCCAUAGUAUUCAAAAUUGAUAUGGAAGCCUCCCUCUCUUUCUCCUAUAAUUUGGCCUUUAAAAUGAAAAGGAAUUUGAAUUACCUUCUUUAGUUGUAUUGCCCUUUCUCUUCAACUGCCUCCCUAUUUUGGUAGCCAUAUGAAUUAGAUCUUCAAACUUAACAUAAUGUUACAACUCAAUCACAUUAGCUAUCUCUUUAUUCAAUCCAUUCAAGAACAUUACUAUUAUAACUUCUCUAUCCACCAUAACAUUAGCUUUAAUCAUGACAAUCCCUAUUUUCUUAUGGUAAUCCUCCACUCUCUUAGAAACUUGAGACAAACUCUACAAUCUUUGAUAUAAUUCCAUCCUAAGUCUAUAUAGGUCUCUCCUCUUUCCUUCUCUUUUCUAAGACAAGUUGAUCCCACCAAAUAAUAGCAUAGUCAAUAAACUCAAUAACAAUAAGAUUAAUUUUCACCUUAAAGUAAUUGUGACAAUAAAAAAUCAACUUCAUUUUUUCCCUCUCUAAAUAAGCUUCUAAAUCAUUUUUGCAUUGAAAAUCCAAAAUAUUCAUCUUAAUAUUGCCUAAAUCUAUAUCCAAACCAUCUUGAAAUCCUUCCUCCGUAUUGACUCUCCUAUGACCGAAUUGCUCAAGUGGCUAAACUUUGUUAGGCCUUUGGUUUCUAUGUGGCCACAACCUACCACCAUUGUUAUCAUCAAAAUCCUUGGACUUGUUAUUUGUAUUUUUAGUUAUAGAUUUUUUAAAAUGUGAAUUACCUCAUCUCACAUUCCUUAUUCCUUCCAAACCCUUAUGGUCUGACCCAUCUCAAAGACUUGCCACUUCAGUUCUCAAACCAUCCAUCCUACUCAUUGCUUCUCUCAUGUUUCACAUAAAUUUUCAGCUUUACACUCUAAUAUGCUCACUUUCACCUUUUAUCACUCAAUUCUCAAGAUUUUAGCUCUUUAAAAAACUAAUUCACAACAAAUCAAAGAUUAAUAUCUUUAUGGAGCAAUCAAAUAAUGCAAAGACUCAAGAAGUAAUAAAGACUAAAAAUUAUCAAUACAAAAUUACGAAUAUGAAAACACGAGUAUCAAUAUGAAUUCAUACGAAAUAUGAACUAUACAAAGAUAAAAGAGUACAAAGGAGGAUAAUGAAAAAAGAUUUAACGACUCAAAAUAACAAUAACAUUUGCAUUUUUCUAAAAAAAAAAAAAACAAAGUAAUGAUGCAAAAACUACCCUUUUAUAAUUUUUAAGAUAUCCCAAUCAAGAUUCUUUUAGAUUUAAAGCAAGUGGUUGAACUUUAUGUUUAUUUGAAUCAAGUUUUUCGAACCUAAAAAAUUUAUUGUAAUUUUCUUUGUUCUUUUUUUUUAAGACUUUAUUUAAUCAAGAUCACAAGUAUUUUCCUUUUAUAUAUAUAUAUAUAUAUAUAUAUAUAUAUAUAUAUAUAUAUAUAUAACUUGAUGUUGCAAUUAGGUUUUAGAGAAGAUAAAUAAUUCGACAACAAUGAAGUAUGUGAAAACUUGAAGAUAAAAGGGAUAUAAUCUAAUUUAGAGCCUUGUUUUAAUACCAACUAAUGUGAACCCCAUAGAUAUAAGAUCCUGAAAUCCAUAAUUAAAUCAAUUCUUCCUAAAAAAGCUAAAUUUAGGCUUGUAAUUGAGUUUGACACAACAAUAACUUGUAUCGAGGCACCAAAACUAUACAUAACUAAACCUCUACCCAACGUUUAUAAAGAGAUGAAAACAAGAAGUAUAAAAGAUGUUAUGAAACUUGGUUAAUUCUUCAACAAGUCAGAGUAAUUCAAUGAAAACAAAAAAUUAUAAGCAAAAUCUUAUACACAUAAUAAUAAUUGUUGAAAUCAAAGGUUGUAUAAAAAAAACCUAAAUACAAGCUAAAUAACCCUAUUUGUAAUAGAUAAAAAUAUCCUAAACAAUGUUAGAAAAAUAAUAAAAGAGUUUUAAAUAAAAUAGGAAAAUGUAUCCUAAAUCAACUAGGAAACCAAUAAAAUUCCCUUACAAUAGCUUCUAGACCUUAUUGCAAGGCCUUCAUGAAGAGAGAUGACCUUAAAAUUUUAAGCCAAUAUAGAACAAGACUUGGGAAACUUUUGGUAAAAUUUUAUUUUGAUCCAAUUGUUGGAUAAAAAAUUAUGUUUGUUAGAAUAAAAUUAUGCACUAGGAAAAAUAAACCUCUAACUGCCAAAAUUAAUUAGCCCGUGAAGUAGAUGGACCAGGCCCCUCUCGUGUAUUAUUUAAAUUGAAUAAGAUCUAAUCUUCACUUACUGAUGUUGCCAUCUUGAAAUCCACAUUUGCCUAAAUAUUUUGAAUAAGCUCAUUGAAUGUAUAUUUGAGCUUCUUUUCCCUUAAUAUUAUAAUUGGUCUAAUUGAACCUUGCAAUGGAUCUUUUGGUGUAGUUUUGAUCGUAUCAGUAUCUAGGUUUAAAUAAACAUUGAAUGCCCAAGAAUAAAAACACCUUUUCAUGGUACCUAUCAUGUGAAAAAAUUGAUUAUGAAGACUUUGAUGAUGGAAUUGAUGUUGAGUCUAUUUGUAUAGUCAUACUCAAGAUAAACAACCAUUUGAAUACAUCACUUUAAAAAAAGGUUAAGACAACAAAAGUAUGUGUAAAUUACAUAAAUAAGUCAAAAGCUAGUAAUAACUCAUUUUCCAUAAAAUAUCAUUUUGAUAUUGGCCAAGUAGAUGAGAAUUUGACUAACUAUACAUGAGGGGCCAAUGAAGCUUAUUGGCAACCCCAUCACUAGACCAAUUUACUAUAAAUGGUAUUAUUCUUAAAAACCUAUUACCAAUAAUAUUGUGAUUGUUUGGAAUUAGAUUCAGAAGGCUAAAGUUUGUUAAAAAAUAAUGCAAGUGGAUGAGGAUCCCUUAUAAAAGAAACUACGAUCAUAACUUCAAUAAAUUUGAAGGAUCUAUUUAUAUUUAUAAUUUUUAAAAGAACAUGGCUAAUAAACCAUAAUCAAAGUUAAAACUAAAAAAAAAUAAUCCUAAAAUAGCCAAUUAUACUUGAACAUAAGUGUCCUAAUUAUAAAACAUUCUUAUCUUUGAGGGGGAUUUAGGUUCUAGAAUACUAAAGUUAUUCACUCCUUUGCAAACCUUCAAACUACUAUUGUCAUACACAUUAACUCAAAGAAAAAUCGACCAUUACAAUUGAUCAACCAUUAGUUGACCAUAAUCAUGUUUUAGAUCUAAAAAAGAAGAAGAUAGACUCAAGGUCGAUUAACCAAAACACAAUAUAUGAGGAUGUAUAAGUUUAGUAGUUAAGAUAGGCUCAAGAUCGAUUAACUAAAACAUAAUAUAUGAGGGUGUGCAAGCUUAGUAGUUUGGUUAAAAGGAGUGAGGCUAGAUCAUAUCUUAAAAAAUACACUAGGGCAAAUCCAAUGUCUAAACAAUCUCAUAGUGACUUUUUUUUAUACCAAUUCUAUUAUACAAUGGCCAAAGCUUAACGAUAGCAAUUAAAAUAUAGAUUCUAUGAUUAUAGAGGUAGGUUCUAUGAUGGUAAUAUAAAGUACAAAGCCUAAGCUAAAGACAUAGUUAUACACCUCCCAAGGCCUCACUCUUGAAGUGCAAUUGGCUAAAUUGAUCAAACAAUUAUAACACAUGACUACCCAAAUACAAAAAUAGAAGUAGCCAACUAUCAGGACUAUAGCUUUCCCGAGUACAAAGAAAAGGAAGAUCAUCCAUCCUAAUAUAUGUAAAUAAUUAGUUAUAUAGGAAUACAAUUCUCAAUAAAUGGACACAUAUUAGGAUAUUACCUUGAAAAUAUCUUAUUAUAAUUCCAUGAUCAGGAUAAUAAUUAAGUAGCUGAAGAUGGAUAAACUCAUUAAGAAAGAGAAGUCAGGAAUUGAUUUUCCAACAAAAAUGAAAUAAAUAAUUAGGGUUUGAGGAGAUCAACAAGAGAUAAGUUGGAUAUCCCUUCUUACCCAAAAUCAGGUGAAGAAGAAGUUCCUUUGGUCAAUAUGGUGUUCAUCCUUCCUAACCCUUUUAAGGUCAAACUUUAUCAAUCAUCUUUCUAUACGAUAAUAAUAAAAAACCUAGUAAUGAUGAAGAUGCUUUAAUAACACUUGGCAAUUUGAACAAGGAUGUUAUAAAUCAUGAAAUUAUGGUUGAAUCUAUAAAAAAAGUAAUAAUAUGUUCACGCAAUCAAGAAAAAAUAUGAGUAAGCAUAUUAAAACAUUGCACAUUAUUACAUAUUUCAUUGAUUUUUCUAUUUCUAAAGUGUUUGUUGAUGAUGAGGUUGUUUUUAAUAUUCUUCCUCUAUGGUUACUCAAUGAAAUUGGAAAAUCAAAGCCAAAAUACUUCUUUUUGAAGUCUUCAUAAUAGAUUUUAUAAAAGGCACCGCCAAGAUAAUGGGUCUAUUGCGAAUUCAACUAAUUAUAGGAACCAAGUAAACUCAAAUAACUCUUAAAUUCGUUGUUAAGGUUAGACCUAGAUAUAAUGUUAUACUUGGUUAAGAUGGGAUUCAUGCUAUAUGUGUAUACCUUCUCAUCUACAUCAAGAAUUAAUAUUUUGAAAUCCAAAUAGUACAAUAAAAGUGAUUAAUGUUGACGAGAAAAACUUUAUGGAUAUGCCUUAUAUGACCGAUGUAUGACUAUAUGAUUAGGAUAUCAGUACAAUUAAGUUUGCUAGUUGGGACAAUUUAGGACAACCUAUAAAUUUCAUUGUCUCCAAAACUAUCUAAUAAAAUACACAAAUUGAAACAUUGUUUUGGUAGGUUAGAAAGUAAAGGAGGAAAUUGGCUAGGAUAAUAAUGAUGUAAUGGAUCCUUUAGGUCUUGUAACCUAUUUAAAGGCCACUAAUAAGGUCAUAGACUACACUUUUUAGAACAAGAUUUGUUUGGUUGGAUUUCUUUACAAAAAAAAUCCUUCACCACUAUAAUUGGUUAGUGAUUUUCCAGUGGUGUCAUUAAAGGUGGAUCGUGAGAAAGUUGAGGUGUAAAAUCCUUUUAAAGAAAUGAAUUUAAAAAUAAGUCCAGAACCUUAACCAAUGUUGAAAAACAACUCAUUUGAACAUGAUUAUAGGAAAUACAUUAUUCAUUUUUAUUUAAAUUUAAGGAUUGUGCUUGAGACUACAAUGAAAUGCUUAGUAUGACAAGAAGUCUUGUUGAACAUCCUUUGCCUAUCAAAAAAGGGUUCAAACAACUUAAACAACCAAUGCACAAAAUGACUGCUAAUGUGGUUGUUCGUAUUAAGUAGGACAUUAAAAUAUUGUUUAGAGCUAGUUUCAUACGAAUAACAAGAUAUGUAUAAUGAUUAUUGAAUAUUUUUUACAAUAAUAAAAAAAUAAAAAAGUGAGAGUAUGUAUAGAUUUCUAAAAUCUAAAUACUACAACACCUAAAUAUUAAUAUCUUAUGCUUGUAGUUGAUAUGCUUAUAGAUUUUAUUAUUGACAAUGAUUUGCUAAAAUUUAUUGAUAGAUGUUCUAGGUGUAAUAAUAAAAAAUAUAUUGCUAAGAAAGAUGUUUAAAAGACUGUUUUUCAAUAUUCAAGAUCACUUGGCAUCUUUAAGUGGAUUGUGAUGCAUUUGGCCUUAAAAAUGAUAAAGCAACUUAUCAAAGGGAUAUGAAAUUAAUAUUUUAUGAUAUUAUUAGGAUAUUUAUAAAAAUAUAAAUUGAUGAUAUGGUUGUCAAGCUUACAACCAGCUCAUCUCUUGUUAAAGAUUUAUGAGUGUCCUUCAAAAGAAUACAACUAUAUGGAUUCAAAAUUAAUCCUUUGAAAUGUGCAUUUGAUGUUUACAUUGAAAAUUUAUUGUCUAUCAAAGAGGCAUUAAGGUUGAUAAAGACAAAGCCCUUAAAAGAUUAUUUUUUUACAAUAAGAAAGAAUUACAAUGUUUUUUUUUAUAUAAAAAAAGUCAAUUUCUUGAAAUGAUUUUUCUCUAACAUGGUACAAAAAUCUUGAAUGCUUUUUAUUUUGCUGAAACUAAAAUAGCAUGAUAUGUAAUAUUUGAUAAAAGAGAACAAACUAUUUUUGAUUAAAUCAAGAAAUGCUUUUCUUUUCUCUAUGUUUUGAUGUCACCACAAAGAAAUCAACUUCUUUGGUUGUGCCUGUAUGAUGUCCAUGGCUAUAUUAACAUUUUUCUCAUACAAUAAAAUGAGUUUGUGUCAGGUCAUCCAAAAUAUUUUUCUUAAUUUAUCUAGGAUGAUGAAUCCUCUCUUGUUUACUUAGAUACAUUUAUUUAGUUCGUGUUAUGUCCAAUAUCUACUCGUUUUCUUACCCUCGAUUAAGAGAACUUAUAGUUAGGAUCAAGUCAUAACAUUUUCUAUAUAAGAUAAUUUAUGAUGUCAAAUCUAAAGAUCACUUAUAUAAUUUUUACGUGAGUCUUUCCAUAAACACAAAUGAUAUCUUCAUAUAAAAUCCUCAUAUGGGUGAAUUUAGUGUAUAUAUCAUUUGAUAAGCACCUAUAAAUUAUUUCUAGAUAUCCCUUAUAACUCAGCUUUUGAGAACAAUUGUUUUCUUUCAUAAAGGAAAGAACAUAAUAUGUAAUAAUCUUCAUGACUCUAAUUGAUGUCCAUUAGUUAUAGAGAACUUUAUCUUUCUCUAGGCUCAUUAAUCAAACAUAAUUGAAUUUUAAAAAGAUAAAACCUUUAUUAAUAAUAAAUAUGCUUUUACAUGAAGAAAGUAAGUUCCAUAUGUAACCAAUCGAUUAGCUACUGAGUAUACUCACUAUUAUUUACUUUCUAUAAGUUUAUUUUCUUCCAAAUGUUUUAUUUUUGUCUAAAUUACUGUUUUCUUUACAACUUUAUACUUUAUAGUUCUUUCCAUUUACUUAUCAUAUAAUUUACCUUUUACACAAUUUACAUAUUGCUUUAUUUAAUUACUUUCUUUACCAUGCAAUUUAACUUUUCUUUUCUUUAGUUUUGUACAAGUUCUAUGUUAGAUAUGAAUUCUUCAUAAUCUUCAAGAUUUAUUUCUUGAUAAAAACUUUGUAGUUUAGAUUGAAAUAAACCUCCCAUGUUUAUUGACGGAUUCUUAUAUCUACAAACUUCCGUGUUUACACACUCGAUUGAAACUUAAUAAUCUUUUAAUUAUUAAUAGUUUAAGUUCAUUAUGGUCCUUAUGAUUUGUAUGACUCAUUUAAAUUCUUGAAUUUAUAUCUUAAUGUAGCUUUGAUUGCUAAAUUUAGUACUUUUAUUUAUGCCUUUUUAAAACCAUCAUUGUUUUUAGGAUUAAUACAUUGAUCCUUAUUUAUUUGGACUUAAUAUCUCUAGUUUUCUAAAGACAAAUUCACAAUCUUGCUUGUUCACGAGGUAAUUGUCUUUUUAUUGUAGAUUACGGUAUUAUAAUAAUAAAAAGCUUUUAUCUCCUUAAAGGAAAAGAGAUAUUUAUAUUGAUAACAAUAAUUUAUUCUAAAUGAUAGGCUCUAAAAUUUGAAUCUUGAACCAUCUUUACAAAUACCAACAUGAUUUUUUUUUAUGAAUCAAUUAUAAAUUUAUAAUAAAGUGGGUAUAUGACUAUGCAUGUUCUCGGUCUUUGAGGGGGAAGACAUUUUGACUCAUUCAAACUAGUUGCAUGCAAAGCGUAUCCUGCAUAGGUAGACCACUACCUAGUUAUAAUGGGAAUUUUUUUUGAAAAAAUGAUCUUUUUUUCUUUUUUAGCAUAGUUAAAAAAAAUUGGUAAAGUAAUAUAACAGAGAAAAUAAUUUGGGAUCUAGAAUAAUUUCAUGAGUCGUAUAUGCCAUAUACGACACGCGAGUCGCAGAUACCGUGCGCGUCUCGUAUUUUACAAUUUUCAUAUGUGACAUGCGAGUCGGAAAUGACAUUUGCGACUUCACUUAAAAUUUAAACCCAUAGACCCUUUCUUCCCCUUUCUCUCUUUCUUUUCUCCUCUCUCUCCCUCUCUCCUCACAGCCACCAGCCCCUUCCCUCUCUCCCCACCGCUAGAAAUACCCACAACAACACUACAUCACCUAUUGCUCUCUCUCUCUCUAGCCACAUAUUAGUGGCCAUCUCUCUCUCUCUCUCUCUCUCCCCACCAUGGUGGGUCUUUCUUUUUUUAGCCAAAAAAAGCCACCACCAAUCACCAUUACCACCCACAUUCUAUAUAUGAUUUUAUUGAACACUUCCCCUCUAUCAAUUUGAUGUAAUUUAUACUUAAUGUGUGUUAAUUUGAUUUUAUUGAAUUUUAGGAUUUUGAAUUAGGGAUUAGGUUAAUUAUAUACAAUUUAAGUUGAUAAUUAGGUUAUUAAUAAUCAAUGAUUUUGGGUUGUUAUUGAUUGUGAAUGAACAUAAUUAUGUGAUGGAAUAGUUAGUGUUGGUUUAGGUUAAAUUAUGGAUUAUACCAAAUUACGUAUAACAUAAUAAUACUAGGUAUGAAAUGCAUGAAUCUCAUUGAUGAAUGUAUAAGUUCGUCAAUUAAUUUGAUGGAUUUAGAUUUUAGCCGAUUAUAUUACCGUUAUGGAUUUGUUGAUAAAAUAUGCACUUUGAUUAAUCCCAAGAUGUUAAUAAAUUAGAAUUGUAUUUUAUUGUGUUGUUUGACGGAAUGUCUGAUAAUUUAAAAAUAUUAUGCUUCUAUAGUAAUAUCAUUGUCAAUAUUGAUAAUCGUAUCACUUAUAAUGGAGGAAGCCAUGAAUUCCUAACUGCUACAUCAGAUAUGUCCCUUAACAAGUUGCACAAUAUUAGUCACAUGGGUAAGUGCGAGGGGAAUUGGUUGGUGAUUCAUGCAUCUUACCCAGAUCUCUAGAUACUAGAGAGAUCAUGUUUUUGAGGAGUGGCAUACGAUGAUUGAUGUAGAUACCUACAUGAGAUGUUAUUUAUCUAUUACACUCUGUUUCAUUAUACCUACCUAGUCAUGUUUCCUAAGGUGUCCAUGCAAUUCGAUGCAUUAUGCUCCCCGAUAUCCGAGACAGAAUUGUUUGGUAUGCAAUAUUGUUUUACAUGCAACAUUUAUGAAAUACCAGAAUAAUUUUAUCAUGGAGAAUGACUACUAAUUGGUUUUUAAUGUAUGUAUAUAGAUUAAUUACUUGGUAUAUGAUGCUCAAAAAGCAACAACGACUAUCCAUGAAUGUGUCGAUAAGAUUAGACGUAUUAUGGACAAUACUAAGCUUAAUUUAUGUUGUGGUGGACUUCAAGAGGUUGGGGAGGCUGAGUGUCUUGAAGUAGCAUUAGCGGAAGAUGAAAUUGCUUAUCAUGGGAGUGUUGGUCUCUCCAUGAGCAUCCCAGACCAGUCCACGAGUGUCCUAGACCUAUUCACGAGCAUCUCAGGUCCAUCCAUGAGCUAGGGUGAUAUUGGUUAUUUCCACACCUACAUGGAUAUUACAGACCCGUCCUCGAGUUGGGGUGAUAUUCCAGGCCCGUCCAUAAGUGUCGCUGAUGCCAAUUGCAACUCGAUCAACUGUGCUAGAAUUCUAAAUAUUUUUUUACCCGUGUUAUUUUACUAAAAUCUUUUUUUAACUGUGCUAAGUUCCCAAAACAUUCGCGAGACACCAAUUAAUAGGAAAUUAAGCAAAGACAAGACCAAAGUGGGGCAUCUGUGAAGUCAGCUAUAAAACAUAAUCUGAUAGUUUGUCAACAUCUUAUGCAUGUGAUUUCAUAAAUAAAGCUAAAGUUAUUGAAUCAAAAAAUUUGAUAACAUGACAAAAGUUGUUACGUGCUUUUGUGAACCAAAUUAAUGAAUGUAAUUGGAGGAUUUGAGAAAAUACUAAAUGAUUUUGAUAUAUGACUGCAACAUGUGAACUAAUCUGUAAUGUGUUUGAUAAGGAACUGGUUACCGCGUCUAGCAGGUUUUGUCGUGGAAGGCCGUUGUGUCCCAACCUGAUCUUGUUUUGUGUUUUUCCAGAUCAGGAUAAAACCCGUUAUUUCUAGUUGAGAAAUGGCUCGGACGCGGCCGUUGUCUCCCGUUAGAGAUGACAGCGCUAAUGUGGCCACCACACGGACAAAUUCGUUAGCAACACAUGCUGCUAUUUCAGGAAUGCUAAAAUUUCUUAGUGGGAAGGUGUUUUUUUAUUUAAUUAUCAUAAAUGAAAAAGCACUCAUUUAAAAUAAAAUAAAAAAAUAGAGAUAAGAGGGCCAGAAUUUCUAGCGAUGAGAUUCAGCGACAACACUAAAUAAUACCAUCAUCAAUCAAACAAAGCUCUCAUCUUCAUAAAUCUAUAAACACCAAAAUUAUGUACUUCCACCCUUAAAAUUAGGAGAAAUUAGAAUUUGAAUAAUAAAUCUUUUGAAAUCAAAUGAAAAUAUUUGUAUUAAUUGAUUGUUUAAAAAUAAAAUUUGAGGUUACAUUUUCUUUUAGGAGGCAAAAGAGAGUGGGUAAAUUUUUAAUUUAUUAUUAUUUUAUAGAGAAGGAACCAAAAAUUCAAAAUUUAGUUAUGUUUCUGCAAGUGACCGAUGUCCAAUGAGAAUGGCAAGAUUCUGGCAAUUACUUGGAGUGGAGAAUACGAAUGUGUUUGUUUUUGUAGAUGUUUUUGUUUUUUAAGCAGAUCAUAAAAACAAGUUGUUCUGUUACAUUUCAAACAUAAGUUUGUGUUUGUGGGACCUAUUACAAUUUAUGAUUCAACCACAGGUUAAUAAAAAGCAACAUUAUGUUGCUUUUUAUUGAGUUGCAAACUCAAUUUUUUCUCUUGCACCGACUACCCUCUCACUUAAAAGAGUCAUUGUUUUGAGACUUCCUAAAAUACCCUAUCAUCUUCCACAUCCUCUCCACCUUCACUAGCAUAUGGUUAUACCUCCUCUUGUCCUUUUGCUUCUGCCUUCUCUUAUCUUCUGUAAUGACUUGAAAUUUCUAUUUAACUUUUAUAUUUCUAAUCAUCAUAUCUAAGUAUAAUGGGGUAAUGUUUUUUAUGCAAUUUAUCUAACAAUACAUCACAUUGUUGAUUCCUUGGUUUACCAAAUUUAUAGCAGAGUUUCCCCUAUAACUUAUACAUUUCCUUGGUUUUUUUCUUAUCUUCCUAGGAAACACAAUAUUAAAUAACUCUAUUACAUACACGUAGUAGCUUUCGGCCACUCACCAGUUCAAUUAUUUUUCCAUUUGAUUAUUACACAUCGCUUCUCACAAUUCAUCUUAUAUUCUUUCCUUUUUUCAUUUACAUAAAACAUACGUGUGAUGGAUACACACACACACACAUAACAAAAUAGAUGCAAUAAUCAAAUGCUAGAAAUACAACCAUACCAUUUAGUACAUUUCAAGGUAAAGUUAUUAACACAAUUUUAAGUAUUCAUAGUACAUAAAAAUAAGUACCUAACAAAAUUAUAAAUAGUAAAAUGAGACAAUCAGUGUUGAUCCAUUUUGUGACAUAGACCUGCAAUAUAUAUAACUUUAUAAGAGUUAUUAGUCGUCAAGAAGACUUAUGCUCAUGAUUUGUUUUACGAGGGAAAAGAAUCAUUAUGUCUAUUAGCACUUUUUAACAAUCUUGCUCAAAACAUUCAACUCAAGUUCAAUAAUACCUUAACUCAUAUGACAAUACUUGUGCUCAUCAUUGCAAAUAAAAUAAUAUUACAAAUUUAACAUCUAGCCAUAAAAUACAUGUACAUGGUUUUUCAUAAGGAAGGAGAACAAUAUGUUUAUCGAGAAUUCUUUUAGCAUCGAUUACAUCAUAUACAUAUUGAAUAACGCACUAGUUGCUAUGACGUCUAAGCUCAUAUUUUUCACUUUCAACAUUGCCUUUAUGAUGAAUUACGUAAUGCAUUCAAAUCUAAGGUUGCCAACUAUACAUCACCACGUAGUAACUCAUUUUCUUAAUUUUGAUUCCCCAAUCAAUAAUUAAUAUUUAAUUUCCUUAGUUACCGAUUUCUUUGGGUACAAUCCUUGAAGUAACCACACGUAUUAAUCUUAUGUUUACUAAUCACCAUCACCGCUUAACAUAAGUUGUUUGUAACAUUACCAUAUUUUCUAUUUUCUAGGUAUCACAACCAUUUAUUAUAUUAUCACCCCAUUUACAUUUGCUUUGACUUAGUAGUACAUCAAACGAUAUUAUGUCUUCAGUUGCCAAUCAACCCCCCCUGUCAUAUACAUUUUUAAGAAUCAGUUAAUGGACUUAUAUAAUGGUUUUAAUUAUACAAUCGAGAAUAGUUUCAAUGGUUUCCAUUAUUUGGAAAUAACAACACCAUGGUUUACACUCAUUGAAAAUAACAACACAAUGGUCUCUAUUAAAAACAAAGACAACCACAUGAAUUCCCUUUUUAUUAGAGACAAUUAGGAAGUAACUUUUGUUGCCCAUGAUUUAAUUUAAAGGACUUAUCAACUUAAAUAGAAGCAUAGAGAAAGGAGAACCUACAUCAUCAUCUUAUAAUUAACCAAAUCAUACUUUGCUUUCUUGGUCAUUAUUCUUUUGGGCAACUAAACAUCAAAAGUUGCUAUAUUCAUAGAUAUUGGAAAUUAAUCGUCAACUAUCAAUUUUUUAUCUUGUCCUUAGUCACUAAUACUACGGUAAUUAAGUAUCAUUCUUUUUUAUCCUUAGUCACCAACACUGCGGCCACUAAGUAUCAUUCCUAUCUCAUCUUUUGUCGCCGAUACUAUGACCAUUAAGUAUAAUCCGGUCAUCUCCUUGUGGAUGCCAAUAAUUCUGGCAAACCUAUCUGAUUGCCAACAAAUUCGGCUAUAAUAUCUUCCUACUGAGUCUAUCUUUAAUAUUUUACUCCACAUCUUCAUAUAACCUUAUGCUGCAUUAUUUUAUUUGAGCAAUGUUCAACAAAUAACUGAUGAUAUGUAUUAUGGUCUAGGAAUCCUUAUACAUAUAGAAUUCUUCUUUGCAUAUCUAUUCAUUCCUAACUAUGUUCAAUUUUGUAUAUAGUUCUUUAAACAUUAAUUUCGAUUGUGAAUAAUAUAUCAUACUAUUUAUUUUAUCAUAUUAGUAAAUGCUUUCAAAUGAGAUGAUUCACGACACUACCAGUAAUCCUAGUAUGGACUCUAUUAACCGGAGUUAACCUCAUUCUUUACUCUCGGCUAUCUAACAUGGAUAUCAUUAGCCAAAGGUAAUCUUCAAUGCUUAUUCUCGGCUAUCCAACAUAGAUACCAUUAGCCAAAGCUAAUCUCAUCAUUCAUUCCUGGUUAUCCAAUAUGGAUACCAUUAGCUGAAGUUAAUCUCAUCAAUCAAUCUCGGUUAUCCAAUAGGGAACCAUUUGCCAAAGCUAAUCUCAUAAAUGAAUCUCGGUUAUCCAAUAAUGGAUACCAUUAGCCGAAGCUAAUCAUAUCAUUGAACCCUGGUUAUCCAAUAUGGAUAUUAUUAGCUAAAGCUUAACACAUCAUUUAACCCCGAUUAUCCAAUAGGAAUACCAUUAGCUCAAGCUAAUCACAUCAUUAUUCAUUGCGUUUCAUGAGUAAUUUUAAUAUAUUGAAAUUAGGUAGCAACAUUAUGUAUAAAUACUUUGAGGAUUUAAUAAUAAUUAGUUAAAGGUGGAAACCACCUACCUGCACCUCUCGUAGUGUGUCCUCACCCGGUUGAAGAUCUGAUCCCGGUCGUGCUUUCUGAAACACAAAAUGACCAUUACUCAGUAUAUUUUUAUUUAGGUAAUGUCAAAGACCAUUUCCACACAUAUACUAGAACACAUAUAUAUUUAUUCAAACAUCUCAUGUGUUUGUACAAUUAUACAGCGAUAAUAUUGUAAUAAAACAUUCAUCCCUAAUUUUAAUAAAGGUCAUCUACAGAAAUUAUAUCAUUAUGACAUUGAAAUUGUCAACAAAACUAAGCCAUUCUAACAAAAACUAAGUCAUCAACAAAAACUAAGUCAUCCUGGCACUGAAAAUCAUCAACGAAAACUAAGUCGUUUUAACAUUUAACAUCAACAACGAAAACUAAGUCGUUUUAACAUUUAACAUCAACAGAAAACUAAGCCAUUCUAACAUUUCUUUUCCCUAAAUUCAUGCAUAUGGUCAAUACCAGGUUCUCCUCCUAAAGACUAUACUUCAACCUAGUUUUGGACAUAGACCACAACCAAAUUCAUUUCCAAAGUUUAUGAAGCAAAUGAAACAUGUAAUGUUUAUAUUCCAUGACAAUAUCACACAUUCAUUAAACAUUGUUUACUAUCCUCUCUUAAGGUGGUCAAAGCCUAUUUCAUUCUCCUAACAAGCAUAUUUUUUUGUUCUUCAUGUGGCAACAUCAAAUUCUCAUUCAUUAUCGCGUGGCAUAAGGUGUUCUACGUAUUCCAAUUACAAAGUACUACUAAACAUGUUCAAGGAUCAUAUUCUUUUCCAUAACCUCAUCAAGUUCAUCAUAAUGAUGACAAGUAGUACACAAUCAAGUUCAACAUGUACAUUCUUAAGGAUUCUCCCAUCUAAAUUUCUAUAGGCUAAAAAAUAGGUAUUAACAUUAAGUGUUCAUUUCAUCAAUUUUUACUACAUCAUUCCCAGUGGUAGAACCUUUAAUCAAUAACAAAUUCCAAGUAAAGAUUAGAGCUUGAUUCGUCCUAGUUGGUUGAGUCCACCCAACUCCGAACAAUGUUUGGUAUUUGAAUCAUAACUAAAGUUUCAUAACUCGUUUGCAAGUGUGGUUUGUCUCUAUGAAAAGCUAAUACAUAGGGCUAUAAUUUGUAUGCAUGACAUAAUACCUAAUUUUCCAUCUACAUAUCUAAACUCACUCAUUACAGUAGCAUAAGAAAUAUAUCCAAUACUAUAUCAAUCUAGACCUUUACUCAGUGUUUUUAUCAUAUCUAGAGUUAUACAACUUAAACUUAGUCAAAACUAGUUGCAUUUGGAAGAUAACAUCCUUACCUAUAACUGUUAUAAAGACACUAGCUCCAAAUUACAUCGUUUUAAGACUCAUAAUUAACAAUUACAGUAACACCCAAAAUCUAUCUAGUACUAUGUCGGUCUGGACCUUUACUUAGUGUUUUUCUCACAUAUGGAGUUAUAAAACUCUUAAUAAGUCAAGCCUAGUUCCAUGUAAGAGAUAACAUCUAUACCUACAACUUUUAUAAAGACACCAGCUCCAAAUUACAUCGUUUUAAGACUCAUAAUUAACAAUUACAGUAACACCCAAAAUCUAUCCAGUACUAUAUCGGUCUGAAUCUUUACUCACUGUUUUUCUCAUAGCUAGGGUUAUACAACUCCAAAUAAGUAAAGACUAGUUUCAUCUAAACGAUAACAUCCAUACCUACAACUGUUAUAAGACACAAACUCCAAAUUACAUCGUUUUAAGGCUCAAACUCAACAAUUAUAAUAGCACAAAAAAUUUGUUCAGUACUAAAUCAAUAUGGACCUUUACUUAGUGUUUUUCUCACAUCUGGAGUUAUACAACUCUGAAUAAGUCAAGACUAGUUCCAUUUAAAAGAUAAAAUCAAUAUCUACAACAUUUAUAUAGAUUGGGUGAUCAAGUCAGAUGCCUGCUUCUUUCUGUUUGCUCUAGGUCUUAGGGAAUUCUCUUCCACUCAACACCAACUCCAAAUUACAUCAUUUGUAAAUAGUAAUUUCGACUAAAAGUUGGCUAUUAAGACUGUCCGAAUUUUAAUUACAUGAGAGAUAAAUUUGACAAGCACAUUAAGUGUUUUUAUGCAUCAUAACAUCCAUUAUCAUUACUCCAUGUUCAAAGAAACUCUCAUUUCUUAUAUAUUUUCAAGAACCCUAGAAUCACAACAUCGAGGGUUUUUCAAUUAUCCUUUACUAACUAUAAAUCAAGGAGGAAAACUAAGGAAGAACACUUUAAUCAAUAAUUCUGAGUUCAAAUUGAAGGGUUCUUACCAAUUUCUUCUUCAAUUGUUCUUCCUCUUCAUCACUCAUACUUGUCUUUCAAGUUCAUCUCCUCCAACCAAGCUUCCUAAUUUCAGCUUAUAUGUGUUUCGCUCUUCACAAACCUAUUUGCAAGCUUCAAUCUCAUAAUUUGAAAAGACUUCUCAAAUGAUAUUUAAAGAGAGGCAAGACAGAAGCUCUCCUCCUCUCUUUUUAACUAUUGUUCCACGUGAAUAGUAGCAACAAUCAUAGUUAUAUUAGGUUUUAUGGGUCAAUUACUAUUAUACCACAACUUAUCCCUCCUAAAUUUCAAUUUAUUGCACUGACUCGACAUUGUGUCUUUAUUUUCGAGACUUUUCUGUAACCAAAGGUACAAAAGUAUGUUCUAAUACCCCAUAUAAAAGUUCAGUCUGAUCCAAUGGUCGGAUUGAGAGAUACAUUCAAUAUUGUAAAAUUAGACAGUUGGAAAUUUCACGCCAAAAAUCCGGAUUUCACAUACUAUAUAAUUUACUUAAAUCAUCUUGAGUUUCUUAUCACUUGCAGUCCCAAUAGUGCGAUUGUGCGCGGAGAUUAUACUUAAAAUUCGACGUUUCUCACUUAAAGGGUCAUGCAUUGAUUUAUUUGACAUUUCCUUCUAUUUUACACAUAAUAUCACCUAAUUUACAAAAUUUCCUCCUUCAAAUUAUUAUUUUUACUAGGUUAGAGAGUUUUCAUGAUUUAUCGUUAACUAAUAUUUCACAUACUAUUUUAUUACUUUAGCUUUUCUAAAUUUUAAAUUAAUCUCCCAUGAAUGUUCAUCCUAAUCCAUAAGAUUUUCUCCUUAAUUUAUCAUUUUUCAAUUAAUAAUUACUCUAUUUAACUCAAAUUUAUCUAUUUUACCCAAAUUUAUCUAUUUUUUUCUGAGGGUUUGCAUCUUUGUUCCCCCAGAUCUGAUCAGCAGACUUUCCCAUUCCACAACCUUUCUCCCGCCACCUCAAGGAGGUUUCUCAAUUCUUCUAUUCAUUACCCAUUAUCCAUCACACCUCACCUUACUCUUUAUAGAAGAGAACCUGAAUCCCAUAAGCAAUUAAAAAAACAAAACCUCUUCAUCUUCCAAGAUCCAUACCAUCCCAAUAUCAAAUAUGUUAACUUCUCAUCAUCUUCUGCUCUGUCUUCACAGGCAACGGUCAUUUACACAAAUAAAUUUGGGUAGGAUCUAUGAAAAAUUACAUAUACAUUAUAACCUUUGUCUGCAUGAUAAAUUUCUUUUUUUUUUAAUCAUUGUCCACUUUACUAAUACAUUUAAGGAUUAUAAUGUUUAUUUCAAGUAGGCAUAAAUUUUUGAAUUGAAAUUGCUGGCCAUCAUACAACAAAAAAAAUAGUUGAUCAUGAGUUAACUUUCAAGAACCAAGAUCUUGCAGGUUACUUAAAAAUCCAUAUGUCGACAUAAAUAUGCUUCUAUGCGUAACAUCAAUACCUUGUAGUUUAAUAAUAAUGAAUAAACGAAUGAGCUUUGAUGUUUUUCCUAUCAUCAGUCCAAAAUUCUAGUGAACAAAACUUAUAAAAGUAACCAGUAAUAAUUUUAUCAACCUUUCUUUGAAAUUGUUAUUUUGUAUAAUAUAACGGUAUGAUGUUGUAUGUUAUAAAUUCACCAGCAUGAUCACUCCUUAUGUUUAUGUUAGAAAAACUCUUUCAACUUUCAAUUUUCUUUGAAAACUUUACAAAUUCAUAAAUAGUUUCAUCUUUUGAUUUUAAAAACAAAAUCCAUGUAUAUCUUGUAAAGUCAUCCACAAUCACAAACAUAUAUCUAUUAAUGCUUAUACUUUUAGCUCUAGUUGGUCCAAAUAGAUCUAUGUGUAGCAAUUAUAAAUGUCUUUUGGAAAAAAUAUGGUUCUUUCUCUUAAAAGAUGUUUUCAUUUGUUUACUCAUUUGGCAAGCAUCACAUAACUUUUUUUUUUAAUGCAAGAUGAAGGAGCCCUUUAACAAGCUCAUUUUUAACAAGUUUAGAAAGAAUGUCUAUGUUUAUAUGAUCUAAUCUUCUAUGCAAAAAAAAAAAAAAAAAAAACUAUCGUUAAUGCUAGAAACAAGGCUACUUUCUAUCCUCAUGCAUUUAUUAAUUUUAAUCUUAUAAGCAUUCUCUUUUCUAUUACCAACAAGUAAAACUUUAUCAUUUUCAAGGAUUAAGCAACAUGCAUGAUCAAACAUGAUCUUGUAUCCUUUAUCAUACAAUUAACUAAUACUUAGCAAAAUAUGUUUAGAUUAUUCACAAGAAACACCUUUUCUUUUGAGGAAGAAGACUUACCUUCAAUAUUGCCAACUCCAAUGAUCUUUUCUUUUGGGUUAUCUCCAAAUGUGACUUUUCCACCAUUGAUAUUGCUUAUGCUUGAAAAUAAUGAAUCAUCUUUGGUCAUGUGUCUUGAGCAAACACUAUCCAUGAACCAUUCCCUAUAUUCCCUUGAUUCCUACACACAUAAAAUCAAGAUGAGGUUUUUGAUACUCAUACCUUCUUAGAUCUUUUUUGGUUAGUGAAGGUUCCUUUUCGAACCCAAAUCAUGUUACCAAUUUUGUCCUUCUUCAUAGGACAUGUGUAAAUCAAAUAACCAAUGCUUUUAUAAUAAUGACAUCUUUUGUUUAGAUCAUAUGAUUGUUUGGCUUUAAUAAAGCAGUUCUUUAAAUAUUUUUGGUUAUUUUUGGGUUAAUACCCUAAAUCUUUUUUUUAUUAAAGGCACAUCUUUGACUAGCAAGCAUGAUAUCUAAAAUCUUAUAACCUUGAGUGAACUUUGCUAGUGUAGUAUUCAACUUGUCCACCUUUUCUUUUAAAGCCUUAUUUUUCUCUUUAAGUUGGUUAACCUUGUCACUAUUAAUAACAAUUCAUGUUUUCUUUUCUAAUGCAUCUUUUUCAACAAGUAAACUUGCAUGACUCUUUUCUAAUGAACUAUAUUUAUGACCUAGCUUUUUAAAUUCAUCAUACAAUGAUUCGAAGGCAUUAUAUAGUUCAUUAUAAGAGAGGUCAGAUUCAUCAUUCGAAGAAAGUACCUCAUUAUCGCUUUUGAUUUCCAUGAAACACAUGUUUGCAGUAUGCUUUUCAUCUUCAUUUGAGCUAAAGUCCAAGUCAUCACUCUAUGUUUCUUUCAUUGCUCGUUUGUAAUGGUGGUUCUCUUUCUUGUUUUGUAGGAGAGGGCAAUCGACCUUAAUGUGUCCUGUUUUGUUGCACUUGUAACAUCUAAGUGCCGCUUUGCUAGCUAGAUUCUUCCUUAUUUCCAUCCUUCUUGAAGUUUAAGAACUUUUUAUUCCCUUGCUUUUUUAUUAGGAGAUUUUGGAAUUGUCUCGUUAUAAGUGCAAUGUCUUCCUUUACAUCAUCAUCAUCAAUAUGGUGUACGAUUUUGAAUGCCAAAUUCUUCUUUGGCUUUUCUUCUAGUUCUUGCUUUUCCAUAAUGAUUUCAUGAGUCAUUAGUGAACCGAUGAGCUCUUCUAAUGAAAGUUUGGUGAGAUCCUUAGCUUCAUGGAUUGUAAUCACCUUUGCUUCCCAAGACUUUGGCAAGAACCUAAGAAUUUUGCUCAUAAUAUCAACAUUAGUAUAAGUCCUACCAAGAGCAUCCAAACUAUUAGUGAUAGAUGUCAUUCUAGUAAACAUACUAGUUAUAGAUUCAUUUGAAAGAAUUUUGAAUAACUCAUAUUGAUGUACAAGCAUAUCAAUUUUGGAUUCUUUAACUUGAUUAGUAUUUUCAUGAGUUAAGCAUGCCAUAUAUCCCCAACAUUUUUAAAAGAUGAUAUUUUGUUAAACUCACUUCUACUUAAGGCACAAUACAAAGUGUUCAUAGUUUUAACAUGUAUAGAAAACAAUUUCUUAUCACUAUUGGUAUACUCACUUAUAGGUUUAGGAAUCAUUAUAUCAUUUUCAAUUUUAGUAGGCUUGUAAGGUUCAUUUUUAAUAAAUAACCUUAAAUUAUAAUCAAUAAAUUAAAGAUAUAUAAUCAUCCUACAUUUCCAAUAGACAUAAUCACUGCCAUCAAAGAAGGGUGGCCUAGAGGUAGAUGCUCUUUCAUUUUAAUCAUUAUAGCUAGUGGUUUCCAUUCUACUCAAGUCUAAGCAAACUUAUAUAUAUGAGAACUUAGCUCUGAUACCAAUUGUUGUUCUAGGAUUAAUGCAAUAAUAACACACUAAGCAUAUAUAACAUAAUAACCAACAAUAUAAUUAUAGUGCUUAAAGUAAAGAAUAAAGGAAGAGAGAUUACAAACUUGGUUUUUAACUUGGUUUGGCAAGCCUACAUCCACACCUCGAGUACCAACCAUACUUGAGUAUUGUACUCUUUUACUAAUCCAAGUGAAAGAUACAAUGUCAUUGAUGAAUCCACACCAAGCAAUUACACCACUUGAAGAUGUUCCCUCUUCAAAAAAAUUUCCUUGGUGACAAUACCUUACCAAUGCUAAAAUUUUAUCCAAACUCUCAAGUGUUUAUAAUUAUAAUUUAUUUAUAAUAAGAUUCACUCUCUCAAAAAGCAGAUUAUAUAAUUGAAAACUAUAAUCUCUAUAGCUCACUCAAUAGCACUUAGAAUGAUUGAAGAUCUGUAAAUAAAAUGAGUGUGAGAUAUUAUACUAUUGUGCUAGAACAUAAAGAUUUAAUUUAGCACAACUUAGAAUAUGUUAAGAUUGAUGAUUUUUAGUUGAUUUUUCUUUUGGAGUAGCUUUUAUAUCAUGUAUGUUCAGAAUGUCAUUUUAAUUUUGCAUGAAAGAGAGCCAUAUAUAUGUUUCCAAAAUAAAUUAGUUGUUUAUAACUGUUGGAAUGCCUCUAAUGGUUAAAGUGGUCGACUGGUUUAAAUGACCAUAUCAUUCGGUCGACCGGUUCCUGCAAAAAAAUUCCCAAGUGUUUAUCACAAAUGAACAACGAUCAACCAGUUCACUUGUUAUGCAUAAGCAAUUGAUAUGUUUAGCUUUAAAACCAGUUUUGACAGUUUCAAACCUAGCGAAACUUGAACUGAUUAAAUGGAUAUCAAUCAUAUUUAUGCAUGAAAUGUGAAGUGUGUGAGUUCAUUUUAGUUUCCUAUUGAGUAAGAUAUAAAGAUUUAACAAUAAGUAUUAAAAUGAAUUAUUAAGAACUAAGUCUUCACUUGCUUUGCAUCUUUGACUUGUUAAUGGAUUUCUUCAUUUAAUUUUUUAUACUUAUUGAUGUGAUCUUCAUAUAGACCUGUUUAAACUUAAUCUCAUCCAAGCAUAUCAUUAGUGUGGUUUCAUUUAUUUGUUAUCAUCAAAAUACAUAAAAUAUUAAUAUGUGACCUAAAGGUCAACAACUUGUUCAUCCAGGGAUGACAAUUUUAAGCCUAUUAUACUAAACAUGGGUUUAGUUUUGAGCUCAUGAUUGGACCUAUAAAAUCCCACCACUUGUUAUGCAUAAAACACGAGGUAUGUUCCAUUAACCCACUUGCCCAAGGUUUCAAGAGCCACAUAACUUAUUCAAGUUUACAAUGCUCAGACAUGAGUUCUUUUAUUGAGAUGGAAACAAAAGUUGAUGACACUUUCUCCUAGAUGGCCAAAUAGGCCCACCUACCACCUUUAAAGUUGGGUUUGGGAUGCCCUUUCCUGAACCCAAAACCAAUACCACCUUACGAGUUGGGUUCAGGAUGCUCAUGCUCUAACCUAACUACUCGAGUCUACGUUUUUCUAUCAACUCUCUACAUGGUUGGGAUUUAACAUUUAAUGCUAAUGUAACCAUAAUUGGACCCACAAGAUGGUGGUAAGACAUGUCCACAUGUAGAACCUAGCAUAGUUAUCUAGUUUGGUCUCUAGUACUAACCAAGGCUAGUUAGAAAGACCAAAGCUUUAAUUGAUUUCAUUAUAGAGCUCUCCUUUAUUAAAUUGCAUAUACAUUCCCCAUGAAAAAUCUCCAAGAGUCUCUAUAUAAUUCUUUAUCCCUGGAAAGAAAAAAGUUAUUUUCCUAAUGUACAAAUCAAUCUUUAUUUGAGCAUAAAAAACAAGCUUGCUUGAAUAUAAGGCCUUUUCUAUCUAAGAAAAAAGAUAACUUUACCUAAAUACAACUUCAUUAUCCAUAAAGACAUAAAUGAACAUUUCUCUCAAAUCAAAUGGUGAACUAUCACCAUACAGGGACAAAGAAUUGGGCUUAUAUGAUGAGUUUCUCAAUUGUAUCUUCCUCGAAGUAGAUCUUUUUCACAUUUUUUUAUUAGGUUUAGGCCCAUCUAUCUUAAUACAAAGGUGCACAAUAUAUUAUAAACAAGUACAAAUUAAAAUAAAAAACAUAAGCAGACAUAAGGUAAGGUUUCCUGCAUACCUACUACAUUGCCCUUCAAGGUAUGUGCAUUUUAGAUAAAAGGUUAAUGUUAUAUUAAAAUUUUCAUUAUUGAAAAUACCUAUACAAUAGCUUUUUUUUCAUAUAAUAAUCCCGAUCUUGAGUUUUAUAGACCCUUUAUAGCUUUUUCUUCUUGAAGUUGAGUAACAACCUCCUCUAUGGAUAAAGAAUUGGACUCAUACUAUAAGUCCCUUAAUUAUCUCUUCCUUAAUGUAGAUAUUUCCCUCGAUUGCUUUUUCGUUUUAGGCCUACCUACCUCAAUAGUAAGGUGCAUAAUACAUCAGGAACAAAUACAAAUUACUUUACAAGACAUACACAUGAACAUAAUGUAAGGUUUCUUACAUAACACUACGUUGUUUUACAUGGUGUGUGCCUUUUAGACAAAAGGUUAAUGUUAUAUUGAUCUUUGCACCAUUAAAAGUACUCAUAUAAUAACUUUUUUACCUUUAACAAGCAUAGUCUUUAGUUUUAUAAAUCCUUUAGGUCCUUCAAAAAGUAAAACAUCCUUAUAUCUUCUAAGCUCCAACUAGGGGGAUUGCUGCCCUAUACUUCAUUAUGCGCCGCUCUUCCCUCUAUUUUUUUUUAUGUUCUGUCUUACCAUGGAAAAAUAAUUUCAUGAGACUUUUUACCUAAUAAAAGAAUAUGUAGAAUCAAGCUAGUUCAUAUGUCUCACUAACACAUCUCAUCAACUGAUAGUAGUAUCUAAAUACUUUGAGGGAUUAAUCUUCCCCAAGUUGUGUAUUUCUCAAAGGCAGUAAAGGUUGCCCACCCAUUUAGGUAUAUUUAGCUUGUAUAAAUGUUAUAGUAAAAUAAAAUCAUGAAUGCAAAACUAGUAAGGGGUAACUUAUACCCAUACUUUACAUGCAAAACUAGUAAAAUAUGCACAAUUAUAUUUUACCCCCUAUACGAGCCUUUUCGGAUUGCCUACUAAUCCUUUCUAACUAGAGAAGAAUUUUGGCCAUGUACCCUCUUCUUAGUUAGACAUUAAUAUUUGUAAUUGGAUCAUGAUGGUUAUUCUAGGGAAAGUUUCCUCUAACUAAUCCUUAAGUUGUCUGAUUAGCUUUAUAAUUGUCAAUUAGUUCUUACAAGGGCCCUUGUAGCCUUCUUUUCUGUCUCUGUAUUCUUGGAUCUAAAGGUCCCCUGUACUCUUUGUUUAACCUCACCAUAUUGGAACUAAAGGGCUUCCUAACCUUAUAUAUGAGCUCACUAGACCCAGAACUAAAGGGGAAAAAUACUAGUAUUUAUUUAUUCAUGCAUGAUUUAUGUAUGACUCAUAAAAGUUUGAUAACUAAGUAGACAAUACAUGAAAAACUCAUAUUUGAAAAGAAUGGUGUUAUUAGAUCUUGAUGGCACAAACAAGAAAACUAAACACAUAAGAAAACAAGAUUCUAAUUUUUAAUCGCAAGCGACAUUUUUAGUUUCAAGUGACCUCCCCAUCAAUAGAAACAUCUAUAUCAUCAUCAUUGGCUAACCUUUCCUCAAGACUUCAUUAUGGUUAUAUGUAUAAUAUAUAUACAUGCAAGACACAAACAACAAAGGAAAAUAUUUUUGUAUUUUCUAAUUAAUAUAAUUAAAACUAGAAUAAAAUGAAAUCAAAUUGAUAAAUGGCAAUAUAUAUAAUGAGAAACCAACCACAAAACUAUUAAAUGAAAAUGUAUCUCCAAUGGAUAAGAAUGAAUUUUGAAGUCAUUUUAAAAAAGGUCGGAUUGGUUUUGAGAAUGAAUUUGAGACAAAUGAGAAAAUUAAUUUUGAAAAUAAACUCUUAGGGGGUUAAGUUUACUUGAAAACUCCGCACUUAACGAAGGGAGAUAAACUGCAUCAAUUUAAUAUAGAAGAAAAUGAAAAGCUCACUCGCAAUAAGAGAGAAAUAACCUAUAACAGAUUAUUAAUCAUUUGAAAAGAAAUCCACAGGCAUCAAGUGAAAUAAAUGGAGAAAUAAUCCACGUCCCAUUAAAAAUUAUUAUGAAAAAAAAUGGAGAAAUAAUCCACGUCCCAUUAAAAAUUAUUAUGAAAAAAAAUAUACACGUAUGGAAUGGAAUAAACCACAUUGGUUUAAAAAUAUUUGAAAAUUCCAAACAUGAUGAAUGAAGGAAUAAUCAACAUCAAAUUAAAAUUAAUUUGAAAAAAAUAUCCAAACACACGGAGUGGAAUAAACUACAUGAGUUUAAAAUAUUUAAAAAUUAUUUUUAAAAAUUCAUAGAAUAAGUAAGCAACCUCAAAACAAUUAAAAUACCUCAUUAGCAUGAAACAUUAGCAUCAAAGCUAUCAUAUUUUUCCAUUAAGACAUAAGACUGGUUAUCUCAUCGAGUUGGAUUAUUCAUCACUUUUGCUCGGGAAAAGUUCCUCCAGAAUGGCUUCCAAAUACUUUUAUCUUUUCAUUUCUCUUUUUUUAUCGAGCAAAGGGCAAUAUAUCUCUUUUUACACGCCUGGGUUUCUUGCAUUCAUAGCAAAUAAUUUGGCCCAUUUUGCUAGUCUCAUGCUUUAUUGUCUCUGUAGUCACACCUUCUAGAGAUUAAACCCUUUUGAAUUUCCUCACAAUACGAGCGACAUCUUCAUCAUCAUCUUGAUUAUCAUCAUUUUGUAAAGUUUGAGCGCAAUGCCUUUCUUACUGAUGUCAACGCCACCUUUGGUAGCCCUAAAUGCUAAGUAUCUUCAAGAUAUUUCAUUCUUUAAUGGCCAUCACUUCAAGAUCCCAAGGUCUCGGUAAAGACCUCAAUAUCUUGCUCACUAUGUUUGAUGUUUCUUCUAAUGUUUUCAUAAACCAUCCACAAUGGUCGUAAAACCUUGUGCUCAUCUUUUUUUAUGCUCUCACAAGGAUACAUCUCAAAAUCAAAUAUGAGAGUAUUUAUUUUAGAUUUCUAACUUGAGUUGUUCCUUCAUGAGAAACUUGUUCAGAACAAAUGUCUCCAGGACACGUAAUGUGAUGGCAAAGGGCUUGAGAUCUGUACAGCAGGUCUCAAGUUCGAGUCAGGGCGUGCAUCUCUUGUAAGAGUCUGGGACAGUUGGGGUUUAACUCGCUCAUCUGGACCCAUAAAGUGCGCUUUCUGAAAAAUGGGGUUUCCUCGAAUCCAAAAUUAAAAAAAAAAAUUGUUCAGAACAAUAACAAAUAUAUUAAGAUUAUAACUACUUCUCCAAACACAUCAACGUGGUUUGAUAAUGUGUUUAUAUUUACAAGAGUAAAAAGUUUUUAUUUUUUACUAUAUUAAAAUAAAAUUACAUAUGGUAUAUAUUUAUAAUAAAUCCUAAAUCAUCCAAGAAAACUUAGCUUAGCCUCCCAAUAAAUUCUAAUCAUAUAAAAAAUAUUAAUAAUUUUUUAUAAUAUUACUUUACUGUACUGUAAAAACGCUUCGCAUCUCCAUUUCAUCCCGGAAUUUUCCCAGAAGCCACAAACUACAACAAAAUGCGUGAAGGCUAACGGAGAAAAUGAUAUGAGAGACCUUGGAUGACCUUAGUUCAUAGUGGGACAUACUAGAUGUCAAGAUGUCAACACGCAACAGGCACAGCAAGUAGAUGCCAAGCAUAAGUUGUGCUUAUCGUGACACACAAAAACACCAAAUCUGGAUGAUGUUGUCCUCCCGGCCAACUUGAAAUCCCCAUUAAUGAGGUUUGGAUAAGAUGACCCCAAUCCAGCUCCAAAACCUCAUUAAUGGAGGAUGUACAAUGAUGCUCCACACGCUGUAAGGUUGCUGCAUCUAAUAAAUUCAGGGAGUCCCAUUUGAUGUUGACUUUUCAAAGCAAAAGUAGCAACCUGUAUUCACUCCCUGUAUAUAAAAAACUACUUGACUACCACCCAUACAUCCACUUUUUUGGCUCAUUUUUUCUGUCUUUAAAAAAUGGCAACCCCAGAAGAAUCCUCCACAGUAGAACUCAUAAGACAACAUCUUCUUGGAGACGAGGGUAUUUGGAAAUGUGGUAACGGUUAUUUUUCAAAGUAUUUUUAUAUUUUAAAAAUUAUUUUUGACAUCAAUACAUCAAAAUAAUCUGAAAACAUAAAAAAUAUAUUAAUUUAAAAUAAAAAAAAAUAAAAUAAAUUUAAAUUUUUAAAAAACACAUCCAAAAACACAGUACCAAACACUUACCUCAUCCACAGAUAUAUCAUCAGUAAUCUUGAUGCAAGCACAUGGCUCUCAAAUACUUCUUAUCUUUACAUUUCAUUUUUUUAUCGAGCAAUGGACAAUCGCUUCUGACACGUCUGGGUUUCUUGCAUUCAUAGCAAAUAACUUGGCCCAUUUUGCUAGUCUCGUCCUUUAGUAUCUUAUUGAUGUCAACAUCAUCUUUGGUAACCUUGAACGCAUAAAAAAUAAGAAACCCUAAAAAAAAAAAUCUUUACAUUAGAUUUAUGAAACAUACUAAUAUGAAAAUGUAUAAAAAAUAAUUUCAAUCUUUUAUAUUGCUAAAAAAAGCUUGUAUAUAACAAAAAAAUAACAAAUUAAUUGCAAUUGACCUAAGAAUUGAAGACCGGGGAAGCCAAGGACUAAAAUGCAAGAAGAAGCAAAAUUAAGGUGUCCAUUCCAAUUUGAUGAGGGGGAAAAUGAAACAAAUUAAGUUAAAAAAGACCAAAAUUAACUGAAAAUGAAAUAAUUGAAAGACCAUGGACAAAACUAGAAAAGAAGCGAGAAUGGAAGGGUUUAAUAUGAACUUAGCGGUUUGAAAACGACACCAUUUCUAGCUUAAAUUUAAAAAAUCUAGAUUUCAAUUCCCGUUUGUUUGCUGGAAAGUAGUUUUCUUUUGAUAAGUGAAUUCCGAGAAAGUGAACUAUUUUUUGAUGUUUGGUAGUGUAAUGAAAAAUAAGUUGGAAAAUAUUUUCCAGUGUUUGGUUAUGCCAUGGAAAAUGAGCUGAAAAAUAACUUAUUAAUAUUUUAUUUUUUCAAGUUUAUUAAAAUAAUAAAGAACAAAUCUUACAAAUUAAAAAGUUGAAUGAGAAUAAAAUUGAAAAAAAAUAUAAUUUCAUAAAUUAUCUUAAAUAAAAUAAAUAAUAAUUAAAAUAAUAGAGAUCAAAUCUAACAAAUAAAAAAAUUGAAAGAUGAAAAAAUUAAAAUAAUAAUAAUUACCAUUUCAUUAAUUAUUUCAAAUAAAAUAAGUAACAAUCAAAAGAAUGAGGACCAAAUUUGAUAGAUGAAAAAUUUCAAUUAAAAAAUGAUAAGGACAAAUCAAAUAAUAAUUAUAAAAAUAAGGACUAAAGUUAAUAUAAAAAUUAAAUUGUAAGGGAUGAAAUUGAAAAAAAAAAUAUAUAUAGAAAUCAAAAGUUUGAGGAUCAAAUUUGAUAUUAUCAGCAAAUAAUAUGACAUUUCUAAAUUUUUCACAACUUCCAGAAAGUUUUUUCCAUAAAAAAAAAAAAAAAACAAUUUCCUGAAAACCCCAAAGUUUUCCUUUGACUAAAAACUAUUUUCCAUUGAUUAAUUUUUUUUAAUGAUAAGUAAACAUAAAAAAAAAUUUAAAAAAUAAUUUAAGAAAAACCACUUUUCAUCUUACAAACGCACCGAAUAAAAAAUAAUGUCCUUUCACAUUAAAUGAAACCGCGUGUGUUUUAGUAAACGGAGGAAGAACAAGACUACGCCUAAGAGACAAAACGACUCCGUUUUGCUCUAAAUUCAGAUAAUGUCCUUUCACAUUAAAUGAAACCGCGUGUGUUUUAGUAAACGGAGGAAGAACAAGACUACGCCUAAGAGACAAAACGACUCCGUUUUGCUCUAAAUUCAGAUAAUGUCCUUUCACAUUAAAUGAAACCGCGUGUGUUUUAGUAAAAGGAGGAAGAACAAGACUCCGCCUAAGAGACAAAACGACUCCGUUUUGCUCUAAAUUCAGUAGGCUUCUAAGCUUAAAACACGCUGGGAAUAGCAGCUGAUCACCCAGCGAACUUUGGCCCCAAUUUCCGUCCAUAAUCGACUCUCUCCCGAGGUAACAUCAAUCACGUGGUAUGUGCUCUCUUUCAUGCAGGAUACAACCUUGAAGCAUCGAAUCCUGUUUUCAUGCCUUGGUUCUUUCCCACGAAUCAAAGCCAUAAGGUAACAGUUGCCAGAUUGAAAAACCCAGCACUCAUCUAGUUUUCAGCCCGUGUUAUUUCUUUUAUUGGAAUUAAUAAAAUUUUAAACUCUAUUAUAAUAAUUUAUCCAUCACAAUUCUUAGGAUGAAUCAAUCUAUUUUAAUAUUUUUUUAAUUUAUUAUCAAUUAUCUACAUAAAUAUAAAUUUAUACACACUUACCAUGAAUUACAACUCGGUAAUAAAAUUGAUAAAAUAUAAAAUAGACUCAUUAAAUAAGUCAUUAUUUAUUUCAUCACAAAACACUUAAGUCGGUAAUUCGACAUAAGUUUCAACAAUUUAUAAACAAAUACAAUUUUACAAAAUCUAAAACAAACCAUAACAUAUACAAAUCAUAAAUUCAUACAACAAGUUUGUUUGAUAAAAAAAACUAUAAAACAAGUAAACAUCCAAAAAAAUACAUAUACUACAAAAAUAUAUAUAAAAAAAAUAACAUUUUAAAAUUGUGUUCAAAUAAAAAAGCUUGUUUGGGAUUGUGGUAGCGGUUGUGAUUCAAAGUGUUUUUCGCUUAGAAAUGCUUCAAAAUGAUGUUUUUUUUUUUAAUUUUAUUUUUGAGAUCAGCACAUCAAAACAAUCUGAAAACAUAAAAAAAAAUUUAGAAAAAAAGAAAAAAAAUUUGAAUUUUGAGGGAAUGCGGUUUCAACCGCGUUCCCAAACGCGUUAAGGUGUAGAAUCCUCAAUAAAAUUUGAAUUAAAACACGGAUGCUGACAGAUCGAGUGUGGCGAUGGCUCAAAAAGUUGUGGGAGAUUAAGUUGUGUUGAGAUUAAAGGGGGUAAGGGUGGUUGUUUUGUUGCAGAGAAAACUUUUACAAGGAAGAAGUAGAAAUGUGGGAGGGGGAGAGGAAGGUCGCGCAUCAGGUCAUAAAUAAAAUUAUUUCGAUGGUAACUCCGUCGAUAAUUCUUUUAGUAUAAAUAUCAUGUCACCGUACGAUUUGCCUUUUUGAAUCCCAUUGUAAUACCGUUUGUAAUGUCAUCAGUAGAUCUCAACAAAAGUUUUCCAUCGGGAUAUUUACGGACAAAUUAUAUCGUCGGUCUAAUUUUGUAAGUGACUUCGUCUGUAAAAAUAAAUAGGAAGGGAAAAGAAAGAGCGGAAGAGUAGGAGGAGGCUAGGAAGAUAUAUAUAUAUAUAUAUAUAUAUAUCUUCCUAAUCUUUUACUGUAAGCUUUGAAAUCAAAUGCAUGUUUACAUCUCCAAGCUUCCUAUGGCAUGUCCAUACGAAGUUGCACGAUCAUUGAUAUUAAUAAUGUAAUGUAAGCAAUGGACAAUGUCUUUUGAUACGCCUGGGUUUCUUGCAUUCAUAGCAAAUAAUUUGGCCCAUUUUGCUGGUCUCAUGCUUUAUUGUCCCUGUAGUCACACCUUCUAGAAAUUAAACCCUUUUGAAUAAUGUCCUCACAAUAUGAGCGACAUCUUCAUCUUCAUCAUCAUCUUGAUUAUCAUCAUUUUGUAAAGUUUGAGCGCAAUGCCUUUCUUACUGAUGUCAACAUCACCUUUGGUAACCUUGAACUCAUAAAAAAUAAGAAACCCUAUAAGCUAAGUAUCUUCAAAAUAUUUGAUUCUUUAAUGGCCAUCACUCUAAGAUCCCAAGGUCUCGGUAAAGACAUCAAUAUCUUGCUCACCAUGUCAGGUUGUUUGAUGUUUCUUCUAAUGUUUUUACAAACCAUUCACUUUAAUGGUCAUAAACCUUGUGCUCAUCUUUUUUAUGCUCUCGUAAGGAUCGUUCUUGAACAUCUCAAAAUCAAAUACGAGAGUAUUUAUUUUAGAUUUCUAACUUGAGUUGUUCCUUCAUGAGAAACUUGUCCAAAACAACAACAAAUACAUCAAGAUUAUAACUAUUUCUCAUAAAUAUAAAGAAUAUACUUUAUAAUAUUCAUCUUAAUAUUUCAUAUUUGUAAUAAUCUAGUUGUAGAAUUUAUUUCAUUCAGAAAAUGUUUUUCCCUUAUCGAACUGGUAGCACCUCCUUGCAUGGGAUUUUACACCACCAUUAGCAUGAAGCCAUGCUUAGUAUUUCUGUUUCAGUUACCAGCAAACAUGGAUGCUGUUCAUCUCUUACUCCUUUUCCACCAUCAAAGUCAUUAGAGUGAGUGUGCCUAAUUAACUUCAUGCAUGCUCGUAAGUUUUGAAAAACCUCUCGUAAUUAAGUUCCCUAGGACCCAGUUCACUUUGCUUGGGAUUUCUUUGUAUGAAAGAUAGUUUAUAAAGGCUGAAUUAGCCAUGUAUUUUUUUAAAGCAAUUUCAUUGCACAAGUCUUCAUUUUUUUGUUCUUCCAAUAAAACGUUUGCAUGUAGUAGCAGUAUUUUAUGUUCCUAGCCCUUUUAACCUGCAUUCUUCUGUUAAGAAAUAACGAAAUGCAGUUCAUCUUGUUCCUCAUGUAUGAAUAAAAAAAGAAAAGAGAAACAGAAAACAUGAAGGGAAACCUAAGGUUUUGUUUUCUCAUAGGAUACCGGGUGCAUUUUUGGAGUGUGCAUUGCUUAACAUGAAGUCCACUAACAUACAAUCCUGUCAGUGGCUAAAAACUGGUCUUCUCUGCAUUUUCAUUCUGCUUUUAUAAAUUCUUGCAAGUCAGGCGCAUAUAGUUAGUUGUUUUUCGCUUUUUUUUUUUAAAAAAAAAAAAACUAUCUCCAAACUUGCAUCUUCAUGAUCUGCAAAACAGAGCAGAGGAAUUAUAGGUUCUUAGUUUGCUAAAAACAUGAGAGUUCAAUGCUUAAUCCAGAAGAAAAUGUGUUUCUGCACCGUGAAUAUCUGGCUUUUUAAAACUUUCUAUUCAAUUCUAUCCAAGAAACAUAGGUGAAAAAAAAUAUAUACUAAGAGUUAGCUCACUGGAAUUUCACCUUUCGCCAUGAAUGCCGUGAAUGCUCUUUACUGGAAACUCACCCUUCGGUGGUUGUAGGUUUCAUUUUAUAAUACUAAUCAGCAACUACCGGAUAUAAUCAGCGACUAACUAAUUCAUUGCAAAUAAAACUAAAAUUCUUUAUUAAAUUCAGCAACAGAAAAUAUUAAAUGCAGAUCUGUCAUUACUGAAUUUUCAACAACGAAUAAUCCGAUACUCACAAAUUAACAACGAAUUUUCCGUUGCUGAUUGUAUUCGUUGCUGAGUAUAUGAUUUUUAUUAAAUUAAUUUAUAUUUUUUAUCUAAAUAACUUUAAAUUUUUUAAUUAAUUAUUUAUGGAUAUUUUGAAAGUUGUAGAAUAUAUAUAAACAACAUAAAUUAAUAUUUUAUUACUUUAUCACCAAUAAUAAAUGGAAUAAAAAUAAAAUUCAUAAUAUAAUUAAAAAAUUUAGUUAGACUUGCAUUAAUACAAAUAAGUCAAAAUACAAUAAAAAGAUAUAAUCAUGGUGCUUGUUGUGGAGACGAACCAUGAUAUUGUGGAUCGAUGUAAGAUAAAUUAGGAUAUGGUGGUCGAGGUGUAGGUCGAUAAAUUUGUGGAGAUGUGGGACCCAUAGGUGUCAUUAUCUAGAGAGCCAUAUGUGACGGCAUUGAUGGGGCCAUAGGUGCUGGCAUACCUUGACCAAUAUUUG
This 105636-nucleotide long non-coding RNA is filed under the name Populus trichocarpa (black cottonwood). RNAcentral's name for it is "long non-coding RNA (PTRI_LNC000354)". The stretch from base 44781 to 44935 matches the Rfam family "MIR2912 microRNA precursor family". Lineage: Eukaryota; Viridiplantae; Streptophyta; Magnoliopsida; Malpighiales; Salicaceae. The record is from RNAcentral.